UUAAAAAUUAACAGACAACUGAGAGAGAAGAGAAAACAGAAAGAUGAUGAUGAUGAUGAUGAUGAUGGAGUGGAAAUGGUUAUGGUUUAUUAGGAUGGCAGUAAUGUUGUUGGUGUUCGAAGGAUGCAGGUGGUGUACUAUUGAUGCUUGUUUGGAGCACGAGAGGAUUGCUCUCUUGCAUCUCAAACCUUUCUUCAAUUCUCGUGAUGAAUUGAAAAGUUGGGUUGAGGUGAAGGGUUCAGAUUGCUGUAAAUGGGAAAGAGUUGAGUGCAACACCACCACUAGGAGACUCAUACAACUUUCCCUUAAUUAUACACAAUGGGAAUUCAACGUGGAAUAUUGGUAUCUCAAUGCCUCUAUGUUUCUUCCCUUCGAGGAAUUGAGGAGUCUUUAUUUGUCAGAUAAUGCCAUAGCUGGUUGCAUUGAAAAUGAAGGUCGUGCCUUUAAUUUUCCCUCAGUUACAUCUUUUAUUAUUACACUAUUCUCACCCUUGUUAAUUUGCAAUUACUUAUAAUUUAUUUUAUUUUAUUGAAGAAAGGUCACUAAAUGUUUGUGUAUAUAUUUAAAAGAACACUCUUACAGGUUUUGGAAAGCUAUCAUCCACAUUGAGUAAUUUGGAGAUUCUUGACUUAAGUUACAAUUACUUGAAUGAUAGCAUUUUGUUAUCUUUGAGUGAGCUUUCAUCUCUCCGAUAUUUGGAUCUAUCAUACAACCGAUUUGAAAGAUCAAGUCAUCCAAGAGGUAAAUUAAGUUUAGUCUGGUGUUAGUUUUUAUUUGUAUUGGGGAGUUUGACAGUGGUUUUCCAUUGUUUUAUUCCCUCUAACUUAGUUUUUGCUUUUAUGGUUGAGAGGAAAAAGAAACAAACAAGUACUUACUCAAAUUAACUAAACAAUGGAUUAUUUUUUUUAUGUUUUGCAGUAACUAAUUCUAUGGUAUAUAAAUCAGGUUUUCAGUGGCUUUCAAGGCUCACUAAAUUGGAAACUCUUCAUCUAAGUGGGAAUUCUUUGAAGAAUAGCAUUUUUUUACAGAUGAGAAAUCUUUCAUCUUUGAAGACUUUAAGUUUGGGUGACAAUCAGUUGGGAGGAAAACUGCUUCAUAUUCAAGGUAGACUGAUUUUACACUUUUCUUGUUAACUUUAAAAUAAAUUCAGUAUGUGAUUUGAUUUUAUCAUAUCAUGAAUAUAACUGAUCAAUAUUUGAGAUUGAAUUUCAGAAUUGAAUCAUUUGGCAAACUUGAAGUACUUGGAUUUAAGUAGGAACAGAAUUGAAAGCAUCUCAAACAAAGGUAUAAGUAAUAAUUUGUGCAUGACUUUCCUGACAGACUUCAAAUGUAUUUUCUUUGUUUUUUUCCUUUUCAUAUGGUUGAGAGGAAAAAAGAUCCUUAUAAUCUUAAAGAGUUGAUAUUGAGAGUUGGUCAUGAGAGAAUGGGUCCUUAAAAUCCUUAAGACCAGGGAGUUUGUGUCCACAGUUGAGUAUUCCAUUUGAAAACUGAAAAUUAAAUAUUCUAUUGCUUUAUUUCUUUUAAAAGAAAGAUUGAGUUUGGAUCUCCGACUGCUUUAUUUUUUUCAAAGAAAGAAAUAUGUUUAUACUUUUGCGCAGAAGAUAUGAAGAAGUCUUAUUUUGUUCUCGCUUUUGUGCAAGUGAAACUUAGUUAUCUCAAAUAUAUAUAUAUAUAUAUAUAUUGUAGUUAUCAGUUCACUACACAAUAGCAUGUAAACCAGUUCCCCCUUUUCAAAUUUAUGAGUGGGAGUUGUCCAUGAUUUUCUUUGUGAUUUUCUUUUCACGUUUUAGGAUUUUCAUCUUCACUUCAAGUUUUAGAUUUACUUUUUUUCAUUUUUAUUUCAUUAACUUAAAAAAGGAAUGCUGGAUCAUAUUCAAGGUAGAUUGAUUUUACAUGUUUCUUUUUAACUUAAAAAAUCAAUAUAUGUUCAAGUUUAAGUGACAACAACAUUGAAAGCAUCUCAAACCAAGGUAUAAGUAUUUGUGCGUAGUAACUUUCUUGACUGACUAUUAUUCCAAAAGGCAAUGACAGACUUCAAAUGUAUUUUCUUUAGUGAAUUUUUAUUGCAAAAAUGGAGUAUUAUUAUUUAUUUAAGUUUUGUAGUAACUAAUUAUAUAAUAUAUAAAUGAGGUUUUCAAUGGCUCAUUAAAUUGGAAAUUAUUGAUAUAAGUUGGAAUUAUUUGAAGAAUAGCAUUCUUUAAAAUAAAUUCAUGUUGAAGGAAAAGUUGUUGCAAUAAGUCAUUUGAUUUUAUCAUAUCAUGAAUAUAUAUAACUAAUCAAUAUUUGGGAUUGAAUUUCAAAAUUGAGUAAUUUAAGUAGGAAGGUAUCUCAAACAAAGUAUUUAUAUAUUGAAUCAAUUCAUCGGAAAGCUUGUAAAUUGGCUCUUCCUUCUCAAACAAACAUUUUUCCUAACUAUUUAUAUAUUGAAUGAUGUUAACUAUACUAAUUACUUUCUUCCAAUGAUAGAUGGAACACAAUUGAGGCUAACAAACUUAGAGGAACUUGAUUUGAGUGGUAAUCUCUUUCGGAACAACACAAUUUCCUUUCCUCAAGGGCUUUCAAGCCUAAAGUCUUUGACUUUGUACAACAACCAUUUGCAAGGCUCAUUAGAUACUAAAGGUACUAAAGCUAUAACUUUGUUUUUCUUGAUAAUUCUUUCUAGAACCUUUUAAAAUUAAUUGUUUCAAUUUUGAACAUUCACAUUUCACGUUUGAGGAUUUUCAUCUUCACUUCAAGUUUUAGAUUUACUUUUUUUUUCAUUUUUAUUUCAUUAAAAUAUUAAGUAGAAAUUAAAAUUAUUAACAUAAUGAUUUUUUGAAUUGGACGUGGAUAUGUAUAGGAUUGAGCAAUUUAACAAAUUUGAAGAAACUCGAUUUAAGUGUGAAUCAGAUUGAAAGCUUUCAAUCCUUUAAAGGUAUGCAUUUAUAUUUAACCAAUUACCUAAAUUCUUACAUAUAAUUAAAUUUUAUGCCAAUUCAUUUCAGUGAUGAAAUUAUAUAAAUCUUUUGUAGAUGGUGGUAGAAAAUUGGAGUUGACCCACUUGGAAGAGCUUUAUUUAGAUUACAAUCAGUUCAAUACUAGUGUAUUUGCAUCCCUUAACAAGCUUUCAAAUUUGAAAUCUUUGAGCAUAUGGGACAAUGGAUUGAAAGGAUCAAUAGAUAUGAAAGGUAAAUAUAUUAGUUUUUUUAACUAGAAUAUAAUCAUGUUUGAAGAGAAUAUAAUGAAGUUGAUUUGUUGUUUUUGUUUUCCUAGAUUUGGAAGCAUUUAUCAACUUAAGGGAACUAGAUAUGAACUAUAAUGAAUUGAAAGAUUUGGUGAUCCACCAAGGUAUCAUUUAAUUAAACUUCCUUUUUUUUUUAAUUUAGAAAUUUAGUUUUGAUCUCAUAUAUUAUAAUAACGGUUAUUGUCAUAAAUAUUAAUAAAGUUAUAUCAUAUCAUACUUGAAAGUAAAAGUUUGGUGAAACAUUUUCUAAAUCAUCCAUUAUAAUGUGUUUGGACUUUGGUUUGAAACUAAAAUUCUUUAAAAUUUUCAUCAUUUUAAAAUAUUAAUGUUUAUAAUUAUUUUGUUUGUAUAAAUAUAUUUUUUAAAAUAAUUUAUUGAAUUUUUAUGAGAUAAAAAAUAAUUAUAACAAUAAAAAAUGAUAUUAUAAAUAAAUAAAAACAUAUAUUUAUGAGAAAAUAUGUAAUAUAACUAUAUUUUAAUUUCAUAUAUUUUUAAUAGUAUAAAACAUAAAAAUACAUAUUAGCGUUAAAUAAAUGGCAUUUUUUGGCAAAAAUAAAUAAAUGUCAAUUUUGAAUAAUUUAAAAAAAAUCUUUAAUUUUGUGAAAUUUAAACAUACAUUGAGAGGUGCUUAAACUUCCAUUGCAAUCUUUUUAUAAAUUUCAAAGUGCAUAUGUUUUUAACUUUUUGGUUUAAAAAAAUAUGAUAGGUCUACGUACUCUUUACUAAUUUGUAAUUUAAUUCUUAUACUUUUAUUUUCAAGAAUUUAAUCCCUGUUUUUUUAUAAAAAAAUCAAAAUCCUAGUUCAAUUGUUAAAAUUGUUAAAAUUUUAAAAUAGUUUGUUGGUGUGACAUUUUGAAAUAAAAAAAAACUUAGUAGUAAUGUAACUAAAAAAUGACGUAAUGAACAUGGAUUUAAUAAAAUAAUUUUAACAAUAUUAAUAAAAUAAUUUUGAAUUUUGAAUUUUAACUUAACUCUAUUUUUGGGCCAAGAUUUAAUGCUUUAAAAUUUUCAUUUAAUCCGCUGAGUUUACUUAUAAUUCUUUUGAGUUUUAUUUAUUGGUGAGUAAAAUACCUAUUUGAUUUUUUUAUAUACUAUUGGCAUCUUUAAAGGUAAUAUAAUAAUUUUAGUGUAGACGUGUUUUAUUUUAUAAAUAUUAUUUAUAGUGUAGACAUGUGAAUUUUGAAUAAUUUAAAAAUAUCUUCAAUUUUAUGAAAUUUAAACAUACAUUUAGUGUAGACAUGUUUUAUUUUAUAAAUAUUAUUUAUAGUGUUGUUGAUUGGAGUUUGAAAAUUAUACAACUUAGCUAUAUCAGUUAAUUACUUAUAUUAAAAAAUAAUAUAAGAAAAUACUAAAAAGAAAAAAAAUAGUAUAAUUAAUAAAAUGGAUGAAGAGUUAUAUUAAAGUUUCAACAUCUUCUCUCUAUCAAAAUUUAUCUCGGAUAAAUCAUGAAUAAUCUAACUCAUAAAAAAAUAUAUAUAUAUUUAUAUACUUCAUUUCAUUCACAGAAAAUAAAGCAUUCCACUUAAUAGAGGCUUUCUAUAAUGCCGUUAUCUAAUACCUCUUGACAUUGCUUAGAUUCAAAUGUGUCGAGCAGUUUGGAGGAAAUAUAUCUUGACUAUUCUACUCUCAACACCAACAUUUUGCAAAGCAUUGGAGUAUUCGCUUCUCUUAAAAUAUUGUCUUUAUCUAAUUGUGGACUUAUUGGUCCCUUACCUAAUCAAGGUAAACAAUUUUAUGGCUCAAUUUGAUUUCUUUAUGAACUUUCUGUAAUAUAUUAUCUCCUAUUCUGUUUUAUAAAGCAAAAUUUAAUUGAAACUUCUUCCAUGAAUUUAUUUAUAAAAUUUUCAGGAUGGUGUGAUCUAAGGAACCUUGAAGUGUUGGAUGUGAGUAGAAAUGCACUUGAGGGGAUGCUUCCUCAUUGUUUUAGUAACUUGACAUCUCUUCGUGAGUUAGAUAUUUCAAGAAACCAUUUUCAAAUUCCGCUGUCAUUUGCACCAUUUGCAAACCUUUCAAACCUCAAAGCCCUUUUGAUUAAUGAAAACAAGAUGGUAAUGGAACCUUCCUUUUAUACCUCAAUCCCAAAGUUCCAAUUGGAAGUCAUCAGUUUGUCAAAGUGCAUAACAUCUCAACAACUCAGUCUUAAACUUUGUACCUUCCUUUACUACCAAUAUGACUUGAGAUAUGUGGAUCUUUCGCAUAACAAUCUCAGUGGAACUGUACCAACUUGGUUGCUAGAAAACAACACAAAGUUAGAAGAUCUCAUCUUGAAGGGUAAUUCAUUUACAGGUCCUCUCUCACUUUCGUCGGCUCUUAUUUCUAAUGUAUCUACAAUUGACAUAUCUGAAAACAAAUUACAAGGUCAAAUUCCAACUGGUAUAUGUUCAACUUUUCCACAUUUGAGGCAGUUAUUCUUAUCCAAGAAUGCUUUUGAAGGUAAUAUCCCACUUUGUUUAAGUGGCAUGAAGGACUUAUCAUUUUUAGAUCUAUCAGACAAUCAUUUGUAUGGAAAAGUACCAGAAGAGUUGAUCACGAAAGGCUUACUAAUCAUUUUGAGACUAUCAAAUAACAACCUCAGUGGAAAUGUAGUUCCUGUGAUUCUCAGCGCAAAUGGGGUGCAGCAUUUAUAUUUGGAUGGAAAUAAUUUUUCAGGAGAGAUGACAAAUGUUGAUGUGUCUACUUUUGAGUUUCCAAAUUCACUAAGCGAAAUUGAUCUCAGUAACAACACUUUGCAUGGAAAGCUCCCAAGAUGGAUAGGGAAUGCAUCAUUUUUGGGGAGAUUAGAUUUGUCCAACAAUGGUUUUGAAGGUUCUAUUCCAAUGGAAUUUUGCAAGUUGAAUAGGUUGGAAUUUUUGGAUCUUUCUCAAAAUAAUUUAUCUGGCUCUAUACCGUCAUGUUUUAAUCCACCAUACAUACAGCAUGUCCACCUCCACGGGAAUAGACUGAGAGGCCCACUAUCACUUGCUUUUUAUAAUAGCUCUUCAAUAGUGACUUUAGAUCUUGGAGGAAACAAUUUGACGGGUAGUAUUCCAAAAUGGAUUUACACGCUUUCUUCUUUGAGUUUUUUUCUCUUGAAAGAUAAUCAUUUUCAUGGUAAAGUUCCUAUUGAGUUAUGCAAGUUGCAUUCUUUAAGCAUCAUAGAUCUUUCUCAAAAUAUGUUUUCUGGUCCUAUACCUUCUUGUUUGGGAAAUUUAUCUCUUCCAAUGCAAAGGAAGAAGAUUCUAGAACCUGGUUUCUAUGGGCCACCUAUAGAAGAGGAUGAAACAACACGCAGUACGAAACUAAAUUUGGGAAUGUAUUCUUACUAUCCUAAUAGCUACUUCGAAGAAGUAAUAGAGUUCACAACAAAGAGUGGGUUCUAUUCAUACAAGGGCUACAUCCUUUCAUAUAUGAAUGGGAUUGAUUUAUCUUGCAACAACUUAACUGGUCAUAUCCCACCAGAAUUAGGGAACUUGAGUGAAAUCCAUUCUUUAAACCUUUCACACAAUAAGUUGACCGGAGUUAUACCCUCGUCACUCUCAAAACUACAUCAAAUUGAGAGUUUGGACCUUUCUUACAACAACUUAAGUGGUGAAAUCCCCAAUCAAUUGGUAGAGUUAAACUCUUUGGAGGUUUUCAGCGUGGCAUUUAACAACUUGUCAGGUAGUAUUCCCGAACCAAAAGCUCAAUUUGGGACCUUUAUUGAAAAUAGUUAUCAGGGAAAUCCGUUUCUUUGUGGAGUUAUAUUGCAUAAAAGUUGUUCCAAAACCGAUUCACCAUCAACGAUAUCAAUUGUAUCAGAAGAUAAAGGAGAAGAUGGUUUGAUAGAUACUUAUGAUUUUUGUGUGAGCUUUUUGGUUUCUUAUGUAGUUGUGUUGUUGACAAUUUUUGUUGUCCUCUACAUAAAUCCAUACUGGCGAAGAGCUUGGUUUUCUCUUGUUGGGAAAUGCAUUACCACCUGUCGCUACUCAAAUGUGGGCAAUUUUCUUACUUAUCACAUUUUCAAGCGAUGUGUUUAGCUACUCAAAUUGUGAUUUGAUUUCCACACCUAAAUGUUUAAUUAUGCUAAGUUGAGCGAUAAUGAAUAUUUUGUUGAUUUUUGCAUUUUGAAUAAAAGCUCUUUUAUCUUAUGGUUUUAUCAUUUUCAACCAUCUAUUUCUUUUUUCUUCUAUGAAAUUUAAUAUAAAAUCAUAAUCCAUUAUUAUGUAUAUGCAAUAUCUCUUUAAAUUAAAUUAAAUUAAAUUAACUGCCAAGCGUUCACUAGUGCAUACUAAAAAGGAAAUCUAAUGUAAAAUUAAAUCAAACAUACUACAGAAUUGAAUCUAAAACUGGAAUAUUUUAAAACCUCACAAACAAUGCAAUUCUUUAUUCCUCUUUUCCUCUCAAGUUAUUUUGUAUCAUGUUAUAUUUUACAUAAUUAAUCGUAUCAUCAAAUUUUAAAAAAAUUUUAAUAUUUUGAUAUCAUGUUCAUAUUAUGCUUUAAUUCACAAUGUAUUUUGUAUAAUAUGUUAUAACAAUUCAAUUUAAAAAACAAACAAUUAUCUUAUUUUUGCAUACCGUAAUAUACAUUUACAUGUUAAUAAUUCUUUGUACAUAAAUUUUGACAUGUUCGUAUAUUCGAGUCAUUAUAAUUUUAUUAUUUGUAAUAUGACAUGUUUUACUUACCCUUAAUAUUGUGUCAUGAUAAUUAUAACUCGAUUGGCAGUGUACCAAAUAUUUUUCUAAUAAAAAAUAGUAUUUUAUUCUAUUUACCAAAUCUUUAUCAACUUUAUUUUCUCACCAACAAAACAUACAUUCAAAGUUCAAAUAAGUUCCACACCCAUUUUUUUACUGCAAUACUCAAGAAUAUGCUCAUCAUCAGAAAUCUGAAAUAUUCCACUCUAAUUAACAUUAUGAUUCUGUAAACAACAAAAAAGUGUGAUACUUUUUUAAAGCUCUUUUUUUUUCUUUAAUGAAAUGGGAUUGGUAAAAAAUCCGCACAUGUGUCGUGUGUGAAGGUGGUCAGGUUGUCUAUUCAUACUGUAAUAAGUAGCUAAUUAUAGUUGAUCCUACAAAAUCAAAAUUAAUUCAGGUAUCUAUAUAUUCUGAAGACUGGACAGACCUUAGAAGCUCCUUCAAAUUUGCAAGAACAUGUCGUGGUCCUAAACUCUUUACACCGAUGAAAUUCAAAAGUUGCUCUAUAUCCUGCAAUCACAGUAAAGAUUAUGCAAGCUUUUCAGAACGAAUAACAUAACAAGCAAAAGGCAAUCAAAAUACUGUGAUCUCGAUAAUGUUCUUUGCCGAAAAGGAACAUAAACAUAACCUGAAAACAUCAGUGAAGGCUCAUCAGAUUUGCUUAGCAACCUUACAUACACAUGUAAAAAGCUUUGCUUUUGGAUGUAUGGUGUGACUAUCAUCACAGUCUUUCCUAAUUAGCUGAUAACCCUAUAUCUAACAUUUAUCAGGGCUAAGCAAAUUAACAUACAUAAUGUAAAGGAAUUUGACCAUAAGAUCCAACAGAAAACUUAAUAAAAGAUAAUCAACAUAGAAAGUUAAAAGGCAAUGCAAACUUAUUACAAUGAUGCAAGUGGAUCAAAAGAAAGCACUCUAUAAGGAAUUUGUAUUUAAGGCAUUGUAAACAGAAAAAAAAUAAUAAAACUUUUCGGAAAGUAUUUUCAAAGAGGAGACAAAAACAGGGUAGAAAAAAUGUUUGGUCCUUCCUUUUUCUAUUUCUACUGUGGUGAAAAAGCCUUUUUGGGUUAAAAGUGUUUUUACACUGCAGAAGUGUUUUUCCACUGCAGAAGUGAUGAAGAACACAUAGCUUUGUAGUCAAAAACCUACUGCUUUUGGCUUUUGCAUUUCGAAGUGAAAAUUAUAAAAAUACUCUUAGAUUAAUUUAUAUUUUAUAUAUUAUUAUAUUAAAUUGUUAAAUCUUAUUUAUUAUUAUAUUUAAUUUUUUUCAAAAUAUUUUAUACAUCAUCAAUUUUACAAAUAAUUUAUAUUAAUUACUUUUAAAAGUUAUAUUUCAUGUAUCAUUAUAUUAAAUUAUUUAAAUAUCAUAUAACAUCACUAAUUUUCUACUUUCUACCAUCAUGUCUAAAAUAGACAUUUUAACUUUCAACCGCAAUUUUUGGCAGCAAUGAACAACACUAAAAACUAACAAACACACUUUUCCGCACCACAUUUCAAAAACACUUUUUUCUAAACGCACUUUUGAACUAGUCCUUAGUCUAUCAUGCAUCAACUCUUCAUUUUUCUUUAACUACCCAUGUCCGACUUCGAACAUGGAUAUGGAGAUAUGACCAAGUCACAGUGACAUAGUUUUUAGUUAUGGGGAAUGGGAUUCGAGUGCUGGACCUCCUUCUAGAUGCAUGGUGGGACUUCAUCACAUUUUUCAAAUUUGUUGAUAAUCCUUCACCUAAUCUGCCGGUGAAGUUUAUAGAUAGUUGUUGACACCAUUUUUUUGAUGAAAACGGGAUCGACUUGGAUUUUGAAAAAAGAAUGAAAACGGGAGUCGCCACCAAUCCUUUUUGACGAGGUGUGAUCGGGUCACCUCAAAAUGUGGUUGUUUUUAAUAAAUGAUUUAAUUUUAUUAAAACAACGAUUUUGGUCUACGAAAUUCAGAAAAAUGAGUUCGGGAGUCGGUUACACACGAGGAAGGAUUAGCACCCUCGAUACGCCCAAAAUUGGUACCUAGUUGAUUAAUUAGUGUCUUAGUGUCGAAAAUUGAAAAUUUGAAGAGUUUUAAAAAUACGAUCCUUAAAAGAAAUUCUGAUAACGUGAAUUGAAAUAUAAGAUUCUCUUGUUCCGAAGGAAUAUCACAUCCAGCACGUUAGGACACGAUACUCUAAACCAUCGAAACCAAGAUCAUCUUAUAGUUUAAUGAAACCACACUUUGAAGCUUUAAGAGGAUAUUUGGCUAUUUAGUCGAACGAGAAAUCGAAACCCAGCACGUUAGGGCACGUUUUCUCGAUUUUCCAAACGCGAAAUAUCGCCUUAUUUAGAAAAAUUUUCCUUUUGAUGUUUGGUGUUAAUGCUUGACAAAACAAUAACGAAUACGACAAGGUGAGCAAAGUAAAGUGAGUAACAACAAUACAAUAGGCAAAAUGAAAUGACGAGGCGAUUACAUAAACAAAGCAUACAAAUAAAUAAAUAGAACUAACAUUUAAAAAAAAGCAUAAGUGUACACGAAUAAAUAAACAAACACCAAAUAACAAUGAUGACAAUAAAUACAAUUAUGUAAAAAUGUAUAUACAUGUAUAAUUUUAAGCCAUGAAAUAAGAAACGCAUAUAAAUUAUAGAAUAUGAAAACAUAGAUAAAUAUAUACAUAUGUGUAAAAAAUAAUAUUAUAAAAAGGGUACGUAUAUAUGUAUAAAAAAAUAAAUGUAUUAACAAUGAAUAUAAUAAGGGUAAGAAAACAAGUAUAUACACAAUAUAUAUGUAACGUGGUACUAAGGAUAUAUAUAUACAAUACAGUAUUUAAAAUAAUAUUUACGUAAUAUAAAAUAUAAUAUUAAAAGGUAUAUGUACAUACGUAAUAUAUAAAUACAUAUAUAAUAUAAUGUUAAAAUAUUUACAUAAUACUAAAAUAUUUAGGUAAUAUAUGCGUAUAUUGAAAACUAGUAAUAAUAUUAUCGAGGUAUAUACAAAUAUAUCAAGUAUAUACACGUAUUAUAAAUAUAUAAAUAUAUGACAAAGCAUAAACUAAUAAAAAUAAUAAGAAUAAUAAUAAUGAUAACAUUGGAAUAUAAAAGAAACAAACAUAACAUUAAUAAAAUAUUAAAAUAAAGUGAAAUAAAAAUAUUAAAUAUGAGAAUAUAUAUAGGUAUACACGUACAUAAUAAAAAUAUAUACUAAUACAUAAUAAUAAUAAUGGUAAUACUAAUAAUACUAAUAAUAUAAAAAUAACAAGGAUAUUUAAUAAAGAUAUAAAAAUCAACAAAAAAGGACUAAAAUUGAAUUGAAAGCAAAGUUGUGGGGCCAAUUUGAAAUGAAAACAAAGAAAAAGGACUUAAUUGUAACACGCAUGCAACUUGGAGGGUCAAAAGCGCAAUAAACCCAAGUAUUAAAAACGCUGCGCAGCGUGGGGGACCAGAAUGAAUUCGGGGCAACACCAUGGAGCCAAAUUAAAAAUAAAAAAACCUUGAUUGUAAACUCCCAGAAAGGCGGAAGGGCUAAAAGUGCAAUUAGCCCUUCCAAAGAAAAAAACACGCGGAUCUUCCUUGGUGCAGGUCGGGUCGACCCGACCCGUGUUCAAAACGACGUCGUUUCAUUUAUUUAAACCGGGGGUCCAAAACGGUGCGUUUUGACCCCCUAUAAAAGUCAAAAAAACUUCAAAAAAAAAUCAUUUGUAACGCUGAGGGAAAAAAAAGAAAAGGGAGAGAGGAGAGGGGAGCCCGGAGCGAUUUCCGGCCAAGGGAGGGGUCACCGGACGGCCACCGGAGGCUCGCCGGCGUCAGCGCCGGCCACCGCACGCGGUGGCCGGAAAGGUAAAAUUUUUUAUAUUUUUUUUAUAUUUUUUUUGUUAUUUAUUCUUGGUCUUAGAAUGUAUAGAUUUUAGGUUUAUAUUAAUAAAAAAGGUAUAGAUAUGUAUAUAGAAAUCGAAAGAAAAUGGAUGAAAACAAAAAGGUAACCUUUUCCGUUUGCCUUUCCUUUUUCCCGAAUGCUUGCUAUCUCAGUACUGAGAUCUAUGUAUUUUUUUUAAAAUUUUAGCUUCUGUUUUUUUGUAUUAAAAUGCCAAAAAACAAACAAAAAGAAGAAAGAAAAAAAACCCCCUGAUACAAUUUUUGAUUCGGGUUUUUAUAACCCAUUUUCAUCUAAUUUCCUAUUGUUUCUGUUUUGUCUCUUUGCAUGGGAUGGGCACGAUGGAGGUGACAGAGGCAUGGUGGUACAGAGGAGCAGGUGGCCGACAUGGUGGCAUGGAGAGCUGGGCGUGGCAGACAAGGAGGCCACGCGAGGCAUGCGGCGCUAGGGUUUGGGGGGCAUCUUUCUUCCGAAAAUGUUAAUGUUGUCUGGGCUGGGUUUUUAAUUUUUGUUUCGGGCCAUGGGCUACAUUGGGCUUGUUAUUUUCCUUUGUAAUUGGACUGUUGUUUAUCUUGUUUUAAUAUUCGGGCCUGGGCAUAAAAUUGGGCCUUACAGCUGCCCCUCUUUGCUUGUUAUCGUGUAACGAGAACAGAGCAAAGACUAAAAAAGGCCAAUUUGGCCCGGGCUCACCGAGUUUUGACUUCUUUUGGUGCUUCCUUUCUUCAAGCCUCAUUCUAGUCCACUGCGUCUUAUGAUUCUUCGAUCUGCUCUACUGCAACUUCAGAUACGCCUUAUAGCUUCAAUCUACUCUGCUACGACUCCAUGGGGAUGAGAUUUGUGUUUUUAGUCUGCUUCACUACUACUUAGGGAGAUAAGACUGUGGUUUCGUCUGCUCCGCUACUGCUUAGGGAGAUAAGACUGUAAUCUCCGAUCUAUUCCACUGUCAAAUACAGGGAGAUAGAGUUAUCAGCUUCAAUGUACUCCACUGUAGUCACAGGGAGGUAAAAUCUGCCAUCUUUGAUCUUCAAUCUAUUCCACUGCCAAAUACAGGGAGAUAGAGUUAUCGGCUUCAAUGUACUCCACUGUAGUCAGGGAGGUAAAAUCUGCCAUCUUCGAUCUGUUUCGCUGCCAAAUACAGGAAGGCAAGAUCUGCAAUCUUCGAUCUACUUCACGCCAAUACAUGAAGAUAAGAUCUGCUUUCUUCGAUCUACUUUGCCACCAGUAUGGGAAGACAAGAUCUGCAUCGUCGAUCCACUUCCUACCAAUAUAGGAAGACAGGACCUGCUAUCUUCGAUCUACUUCACGCCAAUACAUGAAGACAAGAUCUGCUUUCUGCGAUCUACUUCGCCACCAAUAUGGGAAGACAAGAUCUGUAUCUUCGAUCCACUUUCUACCAAUAUAGGAAGAUAGGAUCUGCUACCUUCGAUCUACUUCACGCCAAUACAUGAAGACAAGAUCUGCUUUCUGCGAUCUACUUCGCCACCAAUAUAGGAAGACAAGAUCUGCAUCUUCGAUCCACUUCCUACCAAUAUAGGAAGAUAGGAUCUGUUAUCUUUGAUUUACUUCACGCCUAUACAUGAAGACAAGAUCUGCUCUCUGCGAUCUACUUCGCCACCAAUAUGGGAAGACAAGAUCUGCAUCUUUGAUCCACUUCCUACCAAUAUAGGAAGAUAGGACCUAUUUACGCCUAGUGUUUAGGAUGACAUGAUCAGAAUGAAUCAAAUGCUCCUAACUAGAUGCGUAUGUAUUAUAUUUGUAGAAUGUCAUGAGAAUGAUCCAUUUUUAAUGCUUAGGUUGUCAUUCUUCAUUGUUCAUCAAGGUUCUAUCACUGAUGCCUUCUUGUUCAGCCAGUACCUUUGACAGAAAACCUAAAGAAAUAGACGCUAUUUAGACUAUCAUUUCUCAAAUGUUUCCAACCCUUAGGUUUGGUUAGUUCUAAACAAUAGUCCUGUUUCAGGUCAUCGUAUUAUUUAGAAACUUUCAGAGUAAUAUGCAGAACUCCUUCUGCAUGUGUAUUGUCAGUCCAUUAAUCGUUAUUUCAAUGAAAAAUGCUUGAAAAAGAUUAUCAAAAUGGACAAAAUGGAAUUUUGUUGAGAGCAAAGCUCUAAACAAACAAAUCAAGAUAGCAAAUUUGCUGAGAUACGAGAUGAAUAAGAUGAAAAAGAUUAUCACAACGGAUAAGAUGAAAAUUUGCUGAGAGCAAAGCUCUGAAUGAACAAAUUAAUCAAGAUAGCAAAUGUUGCUAGAAUACAAAACGAGAAUAAAUUAAUCAAGAUGAUGUAUUUUGUCAAAAAUACAGAAAAUGAAUAAAAUGGAAAUAAGUGCCCCAGAUAUCGUAGCAUGAGCUUCUCUGCCCCAAACUUCUUAAGGACCCUUUUGAACUUGAUAUGUGUUUAGAAGUCCUAGAAGGCUUUGUUGAUGCCCCAUCUUUGAUCGAAAACUACUUUAUGCCUCAUCCUUGAUCGAAAAUUUGAAUUGCCCGUUCCUGGGUUUUCAAUUCAAAACCCCUUUGGUCUCAAGGUGCCCUUUGCGGGUUUUCGCCUUGGCCUCUCCUCUUUUUUUUUUUUAGGCAAAGUACCUCUUCACUGAAUCCGAAUUCACAGGAUUGGGCAAGCUUUUGCCAUCCAUCCUAGUUAAAAUUAAUGCCCCUCCUGAAAAGGCCUUUUUUACUACAUAAGGUCCCUCCCAGUUUGACAUCCACUUUCCUCUGAAGUCUUUUUGUAUGGGAAGGAUCUUCUUCAGUACCAAGUCCCCUUCAUGGAAGUUUCUAGGACGAACUUUCUUAUUGUAAGCUCGCAUCAUUCGUUUCUGGUAUAUUUGACCAUGACGGAUAGCUCUUAACCUCCUUUCCUCAAUCAAGUUCAGCUGAUCAUAUCGGGAUUAGACCCAUUCUGCUUCGUCUAACUUUAGUUCUGAAAAAACUCAGAGGGAGGGAAUUUCAACCUCAAUUGGUAGCACUGCCUCCAUUCCAUAAACCAAAGAGAAUGGUGUUGCCCCGGUAGAAGUCUUGACGGACGUUCGAUAAGCAUAGAGGGCGAAUGGCAACUUCUCGUGCCAAUCUCUAUAGGUCUCAGUCAUUUUCCCCACAAUCAUUUUGAUAUUUUUAUUGGCUGCCUCCACCGCACCAUUCAUCUUUGGACGGUAUGGCGAUGAGUUGUGGUGCUUGAUAUUGAAUUGACUACAAACUUCUGCUAUCGUGCUAUUAUUCAAAUUUAAUGCGUUGUCAGAUAUAAUCCUUUCGGGCAUUCCAUACCGACAUAUGAUUUCCUUCUUUAAAAACUUGCUGACAGCUGCCUUUGUGACGUUGGUGUAAGAAGUAGCCCCUACCCACUUAGUAAAGUAGUCAAUCACUACAAAAAUGAAACGAUGUUCGUUUGAAGCCUUUGGCGAUAUCGGCCCAAUGACGUCCAUGCCCCACAUGGAGAAAGGCCAUGGGGAAGUCAUGACGUGAAGAGGUGAUAGAGGCAUAUGGAUUUUGUCUCCGUAAAUCUGGCAUUUAUGGCACUUCUUAGCAUAUUUGAUGCAGUCUCCUUCCAUGGUAGACCAAUAAUAUCCAAAUCUCAUGAUUUGUCUGGCCAUUGUGAAACCGUUAGCGUGUGUUCCACAAAUACCAUCAUGGACUUCUUCCAAGAUCUGUUUGGCCUCCAUAGCGUCCACACAUCUUAACAGCACCUGAUCUUUUCCUCUUUUGUACAGGAUCUCUCCAUCUAAGACGUAAUCACUGGCCAGCCUCCUCAACAUUCUCUUGUCAUUCUCAGUUGCUUGGUUUGGGUAUUCACGAUUUUUUACGUAUCGCAAUAUAUCCUGAUACCAAGGGUUUUCGUCCUUUUCUUCUUCUUCGUCAAUGUUACAACAGUGGGCUGGAGCAUCAUAAAUGCUCAUUUGGAUAGGCUUCACAUCCUCUGGUCUAUUUACUUUGAUAAUGGAAGCCAAUGUAGCUAAAGCGUCGGCCAUCUGAUUCUCGUCUCGUGGAAGAUAACAAAAAGUGAUGUCGUCAAACUCCUCAAUCAAUUCUAGGACUAUCCUUCGGUAACUAAUCAACUUAGGUUCUCUUGUUUCCCAUUCGCCUUUGAGCUGAUAAAUUACCAAUGCCGAAUCCCCAUAUACCUCAAGUACCUUGAUUUUGCGUUCUAUAGCCGCGCGGAUUCCCAUGAUACAUGCUUCAUAUUCCGUCAUGUUAUUUGUGCAAUCAAAAUCUAGUUUACUGGUGAAAGGAUAAUGAUCACCGUUUGGAGAUACCAAGACUGCCCCAAUCCCGUUGCCCAUGGCAUUUGAGGCUCCGUCAAAAUUUAAUUUCCAAGUAUUGCCUUCUUGUGUGCUUGCUUCAGUAGUUGCCACAUACAUCAGAUCCUCAUUUGGAAAAUCAAAGUUCAAAGGCUCAUAAUCGUCCAGGGCUCUACUUGCUAGAAAAUCUGCUAUCGCGCUCCCUUUUACAGCCUUUCGAUUCACAUAGGUUAUGUCAAAUUCAGAUAGUAGAAUUUACCAUCGGGCCAUCCUUCCGUUUAGAGCAGUUGACUCCAUCAUGUAUUUCAGAGGGUCUACCUUUGAGAUUAACCAAGUCGUAUGGUACAACAUGUAUUGUCUCAAUCUUCGAGUAGUCCAAACCAAUGCGCAACAUAAUUUUUCAAUUGGCGAAUACCUCGUUUCGCAUUCAGUGAACUUUUUACUGAGAUAAUAGAUCGCUCUUUCCUUUCGUCCUGACUCAUCAUGUUGGCCGAGCACGCACCCCAUGGAAUUCUCAAAUACUGCCAAGUAUAGUAUCAAUGGUUUGUCAGGGCAAGGUGGUAUCAGUACUGGGGCGUUGGACAAGUAAUGUUUAACUCUUUCGAAAGUUUUCUGGCACUCUUCAUCCCAUACACCUGGAUUGUGUUUCCUAAGAAGACGGAAUAUGGGGUCACAUUUCUCGGUUAAUUGUGAAAUGAAUCGAGCGAUGUAAUUUAGUCUUCCUAGGAAACCCCGAACUUCUUUUUGAGUACUUGGCGGAGGUAAUUCUUAUAUGGCCUUAACUUUGUCUGGGUCAAUUUCAAUUCCCUUUUCGCUGACUAAAAAUCCUAGCAAUUUUCCUGAUCUAGCCCCGAAAGUACACUUGGCUGGGUUAAGUUUUAGCUGGAACUUCCUUAACCUCAGAAACAGUUUUCUCAGAACUUGCACGUGUUCCCUUUCUGUUCUGGAUUUUGCGAUCAUGUCAUCAACAUAAACUUCUAUCUCUUUAUGCAUCAUAUCAUGGAAUAAUGCUACCAUGGCUCUCUGAUACGUUGCUCCCGCAUUUUUCAAUCCAAAAGGCAUCACUUUAUAACAAAACGUCCCCCACAUCGUUAUGAAUGUGGUCUUCUCCCUGUCUUCAGAAAGCAUCUUAAUUUGGUUGUACCCGGAGAAACCAUCCAUGAAAGAGAGCAGUGAGUAUCCGGCCGUGUUGUCUACCAAGGUAUCGAUAUGAGGAAGUGGGAAAUUAUCUUUUGGGCUGGCUUUGUUCAAGUCUCUGUAGUCCACACACAUUCGCACCUUCCCAUCUUUCUUAGGAACAGGGACUAUAUUGGCUACCCAUUCUGAGUACUUGACCACCUGUAAGAAACCAGCAUCAAAUUGCUUCUUAACUUCUUACUUUAUUUUUAGCAAGACAUCAGGCCUCAUCCUUCGGAGCUUUUGUUGGACUGGUUUGCAUUCUUCCUUUAUAGGCAAUCGGUGUACCACGAUAUCAGUACUUAACCCUGGCAUAUCUUGGUAGGACCACGCGAAGACAUCUUUAAACUCUUGAAGCAACUCAACAAGGUCUUGCCUUGUUUCCUUGGCAAUGCAAGCGCCAAUUUUUACCUCUCUGCUCUCUUCUAAGGUCACAACUUCUACUGAUUCCUUAUAGGGUAUAAUUUGUUUUUCUUCUUCUUUCAUCAUUCUUAACAAAUUCGGAGAUAAAACGCUGUCUUGGUCACCUUUAAAAUCUUGAGGAUCAUCUAUACUCAUGUCUUGCUCAAAUAGAGACUCUGAAUUAGUAACAGAGUCGCUCAUCUCGUUGAUAUUUGAAGACCUGUUAUUGGAACAAAUGGAGGCCCAAAUAAAAGGAUCUAAGAAUACUUGUAUGCAUAUUAUGAUUAUAAAGGGAAUGAAAAGAAUGAAAGAAUACUUGCUCAAGAUGAAACUGAAUGAUAAGUUUUCACUGAAAUUAGAUUUUGAACAUGUGCAUUUUACAAAAGAUUCUUAUCACCCCCAGGCUUAGGGCAACAAGUGUUCUGAAUAUUACUCUGAAUUAGUUCUAAAUGUUACAGGGAUCUCUUCUGCAGUCCAGUUAUUCGGAACACUUCCAGGUUCGUAAGGACGAAUGCCCGAUAAAUUCCUUUCCACCCUUUCUUCCGCGGAUAUGGCAUUGAUGUCCAACCUCUCAAUCCUUCCUUCUGUAACCUCAUCCUUCUCUUCAGGGUGGACAAUUCCCCCUGAAACAAAAGUCUUAGAUAUAUGAGGAAAGGUUAUCGGUCCCCACUUGGCUUCUAUCCCGCCCAAAUGUGCUCUUCUCCUUUCUUGUCUUUUCUCCAUCUCCUUCCUCCUUUCCCUCGCAAUAGGCUUAUAUCCCAAACCAUAACGGUCCUGUUUGUUAACUAGGAUCGGUACUCCGACCCUUCCCUGGAGGUAUUUUCCAAAUCCUCUUCCAGGCAAUGCUCCCUUUCCCACCGUUAAGUUCAUUGACGUAGCUUUGGAUAUCUUAGGCUCUGGGAUUUUGCUCAUCUCAAUGACAAAUAUGGCAUUUACGAAUUCCAAUGAUCGGAAUGAACAUUCUAUCGCUUCACUAUCAGCCUCUAUGUAUGGCAUAUCAUCGGUGACUGAUGCAAUGAUGUCUUCUUCUGCACCUAUAGUCACCAAUCUACCCUCUACCACCAAUUUUAACUUUUGGUGAAGUGACGAUGGUACAGCCCCUGCAGAAUGGAUCCAAGGCCUCCCUAAUAGGCAAUUGUAAGAUGGUUUAAUAUCCAUUACCAAAAAGUCUACCUCGUAUGUAUUUGGACCAAUCAAUAGAGGUAUCUCGAUUCUUCCCAUCACUUUUCUCUCAGUGCCAUCAAAUGCUCUCACUAUAUUUUGGCAUAAUUUCAUGUGAGAACUAUCCACAGGUAGCCUGUUUAAUGUGGACAGGGGUAAAACAUUCAGGGCCGAUCCAUUGUCAACGAGUACCGCCGGUAGUAUACACCCCUUGCAACGGGCAGUGAUGUGCAAGGCCUUGGUAGAUCCCAUACCGCCUGGCGAGAUCUCAUCAUCGUUGAAGAAGAUGAAGUUAUCGGCAUUUAUAUUGUUAACCAGGCAAUCCAAUUUGUCCACUGAGAUAUCUUUAGCGACAUAAGUUUCAUUUAGCACUUUUACUAACGUAUUACGAUGUAUCUCUGAACUUAGAAGUAACUCGAGCACUGAGAUGCGAGCCGGUUACUUAUGCAGUUGUUCCACCACGCUAUACUCGCUAUGCUUCAAGAAUUUUAAGAAUUCUCUAGCCUCAUUUUCAGUCACCGGUGUAUUAAUAUGCGGUUCAAUUCCGGUCUUCGUUUUAUCUUGUUCAACCGCCAAGGCUUUUCCUUUUAUAGGCCCCCUUUUUGUAUUUCCCGGGUCGCAACGUUUUCCACUACGCGUAUAAAAGCCUGUGUCAUUACCCUCUUCUGAAGCAUUUAUCGGGUUCUCCUCUCCCGUGAUCAUCACAUUGCAGUCAUAAUUCUAAGGAACCUUUUUACUAUCCUUGUAAGGAAAGGCUACAGGUUUUUGGAUUAUGACCCUUGGCGCCAGUUGUAUUCCAGAUCCUGUGCUUGUUGGCCUUGAAAUAAUCACCACCGGGUGAUUUUGGGCCUUUCUCGUAGGCCCCUCCUCUGAGGCAUAAACUUCUCCUUUCUCAAGUCCUUUGAUCUCUUCAUAAAAUUCUAACUCUUUGUUGUUCAUCAGAUUUUGUAACAUGGCCUUGAAAUCAGUGCAAUUUUGAAUGUCAUGGUCUUCUUCAGCAUGAAACUCGCAGUACGUCUUCGUUCCUUCGGGCCUUUCUUUUGAAUCUUGUUUGAUGAGACCUCCUUCUAUCAUUUGUCUCCAAACCCAACUCAAUGGGGUUUUUAUCUCUGCAAUGUCGGUUUUGAUUCUCUUUCUCCCACCUUCGAUUAUUGCGUUUACCCCUUUAUCAGCAUGAUCGGGUAACGGAUUCGCUGCUACAUUUGGUCCUAAUGGGUUGUCAAACUUCACAAUCCCCAUCUUAAUGAACCUUUCCACCGCCUUUUUAAACCCAGUGCAGUUCUCAAUUGAGUGCCCCGGUAUCCCUGCAUGGUAUUCACAUUGGGCAUUCGCGUCAUACCAUUUGGGAUACGGAGGUUGCAUGGGCUCUAGAUAAAAUGGAGAUACUAUGUGUGCAUCAAAUAACUUCUGAUACAGUUCCCCGUAUGUUAUUGGAAUGGGCGUGAAUUAAAGUCUCUCUGUGUUAGUCCUUGUGUUAGGCCUCGUGUUGGGUUCCUGCCUUGAGGGGGCUUGGUGACUAGUGGUUAUCAUUUUUGGAGGGCCAACAGUAAUCAGUUUUGAAUGGCUCUUGCUAUAUGUGCAUACGUUGUUUACUUCGCCCUCUUUUUUUCUUCGGGCUGGUCUUUUGAAGUUUUCCCCAGUGUCAAUUUUACCGCUCCUUACCGCGUUCUCAAUCAUUUCACCAGACAUUACCAUAUCCGAGAAACUCUUGGUAGCACUCCCCAACAUGUGGUUGAUGAACAGGGCUUUCAAAGUGUUGAUAAACAACAUGGUGACCUCUUUUUCCAAAAGGGGUGGCUGGACUUGUGUUGCCACUUCUCUCCAUCGUUGGGCGUAUUGCCUGAAAUUCUCGCUAGGCUUUUUUUCCAUGUUUUGUAACGUAAUUCGAUCGGGUGUUAUAUCCAUUACAUGACUGUAUUGCUUCAUAAAAGCUUGCGCCAAGUCUCUCCAUGAACUAACUUUAGCACGACUCAGUUGGUUGUACCAUUUGGCUGCAGAUCCGAUCAAACUGUCCUGGAAGCAGUGGAUUAACAGCUGAUCAUUGUUGACGUAUCCUGUCAUUCUUCGACAGAACAUAGUUAUAUGAGCUUCAGGACAACUAGUCCCAUUAUAUUUUUCGAAUUCUGACAUUUUGAACUUAGGUGGGAGUACUAAACCAGGGACCAAACUCAGAUCAUUGACGUCAACCCCGCGAUGACAGUCGAUGUUCUCCAUGGCUCUAAAUUUUUCCUCUAACCAUCUACAUCGGUCCUCCAGUUGUUUUGGCAGGUUCAUUCUUGUUUUUUCUGUUUCUGCCACGUCAUCGAGGUCCGGGACCACCAGAUUAGUGGGAUUAUCCCCGGGAUUAAAACCCGAGCCCAUUUGAAAAUGCACUGGUACCGAGGUACCAGCCAGAUAUUGAGGUCCUAUGGUAACUGGUACCCUCUGUGGGUACACCUCUGGUUGUGCUUGGAUGUUAGUUGGGGUGAAACCUGGAGGAUAAACAGGGUCAUCGUGAUCCUCCCCAGCAUCAAUUACGGGGUCUUUUCCUUUGUUAUUCCCUCCAGCCAAUAACUGCUUUAAUUGGUUCAUCACGGUGUUCUGGGAUUCUAACAUGUCCUGCUGGAUUUUUUCCAGUCGUUCAUGCAUCUGAUCUUGCAUCUCUCGUUGCAACUGUUCCAAUCUUUCCAACCUUUGAUCCAUUGCUUUUGUUUGGCGACGAGUACCGUAGUGAUAUUUGAUUAGAUUUUUGUUGGUUUCCAGGGUAACUGUCAUAAUUUAAUUUUAUUAGGGUCAUUUUAUGAGAUGUAAUGCAAAUGUAUGAGAUGAAUGCAAAAAAAAGAGGCAUUGAUUCGAAUUCAAUUUCAUUAGAAAACUCAACUAGAAAGCAAAUUUCUUUACAUAAAAUAAAUUACAUAUACGGCUUCGCCUUUAUACCCAAAGCCUUAACCUUCCUAAGAAGCCAACUAAAUCUCGACCUCGGCUUGAUUCUGACUCAUAUUUUAAACUCAAUACAUCGGCCUGAAUUGCUAAUGUUUGCAGAUGAUCAGCCACUUCCCGCACUUGAGUCACAGCUUCGCCCAUAACGUAAUCUCUAUCUCUAAUCUGACUUUGAGAAUGAUGGAAUUGCUCUUGCCAUUGAUCAUUACUCCUCUCAAGAAGCUCCAUUCGUAGCUCAGAAUUGUGUAAUGCGUCCUCAAGCUCCUCUACCUUUCCUUUCAGUUCUUCGAUCUUAUUUAAGCUUGCUCUUAAUUCGAUCAUGGAGUUGCGACUACGGUACGAGUGAAGUGACUUUUCUAGCUCUGCCACCUUGGCCUUUAAUCCUGCCUUCUCAUUUCGGCACUCUAACAAACUCCUUUCCAAAGCGUUUUCUCGAGCUCAAGCAUCUUGAAAUUUCUUUUCCCACUGAUCGGCCCUAUUCUUUUCCUCAUUGAUCUCUUGUCGCCAUUGCUCUGACGUUUUACCCAGACCGACAGUUCUCAUUGACAAUCGCAGCUUCUUGUAAUCUAUUUUUAGACUAUCCAAAUCCUCUUCAGCCUUGUUCUUUCCCUUCUUUAAUUUCUCGGCUUCUAGCUUGUGGAUAUCGAUGUCUAAUCCCAAAUGCACUCUUUCUUCUUCUAGCUGUUCUAUCCUCUUUCCCAACUCAGAAUUUCUUUUCUCAAAGUCUCGUUUGAUGAUCUCUAAUUCUGACGGAACUACUUGUAGAUGCUCCUCUAUAGACUGAACGCAAUCUUCCCUCGGCUUAGGGAUGUUGUCAUUGACUCUUUUACUCCACCACCCAUAAUAUUCUGAAGUUGUCAUCGCUCCUACGGUAAAUCUUUUCAUUCGGUGAACCUGUUUCCAAGCGUUAGAUAUUUCUCGAGUUUUUCUCUUGUAGUUUUCAUCCUUAUAAGAAAACUCACAUUGAGCCAGCCCUUGUGUUGCUGGUAUGAACUGUCUCGAUCUAUAUUGUCUUAAUACGAGUAAAGGGGCAUAACCGACAGCUCCCCAAAUUUCGAGUAAAGGGACCCAGUCGAAAUCCCCACAUCGAUACAGGAUCUCGUCGGGUACCAUCCAAGGAGCUUUCCAUUCAACGUCAUCCUCCUGAAGAUUUUGGAGAAUCGUCAUCCACUUCUCUUCCGUGAUGUCGUCUCGUCUUGGUGUAGCAACUUGUUCCUUCAAUGGGGAAUAGUCUUCUGAGAAGACUCGAUAGGAGACAUUUUCCACCUUCCAAAAGUGACUAUGGAACCACACUAAUAGUAGCUGUGCGCAUCCGAUGAACCUUCCCUCCCCUGCUCUUCGACAUGCACUUAGAAAUCUGAAGGUUUCUGCUAAGAUUGCCGGGAUGGGCGUGACUCCUUUACUAAGCCGAUCGAACAAAUCAGAGACGGCCUCAUCUACGUGCCCUAAAGCUCUAGGGAAAAUUACCAAUCCAUAGAUACCUAGAGCGAAGACAUCCACUCUUUUCUUCACAUCAGGGUGUGCUAAUACUAAAUCUCGCAAGCUUUUCCAAGGAACGCAUUUACUGUCUCCUUUCUGUUGGAUUCGGGCAGCGACCCACUGUUCGCUCAUCCCUGUAAUGCUCAUCAAUUUUUUUAAUAAUGUCGGGACACUAGCAGCUCUAGAAUAGGCCUUGUCAAUUUGAAUCUUUGGACACCGAAGCAAGGUCGUAUAUUCUUCCAUGGUGGGCACCAAGUCCACUUUUCCAAAAGUGAAACAACUGUAAGCAGGAUUCUAAAACUGGGCUAGGGCUCGGAAUAAAUGCUUGUCCACUUUGACACCAAGUAGGUAAGGCAAGUCCCCGUAGUCACAGUAAAACAUCUGCUUGGUCCCAUCGUCCCAUUGAUCCCAUAUUUCCUUCAUUUCUCGAAGAUCAUUUUGGAUUACGCUGAUACGGGUGAAGUCCCAUAACUCUGAUACGUACCCUUCUGCAAGACUAUCGCCUUUCUCUCUCCACAUCGUCUCAGCCCACACUCGUACAGCUGCAUUGUCUUCUACUUUAUCAAGAAACCUCUUUUCCAUGAUAAGCUUUCUAUCUAUACUGAACGUGAAUCGACACCUUUUGAAAUGAAAAUGCCAUGCAAUCAUAAACAAAGCAAAUCAGAGCUAGGAUUUAAAGUAAACAAUAAUAAAUAAAGCAUCUAUUCGGUAAGCGCUAGGGUUUGGAAUAGCUCUAUCUCGGUGGGUUCUUACGGCUCGCUAUAUGUGGUUUAGUUCUAAAGUAAGGGUACCUGAACCAGCAGAUUCCUCGAUCCUCACCCAUUAUAGGCUCAUGGACCGAGUUCAGUUCAGGGGAAUACAUUUCCCUAUGGCCAUGCGGAGAUGAAAAUCUCACGAAGACAUAGGUACGGAUGUAUCCCGGAAGCGAUUCACUAUCCCAUGCGGAGGUGAAAACCUCACGAAGGCGUAGUUUCUCACUCCCACUUAAAAAGGUAUGACCAGCGAUCAUGCAAUUCAAUGUGCAGAGGUAUAAAAUAAAAUACAGAACACGAUAAAAAAUAUAACUCAAAACAAAAGAGAUGCAAUGAAAGGAUCGUAAAUUUAAAUCAAAUUUUCCACUUUCAACAAAAAGACAAGAAAUAAUCAACACGUGGCUUGACUCUCUUUCGUUCCCCAGUGGAGUCGCCAAGCUGUUGACACCAUUUUUUUGAUGAAAACGGGGUCGACUUGGAUUUUGAAAAAAGAAUGAAAACGGGAGUCGCCACCAAUCCUUUUUGACGAGGUGUGAUCGGGUCACCUCAAAAUGUGGUUGUUUUUAAUAAAUGAUUUAAUUUUAUUAAAACAACGAUUUUGGUCUACGAAAUUCAGAAAAAUGAGUUCGGGAGUCGGUUACGCACGAGGAAGGAUUAGCACCCUCGAUACGCCCAAAAUUGGUACCUAGUUGAUUAAUUAGUGUCUUAGUGUCGAAAAUUGAAAAUUUGAAGAGUUUUAAAAAUACGAUCCUUAAAAGAAAUUCUGAUAACGUGAAUUGAAAUAUAAGAUUCUCUUGUUCCGAAGGAAUAUCACAUCCAGCACGUUAGGACACGAUACUCUAAACCAUCGAAACCAAGAUCAUCUUAUAGUUUAAUGAAACCACACUUUGAAGCUUUAAGAGGAUAUUUGGCUAUUUAGUCGAACGAGAAAUCGAAACCCAGCACGUUAGGGCACGUUUUCUCGAUUUUCCAAACGCGAAAUAUCGCCUUAUUUAGAAAAAUUUUCCUUUUGAUGUUUGGUGUUAAUGCUUGACAAAACAAUAACGAAUACGACAAGGUGAGCAAAGUAAAGUGAGUAACAACAAUACAAUAGGCAAAAUGAAAUGACGAGGCGAUUACAUAAACAAAGCAUACAAAUAAAUAAAUAGAACUAACAUUUAAAAAAAAGCAUAAGUGUACACGAAUAAAUAAACAAACACCAAAUAACAAUGAUGACAAUAAAUACAAUUAUGUAAAAAUGUAUAUACAUGUAUAAUUUUAAGCCAUGAAAUAAGAAACGCAUAUAAAUUAUAGAAUAUGAAAACAUAGAUAAAUAUAUACAUAUGUGUAAAAAAUAAUAUUAUAAAAAGGGUACGUAUAUAUGUAUAAAAAAUAAAUGUAUUAACAAUGAAUAUAAUAAGGGUAAGAAAACAAGUAUAUACACAAUAUAUAUGUAACGUAGGUACUAAGGAUAUAUAUAUACAAUACAGUAUUUAAAAUAAUAUUUACGUAAUAUAAAAUAUAAUAUUAAAAGGUAUAUGUACAUACGUAAUAUAUAAAUACAUAUAUAAUAUAAUGUUAAAAUAUUUACAUAAUACUAAAAUAUUUAGGUAAUAUAUGCGUAUAUUGAAAACUAGUAAUAAUAUUACCGAGGUAUAUACAAAUAUAUCAAGUAUAUACACGUAUUAUAAAUAUAUAAAUAUAUGACAAAGCAUAAACUAAUAAAAAUAAUAAGAAUAAUAAUAAUGAUAACAUUGGAAUAUAAAAGAAACAAACAUAACAUUAAUAAAAUAUUAAAAUAAAGUGAAAUAAAAAUAUUAAAUAUGAGAAUAUAUAUAGGUAUACACGUACAUAAUAAAAAUAUAUACUAAUACAUAAUAAUAAUAAUGGUAAUACUAAUAAUACUAAUAAUAUAAAAAUAACAAGGAUAUUUAAUAAAGAUAUAAAAAUCAACAAAAAAGGACUAAAAUUGAAUUGAAAGCAAAGUUGUGGGGCCAAUUUGAAAUGAAAACAAAGAAAAAGGACUUAAUUGUAACACGCAUGCAACUUGGAGGGUCAAAAGUGCAAUAAACCCAAGUAUUAAAAACGCUGCGCAGCGUGGGGGACCAGAAUGAAUUCGGGGCAACACCAUGGAGCCAAAUUAAAAAUAAAAAAACCUUGAUUGUAAACUCCCAGAAAGGCGGAAGGGCUAAAAGUGCAAUUAGCCCUUCCAAAGAAAAAAACACGCGGAUCUUCCUUGGUGCAGGUCGGGUCGACCCGACCCGUGUUCAAAACGACGUCGUUUCAUUUAUUUAAACCGGGGGUCCAAAACGGUGCGUUUUGACCCCCUAUAAAAGUCAAAAAAACUUCAAAAAAAAAUCAUUUGUAACGCUGAGGGAAAAAAAAGAAAAGGGAGAGAGGAGAGGGGAGCCCGGAGCGAUUUCCGGCCAAGGGAGGGGUCACCGGACGGCCACCGGAGGCUCGCCGGCGUCAGCGCCGGCCACCGCACGCCGUGGCCGGAAAGGUAAAAUUUUUUAUAUUUUUUUUAUAUUUUUUUGUUAUUUAUUCUUGGUCUUAGAAUGUAUAGAUUUUAGGUUUAUAUUAAUAAAAAAGGUAUAGAUAUGUAUAUAGAAAUCGAAAGAAAAUGGAUGAAAACAAAAAGGUAACCUUUUCCGUUUGCCUUUUCUUUUUCCCGAAUGCUUGCUAUCUCAGUACUGAGAUCUAUGUAUUUUUUUUAAAAUUCUAGCUUCUGUUUUUUUGUAUUAAAAUGCCAAAAAACAAACAAAAAGAAGAAAGAAAAAAAACCCCUGACACAAUUUUUUAUUCGGGUUUUUAUAACCCAUUUUCAUCUAAUUUCCUAUUGUUUCUGUUUUGUCUCUUUGCAUGGGAUGGGCACGAUGGAGGUGACAGAGGCAUGGUGGUACAGAGGAGCAGGUGGCCGACAUGGUGGCAUGGAGAGCUGGGCGUGGCAGACGAGGAGGCCACGCGAGGCAUGCAGCGCUAGGGCUUGGGGGGCAUCUUUCUGCCGAAAAUGUUAAUGUUGUCUGGGCUGGGUUUUUGAUUUUUGUUUCGGGCCAUGGGCUACAUUGGGCUUGUUAUUUUCCUUUGUAAUUGGACUGUUGUUUAUCUUGUUUUAAUAUUCGGGCCUGGGCAUAAAAUUGGGCCUUACAAUAGUCUUAAGUGUCUAUCACAAGAACCUAGAUAUUGUAAAUCCAAUAUCUUCCAAACAAUUCAACCAUGAUAUUAAUGAUGAUGGAAGCAAGAUUAUCCACUAUCAAUGACAUAAAAUGAGCUGUAAAUGCUGACGAACAAACAUGCACUGUUUUUCCAACCUGUGGAUUGAAGAGCAUUGACAAGCUAACUUUGCAGACCAUUUGAAUCCAAUACUAUACAUAAAAAUGCCAAAGGAGAAUAAUUCAUCUUGGAAAAAGAAUUACUAAUAUGCAAAAGCUUACCUUGUUUAACAAGAACACAGCAUAUGCUGCUCUUGUCGUGUCUUGACCUUCUAAAAACAGCGGAAAUUCUGCCAGCUUUACAUUUGCUGAAAGUGUUGUAUCCAAUGACAAAUCAGAAGAUGCAGGGUCUAUUGAAGACGCAUGGUCAUUAAUAUAUGAGCGAGAACCACCCAAGCGCAGAGGAUAACGCAAGGGAACUUGUAAAUAGGAUGCAAUUAGUGAAACAGCCUGCAAAUGAUGAAAUAACAGGAAACAAGAAACAAUAAUAGGUAUGAUUAAAAUUAUAGCCUCAGCAUGAGAAACAAGCAAUCAAGAUGCAGCCCACUAUACCAUAUUACCAUCCUAGCAAUUAAAAAUUACUACAGCAUCUUCAAGCAACAAGGGAUUGUAGGUGGUAGGUCAAAAAACUUGAUAUCCACAGCUUGAUAUUAUCAGAAAAAACAAAUUCAGUAAUAAAUGAUAACUUCACAGAAGAAAUAGAACGCACAUGUGCAACAUAUCCCAAGGCAGUUGCAGAUCUCUGAACCUCCUUUUUGUCAGUGAAAAAACUCAUCUUUGUAAAAGGAAGCAAGGUGAGAUUCAGACCUAAAAUUGUCAACGAUCCUUGAUUGACGGGCUUUGAUGCAGAAGGAUUCCCUAGUGAAGACAGGAACAAAGGAACUUCAUAUCAAUACAUCACCAGACACCACCUCUUUGUGAAAGUCAAAACAAAAUUCAAAAAAAUAUAAUCAUGAAAGUAAGAGAUAUGUAAAAAGUUCAUAAUAUUCAAGAGCAAAAAAAAAUUGUUUUGAUAUGAGGAGAAUUGAAUAGUAGAUUGCUAAAAGAGGAAUAACUGAAUACAGCCAUCAUAACCAAAAGAAGAGUCAAGUGAUAGGUAAUGGUACUCCCUAAGCUGUUUAGGAAUCAUAAAAGACUUGUCCAGUUGACAAAAAUAACUCAUUUUAUUCUCCCCUAGUAAAACAUCAUAUUGGACCAACCAUAUUUGAUAUCAAAGGAUAUGGAUAUCCAGGCAUGCCAUUUAUAGAUAUUCCCAGUGUUGCAAGAAGGAAUUGUUCAAGAGAAAGAAGCUGCUAUUGUUGGUAAAGUUUUCCUCAAACCAUUUUGAACAUCCAAAAUCUCAAGAACAAAAAAGAAAACGUAGGAGGAAAUAUAACAAGCAUCACAACGGGUUCUCGAUGAUAUAAGUGAGAGGAUAAAUGUUAAUUAAGAUUAUAAAAAUAAACCACAAACUAAACAGGAAAGACAUGGAUUUCAAAACGAGGAGACUGGCUGCUAAUUAAAACCAUAUGCGGUGUUGUCUAGGGCGCAAGGCGCAUUCUAGGUGCUAACCUUUAUAUUGCCUCAAGCACAAGGCACAAAAGGAAGCGCUAGCCUGAGUGCAGUAAAGCGCAAUACAUAUAUGUGAGAGUUUUUGCAAGUCUGUGUGUCUACAACAUAAAAGUUUUAAGAUAUAUAGUAAACUCUAAAGUGUGGUCUGGUUUAUCCACAAAACUUGCAAAAUUUUUAUAGGUGAAUGCUCAAAUAUUGAGAAUUAUAGAGUUUGAUAUUAUCCCUUUCUUAUUAGUAAAGGUGUAUCAAAUGAAAACAGUAAAAAAUAAAAUAAAAUAUUGAGAAAUUCAACAAGGCAGGCUUUUUCUAAUGCCCAUUGCCUUACAAAAAAAGUGUGCCUAGGUGCACCAGGCAUACGCUUGAUCAAAUGGACCUCACCUGGAAGGGUCCAAGGCGUUUGGUUGUAUAAAACUAAGGCGUAGGCAUGCCUAGGCGCAUGCCUUGACGACACUGACCAUAUGUUGGCUUUAUUGCAAAGCAUUAGCAAUCCAAAACUACUAGCACAUUACCUAAUCUACUACUGCUAGAAUAGGACUCAAGUUCUUGCUCCUGUGCAGGUCCAACCAAGAUCUUUACAGGAUACAAUAAUGAAACUUGUGAUAUCAUAUAUUGUUGCCUUGCUCGAAGCUUCCUUUGCACAUUUUUAAGUUUAACACAACCCCUUUCUUCAGUGAGUAAUCUAUUUGCUUCCUGUGAUAAAAACAACAUAUAAUCAAUCAUGCCACGCAUGCAAGACUACCAACCAACUAUCUAACAAAAGAUACAAAGAAGUAGGAGAGCAAGAAGGGGAUAACCCUUGACUAUGCAAAGGAAUUCAUAGAAUGAGAAUCAUCUCAUCUAAGCCCCUCAACCACCUUCACAGGGGGUGGAGGUGCAAAGAGAGAGGUCUUAUUGAUCCGAGAGGAGAAUAUAUAACAUCUAAAGCUGAAUAAGAAGAAACCUUGAAAUAUAUCAUAAAUUCAGAAUUCAUGAUAAUAUAAAAAUGAAAUUCCAAAGCUAAUUUAAGCUAGAAUAAAAAUGCUUCACCUGUAAUCACUUCCUUGCUACAGAAAGAGAGGUACCAGCAACCAACAAUGAUCUUACUUCAGUACUAAGCAUUUCCUCCUGUUUUUUAGCAUCCUCUGUUGCAACUUUGCAAUGAGUUGACAUGUUUGCCAUAACUACUUUCCUUGCCUCGAGUCUCUCACGCAUUUCCUCAAGCUCGUUCAGUUUAUUCAAAGACUCAUUUUUUACCUGCACAGCAUGUUCCCACCCAUUAAUCAGUGGGCCAAUUAAUUAGGUCACAGAAGACAAAACUAAAUUAUCACUCACCAGGUCCCCUUGAAGUGUCAUAUGGCUUUAACAAUUCAACGUGCAAUAUCUAGUAAAAGUAAAAUAAACAUAGAAGAAUGCAAAUGCAAUUCUUAAACGCCUUUAAAUGGACAACAUGAAACACUUUAAGAGCCCUAUAAAACAGAAAACUGGAAAAAAAAUCUGAAAAGGAAAAAAAAAUGAAUUGAAACAAUAAAUCCAUCUGGUACAAACAGCAACAAAUCUCGAAAUAAGCUUUGGCUUUAGCCCAUUAAAGCCCGGGCAUCCGGCCAAAUAAACAGUGACUGCCAUGUCAACUUUUUGAGACGGUAGAAAAGAGCUCAAAAAUCUCAAUUUCCAAAAAUAAGGACAUAAGAAGGAAAACAAUUUACUUAUUCUUACAGUAGAAGAGCAAAAUGAAACUAAAUGAAGGAUAAGGGAACUGAUGCGAAUUGACAUUGUUAUUUUUGGGACUAAAAAGAAUACGCAGAUUGAAUAUUUAAGAUUUUGUAAGGGAAAAGUUCCAUUCACCGACACAAUUAUCAUCGCCCUUUAUCCCAGUAAAGCUUAAUUGACAAUUUUUCUGUCUCGUGUUCUUGCUAAAGCAUUUGAGCAACCCAACAGAAAUCAUUAUAUUUCAAACUGAAAUGAUUGGCUUUAACAAUUUCACAACCUAUACCGCCCAACCUAGUAAGUAAUUUAGGUGCAGACACCAGAAAUCUAUUUUCUUUGCACUCUACAACUAAAUAGCAUACCACUUAUCAAUCAAACACAGCUGAAAACUUCAGUGAGGGAACAUUAUGUAAAAUGAAAAAACUAUAACUUCAACUUGAUUCAUAGCUCGGCAAGUUCAGGGAAUUGGGACUUCUACCACGAUGAUCCAGUUCAAUGUGAAACAGUGAUCCAUAUCAUGCAUAUCGGUUCCCGGAACAAGAGGUAAAACCAGCAAAUUAGGUAAACAAUAAUCCUACUAUAUUUCAGAAUAGCAACAUUGAGCAUGAAAGCUAAAAUUAUAGCAUAUUACGGGUCCUUGCUCUCUACAACUACAUAUAAAAUUAGUAAACAAUAUUACUACAUUAAGGAUCCAGAAAAACUUUGUUUCAAUUGUUGAUCACUUGAUCCAACUAUUUUAGAAAGUUUAUUCUUCUUUUUCCUUUCCCUUAUUUUCUAAAUCAGGAAAAACAGUAGCAUAUAAAUUGGAUUACUACUCCAAGUUUCUGAAAUUUCAACAAUAUCCCUUUUACCUUUUCACUCAAGUCAUUACCCCCCAAUUAACAAAUAUAUUCCCAGUUUCCCUUUCCCUUCAAACACCCCUUUUUUUUUCCUCUACCCAAAUUCAGCUUAUGUUCAAAAACCCAAAAUUGGUUUGCUAAAAUAACAUAAUUUUCAAACACAAAGAUAACCUAAUUUUAAUCAGAAAAAAAAAGCAUUACCUGAAUUAGUGACUGGAGUUUCUCUUGAAGACUUUGUUUCUUCUCAUUAGCUUCCUUAAGGGCAGAAGUUAAACUCCACAAUCUAGCUAGCUCGUUGUCGAAAUCUUCCCAUUCAAUUAGUUGCACAUUUUCAUGUGCAGCAUUGAUUUUCUUCGGGUCGGUAAUUAGGGUUUUGACUCGGGCUUGUUCUCGAUUUUCCAUGAAAUAAUUGAAGAGGAAAGCUUUCGAUUCUGUAAGUUUAAAAAGGGAUCAUAGAUCGACCUCAUGGUACUGGAUCUCGCCCGGUUAGAGUGUUCUUUUUCACGCCGAUCGAAUCAUUUUCUCGGGAAACUUUGCUAGCUAGGGGUAAUUUUCUCGGGAAAAUGGAGGGAAAAACAGAUUCGGGAGUUUUUAUUUGGGGGAGUCUAAGGUAUAACGGAGAAUGACAGGUGGCGGUUAACGGAGGAAUCUCACGAUUCAUGUCAUUUUCACUUUUUCGAUUUAGAAAUUGCUUAAAUACUUUUAAAAAUAGAUAAUAAGAUAAACUUUCUUUUUGAAUAAGAUAAAACUUUCAUUGAAAAUAAAUAAAUAAAUUAAAAAAUAUUUGAUGAUUUUUAAGUUGGUAAUUUUUUUUUAUAAAAAUUUGGUAACUUCUUUGAAAGUUGAUAUAAAAUGUAUCACGACCCGACUUGAGAUUUAAUUUGUCCUCGUCAGAAGUCCGACCCAAACAAGGGAAUAUGACUUGCCACUCACCAAUUUUUUAACCUUCCAACUUGCCAGCUUUAUGGAGUAACUCGGCACCUUGCGACACUACCUAACAUACCGUGAGAUUUAAGUACAAAUAUCUCUAAGGGUAUGUGUCAAGCUUAAGAGAAAUAACAUAUUAUUAUACAUAUUAUUUAGUUACCCCUAACAUGUCACGUCAAAAAAUCAUACUAUAAAAAAUAGUCCUCACAAGAUAGGAUAGAAAAAAAAAGUCAUCAACAAAAGUAAUUAAGUAACCUUUUUAUAAAACAAAAAGAUUUAUUUUAUUUUGAAAUAAAUUAAUUCUCUAACUUAUAUAAGAAAUUAAGUAAAAUCUUUUUAAAUAAUAAGACAUAAUUUCUCGAAAAAAAAUAAUCAAAUGAGAGCUAAUCAAAAUAAUUUAUUUUUUUAGGCCAAACAAUUUUACUUCAACUAUUUAUAAACACUUUUUAAUCAAUUUUAUUUUAACUCCCAUUAUAAAUUUUAUAAAAAGGAUAAUAUAUUAAAAAUACCCUUAAAUUAUUAGAUUUUGUAUAAAUAAACUCUUAUUUUUUUUAGUUAAAUAAACUCCUAAAUUAUUAAUUUAGUCAUGAAAAUGUUGAUAUAAAAGUAUGAGAAUAAUUUAUUAAAUAAAAAAUUAAUUAUUUUAAAAUAUUUAAAAUAUUUAUAUACAUAAUAAACUUAAUUAAAUUCUCUAGAAAAAAAAUUUAUAUUCUUUUAAAUUUUAUGUUGAUAUAUUAUUUCUAUUUGUCUAAUAAAGUGCAUAACGAGGCAAUAACUAUUUUUUAUGUAUAAAUUAAACAAUACUACAACUUCCGAAGUUAAUAAGAUUAUAUCUAUACUCACCAUCACAAUUAGAGACAGGGGUGAGUAUUCGAUCGAAUUGAGUUAAAAAAUUUUGAAUUAGUCGAGUUAACAAAUCUUAUUUUAGCAAUCGAAAUCAAUUUAAAUUUUUUUAAAUCAAAUCGAAUCGAGUCAAAAAAUUUCAAGUCGAAUUAACGAAUCCUAUUAUUUAUACUCAAUAUUGCGUUUAUAUGGGCUGAUUAUUUAACUGGUAGACGAAGUACAAGAUUAUUUAACUAUAUAAACAAUAUAAUGGUUUUGCAUUGUAACUUAAUAGGUAAACAUUUAUCAAAACGAAAUAAUUUUACCUUUUAAGUUAAUGGUUUUGACUUUUAACUUUUAACUUUAAAAAAUAUAAACAUUUAUCAAUACGACGUAAAUUUACAUUUUCGUAUUCGGAUUUUCGAAUAACUCGAAACGUGUAAUUCAUAUUCGAGUUAAACUAAAAAUUUUAAUUUUUUUAUUUGAGUUAAUCUGAAUAACUUGAUUAAAUCGAAUAACUCGAAUUGUUUAAUUUGAAAUUUGAUUUUUUUAUCGAAUUUUUCAAAUCAAAUCAAAAUUUACUCACCCUUAAUUAGUCAUCAUAACUAAAUUAAAGUUGCCCCAUUAUGCAAUUGCAAGUCUUCAAAGCCUAAAAGUUGUAACAAUUCAAAAUUUCAAUGGAAAUUAAAAUUAAUAUUUUUAUCAUAUAUUAGUCAAAGUUUAUUGCAUCAACAAUAAGUUAAGAUAAAAACCUCAAAUUUUAAAAUAUUUUUACCUCAAUAUAAAAUUUAAGAGCUUUCAUGUAUAAAAACUAAAGGUUAGAGCUUUCAUGUUUAAGGGCUUAUUUAUACUUCAUCUUUAUAAAAAAACACUUAAAUAGUAGUUUAAAUUAUAUAGUUAAUCACUCAAUUUUAGUAAAUUUUCAUUUUAGUCACUCGUUGUUAAUUUGGCUAAUGUAAAUAUUACAUUACACUGAUUUUAGUCACCUAAUUUUCAUAAGAUAGAAUUAAUUUUAUUUUUCGGUAAAAAAGAAAAGAAAAACUCAAAAUUUUACAAGCAAGUACCUAGGUUUUUAUAGAAAAAACUUGGAGUUUUAUAUGAAAAACCUACGUUUUUAUUGGAAUAGUCAUAUUAUCUUUUUUUAUUUCAUUUAUUUUUUUCAUUUAUAAAAUUAAUUUUAGCUUUUUCAAUGAAAAGAAAACCUAAUUUUUUACUAAGAAAAUCAUUUUAUCUUUUUAAUUUCUUUUACUUUCAUAUUUAGAAUUAAUUUUAAUUUUUUUUCCAAUAACAAUGAAAAAAAACUUGGAUUUUUACAAUGAGUUUGUUGGGUUUCCACGAGAAUUGCUUGAGUUUUAUGAAUAACUCAAUUCCUUAAAAAAUUCUAAAAAAAAUUAGAAAAAUAAGAUUAAUUAAAAAAAAUGGAGCAAAAUGAAAAUUUACUAAAAUUAGAUGGCUAAAAUGAAUAUACAAUUGCAUUUUCGUUAGCCAAAUUAACAUGUGAUCAAAAUGAAAUAUUAUUAAAAUUGAGUGAUUAAAAUGAAAAAACUAUUUGAUUUAUUUACACCCUGAUUUUAUGAGCAAAUUCCCCAGCACAAAGCCUAUUUUGACAAUAACAGUUCAAAUGAAAAGUCUUCGCUUACUCUUUGAACGAAACUCUUCUCCCGCUAAAACCACCUCUUCUUCCUCCAAAUUCAAACGCCCAAAGCUUUCUUCCAUCUCUAAUGGCUCUGAUUCAUCACAAUCAUCAUCAUCUCAAGAUCCCCUUAAAACCCAUUUCUCCUCUCUCAUCAAAUCCUCCGAAACCACCCUACAACUCCGGCAAAUCCACGCUCAAAUCCUGCGCCGCCACCUCUCUUCCAGUGCCAAUCUCACCACCCUCUUAAUCUCCGUUUCUUCUUCCUUCAAAUCCAUACCUUACGCGCUCUCUAUUUUCAACUAUUCUCACCACAAAAGCUUAUUCCUUUUCAAUGCUUUGAUUCGUGGCUUGACGGAGAAUUCCCAUUUCCAAUCCUCAGUUUCACAUUUUCUUCUCAUGUUGAGACAUAGAGUUCGCCCUGAUUAACUUACAUACCCUUUCGUGCUCAAGUCUAUUGCGGGAUUGGGUCUUCAUUUCCUUGGUCUGAUCCUUCAUGGGAGAAUCAUAAAAUCUGGGGUUGAGUUCGAUUCGUUCGUUCGGGUUUCGUUAGUGGAAAUGUAUGUGAAGCUCGAGGAAAUGGGUUUUGCGUUGCAAGUGUUUGAUGAAAGUCCUGAGAGAAACAAGAGUGAGAGUAUAUUGUUGUGGAAUGUGUUGAUUAAUGGGUGUUGUAAAGUGGGGGAUUUGGAGAAAGCUAUGGAGUUUUUCGAGGCUAUGCCUGAAAGGAAUAUUGGGUCUUGGAAUAGUUUUAUAAAUGGGCUAAUGAAAAAUGGGGAUUUGAACAAAGCAAUGCAGCUUUUUGAUGAAAUGAAGGAGAAGGAUGUGGUUUCUUGGACUACAAUUGUUAAUGGGCUUUCACAGAAUGGAGAUCAUCAGAAGGCGUUAUCCAUGUUCUUUAAGAUGUUGGAGGUCGGUUUAAGGUCGAAUGAUCUUACUCUUGUUUCAGCUCUUUUCGCUUGCGCUAAAAUUGGUGCACUUGAAGUUGGAGUCCAUAUCCAUAACUAUUUUGUGGAAAAUGGGCUUCGGUUGAAUAAAGCAACUGCUGCUGCUUUGGUUGAUAUGUAUGCAAAGUGUGGGAAUAUCCUAUCUGCUAGUAAGGUUUUUGAAGUAACUGUUGCGCGGAAGCGUGUGAAAGAGUAAAAUUAUUGUACUGAAAAAUCACACUAAGUUCAAUUCCCAGGAAAGAGAGGUGGAUCACGAGGAUCGCUUACAUACCAGAUCUUUCCUAGCCAGAAUAUCCCUCUAUCGUAAUUUAAUAGCACAAUAAAUCACUACAAUGACACUUGCAAAAUAUGCAGAACAAAAAAUAAAGAACACUAGAAUUUUAACGAGGUUCAGCAAAUUUUGCCUACGUCCUCGGGCACUACCAAAUAUAUUUCACUCCAAAAAAUACAAGUGAAAGUUUACAAAUAGGGAGAGAGAACAAUUGCCUUAAGUAGAGAUUGGCAAGUGUGGGAUGAAGAAAGUAAGAAAUGGUUAGGCCUAUUUAUAGUUGAGGUUCAAGGAUCAACUUGCAAUGUCCCUAUACAAUUAGGGACCAAAAUUGCAAUUAUCUCAUGCCAACUUUUAACCCAACUUGCCAACCAAUUUUACUUUCUACUUUCGGUGACCACCCUUUUUGACUUUUCAAACAAUGGGUGGGUUCCAAUAAUCUCCACCUUGAAGAUUUGAUUAGGCUAAUCUUAUCUUCACACAAUUCUUUCUGCCUUUGACAACAAUACUUGAUAGUGCCUUCUUCAACUGUUAAACUUGCAGGAUAUUAAUCAAGUUCAAACAAUGUUCGAACUUGGUUGAUGUUACCACCUUGCUCAUCAUAUCUGCGGGAUUAUCUGCAGUCUUGAUCUUCUGAAGACAAAUUUUCCCCUCUUCAAUAAUUUCCCGCACAAAAUGGAAUCGUACGUCGAUAUGUUUUGUACGUGCAUGAUAGACUUGAUUCUUUGCUAAAUGAAUAGCACUUUGACUAUCACGAUACACGUUAAUAUGCUCCUGAACCAACCCCAAGGUUUUAGCCAUACCUUGUAACCAAAUAGCCUCCUUUACAGCCUCUGUUACAGCCAUGUACUCGGCUUCUGUGGUUGACAAUGCAACUGUAGACUGUAGUGUAGACUUCCAACUUAUUGGUCAUCCAGCAAGUGUAAACACAUAACCAGUGGUUGAUCUUCGAUUGUCCAAAUCACCGGCAUAGUCAGAAUCAACGUACCCAAUAACACCUUUACCAAGUGUAUUAUCCUGCUUGAACAGUAAUCCAACAUCCACGGUCUUCUGAAUAUACCGUAGAAUCCAUUUCACAGCUUGCCAAUGUCCUUUUCCAGGAUUAUGCAUAUACCUGCUCACUAUACUAACUGCCUGUGAAAUGUCAGGUCUUGUACACACCAUUGCAUACAUCAAGCUACCCACUGCAUUAGAAUACGGAACUUGCAACAUGUAUUCUCGUUCCGUAUUCGUCGAAGGAGAUAGUUGUGUAAAAAGCUUGAAAUGAGAAGCCAACGGGGUACUUACAGGUUUUGUCUGCUCGUUCAUGCCAAACUGCUGUAGUACCUUUUUCAAAUACUGCUUCUGAGACAAGCUAACUCUAUCAUGAGCUCUAUCUCUCCAUAUUUCCAUGCCGAGAAUCCUUUUAGCUUCUCCUAGAUCUUUCAUCUCAAACUCGAGAUUGAGUUGAGUCUUCAAUCUUUCAAUUUCAACUUUGCUCUUAGAUGCUAUUAGCAUAUCAUCAACAUAUAAGAGCAAGUAUAUGAAAGUUCCUUCUUGUAGCUUCUGAAAAUACACGCAAUGAUCAAAUUUACUUCUUGUGUACCUUUACCCUUUCAUAAACUGAUCAAAUCGCUUGUACCACUGCCUCGGAGAUUGCUUCAAUCCAUAAAGCGACUUUGUCAGUUUGCAAACCCAAUUUUCUUUUCCAGCAACCUUGAAUCCAUCUGGCUGAGUCAUAUAGAUUUCCUCUUCCAAAUCACCGUGUAAAAACGCGGUCUUCACAUCAAGCUGAACUAGUUCAAGAUCAUAUUGCGCAACCAAGGCUAGCAAAAUCUGAAUAGACGAAUGCUUCACAACUGGAGAAAACACUUCAUUGUAGUCUAUUCCUUCUUUCUGAGCGUAACCCUUUGUUACUAAUCUAGCCUUGUAUCGAAUUUCAUUUUUAUCAGGAAAUCCUUCCUUCUUUGCAUAUACCCAUUUGCAUCCAAUUGCCUUCUUUCCCUUGGGUAGUGUCACCAACUCCCAGGUCUUAUUUUUCUGAAGAGACUGCAUUUCUUCAUUCAUUGCUUGCUUCCACUUUACACCAUCAGGGUUACUUAUUACUUCUGUGUAAGUAGAAGGAACAUCAUCAUCUGUAUUUGGAAAUGCAUAGGCCACUAUAUCAUCAAAGCGAGCAGGCUUACGAAUCUCUCUUCUUGGCCUUCUAUAUGCAAUUGAAUCUUGUUGCUGUAGAGAUUCUUGGGUAGGAACCUCUUCAUCAUUUGUCCCUUCAAUAUUAGCUGGAUCAUCGUUAACCUUUUCAAGCUCCACAUGCUGCAAAGUACUAACGGUUUUGUCAUCCUUUUGUGAAUCCUUGUACUUCAACAUGGUUGAUUCAUCAAAAGUCACAUCUCUACUGAAAACAAUCUUCAUUGUAUCAGAACACCAGAGACGAUAUCCUUUUACUCCAUCAGUUAUACCCAAGAAUAAUGCUUUCUUUGCUCUUGGGUCUAACUUAGAUUCUUUUACAUGAUAAUAUGCAGUGGAACCAAAUACAUGCAAAGAAUCAUAAUCAGUAGCAGAUUUACCAGUCCACAUCUCUAUAGGAGUUUUUCCAUUUAUUGCAGCUGAUGGCAAACGGUUAAUUAGAUGGCACGCAUAUGUAACUGCCUCAGCCCAAAAUUCUUUGCCCAAUCCAGCAUUGGACAACAUACAUCGAACUUUCUCCAGUAUAGUUCGAUUCAUUCGUUCUGCCACCCCAUUUUGCUGUGGUGUAUCCCGAACAGUGAAGUGUCGCACAAUGCCCUCAUCUUGGCAUACUUGUAGAAAUGGAUCGUUUUUGUACUCAGUACCAUUAUCUGAUCGAAGUCGUUUGACCUUUCGACCAGUCUGAGUCUCCACCAUCUUCUUCCAUUUCAGAAAUGCAUCCAAAACUUCACUUUUUCUUUUCAUUAGAUACACCCAUACUUUUCUUGAAUAAUCAUCAACAAAAGUAACAAAAUAGUGCAUACCUCCCAAAGAAGCUACUUUGGUAGGUCCCCACACAUCACUGUGAACGUAGUCCAGAAUUCCUUUCGUAUUGUGAAUUGCUGGACCAAAUUUUACCCUCUUCUGCUUGCCCAGAACACAAUGUUCACAGAAUUCCAUUUUGCAAGAAUUUGCACUUUUCAAUAAGCCUUGCUUCACCAAUGUCUGCAAAGCUUUUUCACCAGCAUGUCCCAAUCGCAUAUGCCAUAAUCUGGUAGCCUCUGAAUCUACAUCUUUUGUAGAAACUGUUGAUGUUGAUCCAAUAACUGUACUUCCAUUUAAAAAAUACAAGUUAUUUCUUCUUGUGCCUUUCAUCACCGUCAGUUGCCCAGCUACUACUUUUAGUAAUCCAUCUCUCAAAGUGAUUGUGAGCCCUUUAGAUUCUAGGGCACCUAAUAAGAUGAGAUUUUUCUUCAGGCUAGGUACGUAGCAAACAUCUGUCAAGACUUGGAUUGAGCCGUCGUGAUUCUUCAAUUGGACUGUACCCACUCCCAUUGUCUUACAAGCACUAUCAUUGCCCAUAAGAACAAUUCCACCUUCUAGCUCUUUAAGACUAGAAAACCAGUCCUUAUUAGGACACAUAUGGUAAGUACAUCCUGAAUCCAAAAUCCACUCAUCCGUUUGACAUGCCAUUGCCAUGCCAACCAAGCUAAAGUCUGACUCCUCAUCAUGCUCCGCUACACAUGCAUUAGAAAUAGCCUUGCCCUUUUGUAGCUUAGGACAAUUCUUUUUCCAAUGCCCUUUUUCACGGCAAAAGGCACAUUUAUCUUUGGCGGGUCUCCCUUUGGACUUUCCUCUUCUACCAGAUUUGCUGCUGUGUGAACGACCUCUUACUGUUAAGACUUCUGCGGUUGUAUCUCUGUGAUCUCUUUUAUCUUUCUUUCGAGUCUCAGAUCUAUACAACGCACUACAGACUGCAUCAAAUGUGAUCGUGUCCUUCCCAUGAAGCAAUGUGGUGGUAAGAUGAUCAUAUUCAUCAGGAAGGGAAUUCAACAACAAUAAUGCAUUGUCUUCAUCUUCAAAUUUCUCAUCCAAAUUUAGCAAGUCUGCUAAAAUUUUAUUGAAUGAGUUCACAUGGUCAUUCAUCGACAUACCGGGUGCAUACGUGAAUCGAUAAAGUUUCUUUUUCAUAUAAAGCCUAUUUUCAAGACUUUUCGUUAGAAACUUUUCUUCCAGUGUAUCCCAUAACUUCUUCGCUGAUGUCUCCCUCAUGACAGAGUACUUCUGCUCUUUGGCCAAACAUAGGCGGAUUGUACCACACGCCUGUCUAUUGAUUUUGGCCCACUCCAUGUCAUCCAUCUUGUCAGGUUUUUCUUCAAAUGCUAUAUCUAGCUCUUGCUGACAUAAGACAUCCAGGAUCUCACAUUGCCACAUACCAAAAUUAUUGGUACCGUCAAAUUUCUCUACUUCAAAUUUUGCAUUUGUCACAGUAGUCCUUGCUGAUGACGAUGCUGCUGCCAUUUUUCUCCUCAAUCCCAACUACUGUAUACGUGAACAGUACUGUAUACGUGAAUAGUACCGUAUACGUGAAUAGUGCCGUAUACGUGAAUAGUACUGUAUAUGUAAAUAGUACCGUAUACGUGAAUAGUGCCGUAUACGUGAAUAGUACUGUAAACGGUCGUAUUCCCCAAGUACGAACCUGGCUCUGAUACCAAUUGUUGCGCGGAAGCGUGUGAAAGAGUAAAAUUAUUGUACUAAAAAAUCACACUAAGUUCAAUUCCCAAGAAAGAGAGGUGGAUCACGAGGAUCGCUUACAUACCAGAUCUUUCCUAGCCAGAAUAUCCCUAUAUCGUAAUUUAAUAGCACAAUAAAUCACUACAAUGACACUUGCAAAAUAUGCAGAACAAAAAAUAAAGAACACUAGAAUUUUAACGAGGUUCAGCAAAUUUUGCCUACGUCCUCGGGCACUACCAAAUAUAUUUCACUCCAAAAAAUACAAGUGAAAGUUUACAAAUAGGGAGAGAGAACAAUUGCCUUAAGUAGAGAAUGGCAAGUGUGGGAUGAAGAAAGUAAGAAAUGGUUAGGCCUAUUUAUAGUUGAGGUUCAAGGAUCAACUUGCAAUGUCCCUAUACAAUUAGGGACCAAAAUUGCAAUUAUCCCAUGCCAACUUUUAACCCAACUUGCCAACCAAUUUUACUUUCUACUUUCGGUGCCCACCCUUUUUGACUUUUCAAACAAUGAGUGGGUUCCAAUAGUAACAAAAGAGAAGGACAUUCGUACCUGGAGUGUCAUGAUAUGGGGUUGGGCAACCCAUGGGUUUUAUGGACAAGCUAUCCGAUGCUUCAAAAAGAUGAUGUUUUCAGGUGUGGACUUAGUAGUUUUCAUUGAGCUCAACCCUUUAUUCUAAUCUUUCUGAAUAAACUCAAGUUUGUCGUAUUUGCAGGAAUAAAACCCGAUGCGGUGGUCUUUCUUACCCUCCUGACUGCAUGCUCACAUUCUGGACAAGUAGAUCUUGGGCUUAACUUCUUUGAUAGCAUGAGGUUUGAUUACUCCAUUGAGCCAACCAUGAAGCAUUAUACGUUGGUCGUUGAUUUGUUAGGCAGGGCAGGCCGACUGGAUGAAGCAAUGAAGUUCAUACAAAGGAUGCCUAUAAGUCCUGAUUUUGUGGCAUGGGGAGCACUUUUUGUGCUUGCAGAGCUCACAAAAAUAUUAAAAUGGCAGAACUAGUGUCAGAAAAGCUCCUUCAGCUUGAACCUAAACAUCCUGGGAGCUAUGUUUUCUUGUCAAAUGUUUAUGCAGCAGUUGGUAGAUGGGAAGAUGUGGAGAGGGUAAGAAUGUUGAUGCAGAAUCAAGCUGUUGGCAAAGAUCCGGAGUGGAGUUAUAUUGAAGUCAAUGGACAAGUGCAUAGUUUUGUAGCUGGUGAUCAUGAUCAUAAGCGUGCAAGAGAAAUAUACUUGAAAUUAGAGGAAAUAGUGUCUGGUGCAAGAGAGCAAGGAUAUAUGCCUGAAACUGGGUGGGUUCUUCAUAAUAUUGAGGAAGAAGAGAAGGAAGAUGCAUUAGGAAGUCACAGUGAGAAAUUGGCGCUUGCCUUUGCCUUAAUGAACACUCCUCCGGGGACAACUAUUAGGAUAGUGAAGAACUUAAGAGUAUGUGGAGAUUGCCAUUCUUUGAUGAAAUGUGCUAGUAAGAUGAGCCAAAGAGAAAUCAUAUUGAGAGAUAUAAAGAGAUUCCACCAUUUCAAGUAUGGGGUCUGCUCAUGUGGAGAUUAUUGGUAAAAUGGUAAGUAACAGCAACAUUAAUUUGCUUUGCUGUUAAUAGCACAUGAUUAGUGCUUCUACUUGGUUUAUUUAGAAUAAUGCUUUUAGUUAAAACAUGGAUGUAGCUACAGCAACACAAGUUUUUUUGUUUGAUAAUUGGUAGCAAGUACAUUAAAUUUCUCCAAUGGACCUUUCUGCACAUAUAUAUUAAACUUGAAACUCAUUAGUUAAGUUUGUACUUUAUUUAGGUAUCUAAUUAACGUUGUUAGAUUUUUUCAAUUUCAACUUAUCAUCUUGUGCCACUUCUUUCUCUUCCCUUUAGUGAAAUUUAGCACUUUAAAAGAUGGGUUGCAUUUUGCUCCCUCUGUCAAAAAAAAUGGACAGAUUAAGCUAUACACGUUAGAUCAAAGAGCAAAUAGGUCUUUUUGUUUAAAAAUCCAUCAAUUUUUGUUGUUAAAAAUCAAUCCAUUUACAUCAACAUAAAAUAUAUAACUGUUUGGGUAUCUCAUCAUCCAUGUUAGUUUUUAGCAAUACAAAUGGAUAGAAUUUUUAACAAAAAAAACCAGUUUAUUGUUUGAUCUAACAUACAAUGACUAAUUUGUCAAUUUUUUAAGUAAAUAAAGCAUAAUGCUAAUUGACUCUUAGUAUAAUAUCUCUAUGGUACUUUUAUCAAUACUAUCUCUAUUUAUGAAAUUAAAAAUACUUAAAUAAUUAGAUUUAUUGUAUAUUGUGAUAAAAAAUUAUGUAAGAAAUGCAUUUAUUAAAAAUCCAUAUAAAAUCUAAAUGAUGAUUGUAAAGUUAAAUGUUCUGGUGCAAGAGAGCAAGGAUAUAUGCCUGAAACUGGGUGGGUUCUUCAUAAUAUUGAGGAAGAAGAGAAGGAAGAUGCAUUAGGAAGUCACAGUGAGAAAUUGGCGCUUGCCUUUGCCUUAAUGAACACUUCUCCGGGGACAACUAUCAGGAUAGUGAAGAACUUAAGAGUAUGUGGAGAUUGCCAUUCUUUGAUGAAAUGUGCUAGUAAGAUGAGCCAAAGGGAGAUCAUAUUGAGAGAUAUAAAGAGAUUCCACCAUUUUAGGUAUGGGGUCUGCUCAUGUGGAGAUUAUUGGUAAAAUGGUAAGUAACAACAACAUUAAUUUGCUUUGCUGUUAAUAACACAUGAUUAGUGUUUCUACUUGGUUUAUUUAGAAUAAUGCUUUUAGUUAAAACAUGGAUGUAGCUACAGCAACACAAGUUUUUUUGUUUGAAAAUUGGUAGCAAGUACAUUAAAUUUCUCCAAUGGACCUUUCUGCACAAAUGAUAUAUGUCCCCAUAAAGAACUUGGUGCUCACGGUAUUGCAUGACAGGUAGCCAUAGGUUAUUCGCUCUCUUGAUUGGUAUCUUACAUUCCUCAAGGUCCAAAAGUUGUUCCUUCUUUUUGUCUGAAGUCCAAACCUAAGAAAAGCAUUGAUGGGCCUUUAAAACUUUGCUCAUUUCACUACAUGAACUAUUGGAUGUUUUGUGUUCAAAUUAGUUUAUGCCAGUAGUGAAAGUACAUCUCUUUCUCCUUAUCCAGUUAUUCUUUUCAGUUGUCAUCAUCUUUCUGUGUCUUGCCUUCUGAAGUGUUUAGAUGACUGCAUUUCUCAAUAUAAUUUUCAUUUGACCUAAAUAGUUGAAAUUAAAGUCCCUUAUCAUGCCAUUCAUUACUUUGCUUCUAUAUGGUAGUUAUUCUUCAAUGUCCAUGAAUUGACAUAUAUCACUGGAAGCAUAAUCUUACUUCUAAGCAUGGGAUUGACCUUCUUUAAUGCAGGUUCUUCUGUAAGACUCAAACCAUAGAUGGGCAAGGCUUGAGAAAAUAAAGUUGUAAGUGUUGAACCAGGAAGGACGAUGUUGGCCAUGUUAUAAACAUUCCUCCAGAAUGACUAAACAUCGAGGAAAAGGUUCAACCAUGAGUGGUCCACUGAAACGUGCUUGGUCGAACACGUGCCAAUUAUCAGCUACGUAUCAAAUCCCACAAUUAUAAAUGUAGAUUGGGUUCCAUGCUCUGGUUAAUCCAUUAGAUGACACGGUCCAUUGAAAAGGUACUAAAUUACUGAUGUUUGGUCCAUAUAUGAAUCUGUUUAUUUAAUGGCCAGCAUUAAUUGUUAAUUCUCUUGUUUGCGGGUGACUUUUCCUCUAGCAUGCCUUAUGGAAAGAAGUGUCAGUGACAACCUUUUAAUCAACAGCAACUUACCCUACUAAUGAGCAUUUGGAGCAUUUCAUAGCUCGUUCAGUUUAUUCAAAGACUCAUUUUUACCUGCACAGCAUGUUCCCGCCCAGUAAUCAGUGGGCCAAUUAAUGAAGGAGAGGAUAGUUUGCUAGACACAUGUUUUUUGUGUGAGCUUUCUGGUCUUUUAUGUAGUUGUGGUGUUGACAAUUUUUGUUGUUCUUUACAUAAAUUCUUAUUGGCUAAGCGCUUGGUUUUCUUUUAUUGGAAAGUGCAUCACAACCUGUCGUUACUCAACAAUGGCCAAUUUUCUUGCAUAUCACAUCUUCAGGCAAUGUGAUUAUGUUGAAAAUUGGCCUACCAUGCUUGCUGUAAUACUUCCGGAUGAAGUACGUGCUAGCAAUUGUUCAUGCUGCAGCACGUAUGCUUGCUGUAACAGCAAGAUUUUUGUUUUAGUUUCACUGUAAUCAGCCUAGUUGGAAAUGAACAAGCUGAUGACAGCUUGAUAUGUUUAGGUGUUGAAUGACUAAUUUAGGUGGCUUGUUUCUGUGUACAAGCAAUGUUUUUAAAGUUAGUAGGCUACUUAGUGGUAGUAGGUAGUAAUAACUGAUGUAGUUGGCUAUAAAUGUAUUGUUUUUUUAUUGAAAAAUUAAGCAUAUCAGUGGUUAAAACAGAUUGCUUCCUUGCUGCACGUUUGUGAGCAAGUAAAUUAUUCUUGCAGCUUGCUUCAUUGUCUUGUUCUGUUCUCUGUUUUCUUCCUCUGCUGUCAAAAAACCCAACAGAUUAGCUAUCGUGAAGAUUUCAACAAAGUCGGUUCGUGUUGAUUCAAGGAAAAAAAGAUAUUACGAUUUGAUUUCCUCACCUAAUUGUUUUACUAUGCGAAGUUGGAUUGUGAGGAAUAUUUUGUUGAUUUCUGCAUUUUGAAUAAAGAGCUCUUAGGUUUGUGUGGCCGACGUUUAUAGUUUUAUCUUUCGAUUUUAUCUUUUUUUUUGUAUGAAAUUUAAAGUUUAAUCAAAACUAAUUGUUAUGUGUAUGUAAUAGCUAUUUGAAUUAAAUUAAAUUGACAAAUCAACGUACACUAGUGCAUACUAAAAAAAAUGUAAUAUAAAAUUAAACCAAAAUUGAAUCUAAAACUUAAAUAUUUUAAAACCUCAAACAUAUGGCAACUCUUCACUCCUCUUUCCCUCUGAAGUUAUUUUAAUUUAAAAUAUAUUUUGUAUAAUGUGUUAUAACAAUUCAACUAAACAAAGUGAUUCUCUUUGCAUAACAUAUUAUAUGCUUAUAUAAACUUUUACACAAUUUGUUAUAGAUACAUUUUUAAUAAUUGAAUGAUGACUCCAUUAAAAAUGCAAUAUCAUAAUAAUUCUACAUUUCUUGCAUUAAUAUAAAAUUUUCCUUUUUUUUUCCUCCAAGCCUUGUUUAUUAUCUUUUGUUUUGCCAAAUGGCAGUGCCAGCUUUCAGGCUAGCUAUCGCCCGCCUUUUUCUCCCUCCCAUUAAUCCUUUUUUUCUUUUUUCUUCUCAUUCACUCCACAUGUCUUCUUUCUUUUCAGUUUGUAGAUCUAUUUUAUGAGAAUCUUUAUUUUCUUCACAAGUUGUGAUAGACAGAUGACGACGCCUAUGUUCGUUAAAACUUCAUCGGCCACCAAUAAUUUUUCAGAAUAAUAAAUAAUUUCAUGAGUCGAUUUGGAUUCUUGUUAUCAUAAGUUUUAUAUAUUUUUUAGUUUGUUUUUCAUUGUUUAAUAGGUUUUUAGUUUUAGAAGUUUUUGUCUACUCUUGUAACACGUUUUUUAGUCUUGCUUAUGCAUGUAACCUUAGUUUUACAAGUGAUUUUAGAGAUGGUUUUGUUACCGUCUUCUCUAGUUUGGUGAAUGCUCAAUUCUUUUGUCCAUUUUUGCUCGUCACUUUGGACCAUUCGAGGCUGAUUUUCUUUAUCGCAUUAAGUGCUUGCGAUCACUCCAAAUAUAUCGUGCUUAAGUUGUGAUAAAGCCUGUACAAGCCCAAUUUUUAUGCCCGGGCCCAAUUGACCCAACAAAACCGAACGGCCCAACAGACUAAGGCCCAAACCCAACAAAGACUAGGGUUUCAGAACCCUAGCCCCUCCAUCAGCGCCGCAUGCUAGGGUCUCUGACUUCUGCCCCGUCGGCGCAAACGGCGCACCUACCCCGUCCGUGUCACGUCUCCUCCAUCGCCCUACACCUGCAAACAAUAAAGAGAGAAGCAGACAACACAAAACAGGGGAAAGAUUGAAUCUUUUUUUUUUGUUCUUUCGGUUAUAAAGCCGAACGUAUCAAAUAAGAAAAAGGGGGGAUUUUUUGCAAAAAAAGAAAAUCACAUCAGAAAUAAGAAAAGGAACAAAGGUUGCUGUGUUCUUCAUUUUAUUCUUUUUUGAUUCGUUUACUUUCAUUUAUUUUUAAACAAAUCCGUUAAAAAAUAUAUCAAUAAAAAGGAAAAGAAAAAAAGGAGCGCACCUGAAUCGCUCUCUGGCUCCGUCGACGGAGGUUCUCUCGCCGUUGUCGGCCCGGAUCUGAAGGAGGGAUUCAGAGCCCUUGUCUCGGCGCUCGUAGGGGUUCAAGGACCCGAUUUUCAAAUCGCCCGAAGGCCAGGCUUUUUAAAAACCCUUUGUUGCGCUUCGUUGGCCGCCGUUUCGGUGGCGGUGCGACGGACAGACGGACGAUGGUGAAAAGCCAAUCGUCGGAGGGCAUGAAGAGAGAGUGGGGGAAAGAGUUCUGAAUUUUUUUUUUUAAAAGAGGGAUGAAAUGAUUUUUUUAGGGGUUUUGAUUUAUAUAAGGAUCCAAAACGGCGCCGUUUUGGAAGGGUCAGAAAGCCCCUAAAACGACGCCGUUUUUGCAUAAGACCCGAGACCCAACCCGUCUGCCUUAGGGGAUCCGCGUGUUUUUUACGGAAGGGCUAAUUUCACGUUUAAUCCUUCCGCUUUUUAAUUAUUUUAAAAUUAGGUUCUUUUGAUCUUUUUAAUUUUACCCGGAAAUUGUUUUCGUUUUCAAUUUGAUCCUUACCCAAACUACGUCGUUUUAAAGAAAGGGCCAUUUCUUUGUUGGUCCCUCCAUGUUUUAUGCUUGUUUAGAGCAGUCCUUCCCUUUUCGUUUAUUUGCGUUUUGAACCCCCCGAAUUUUGUUUUAAUGUUUAAUCUAAUCCUUCUGCUAUUUUGUUUAUUUUCUUAACAAAUUUAUUAUUAUUAUUAUUAUUACAUAUUCAUUUAUAACAUCUAAUUUUAGAUUUAAUCAUAUAUAUAAAUAUACGUCCAUGAUAUAUACCUACUUUUUAUAUAUACUUUAUAAUUUAUAUAUACAUAUACACAUUUUAAUUUAUGUACAUAUCUACACAUAUUUUUCAUACUUUACUCAUAUAUAUAUACAUGUACUUAUACAUAUUCUUUAUAUCUUAAAAUCCAUAUUUUUCUUAUGUAUAUAUUUUAUAUUUUAUAUUUUAUAUAUAUGUGUUUAUAUAUUCUACGAUAUAUAUUUAUAUGCAUAAUAAAUACAUAUCUAUAUACGUUUCGAUUUUUAUAAACACAUAUAUAUGUAUGCAUACCUUUAUAUUUCUUAUAUUAAAUACAUAUAUAUAUAUUUAUAUAUCCCUUUAUACUUCUAAAAUCAUAUAUUUUGUAUAUAUUCUUUAUAUUUUAUGAUUCCUAUAUGUACCCACAUAUAUACUUUUUGUAUUGUAUGAUUGUUAUUUACGUAUAUGUACGUACAUACAUACUUACACCUAUUUUCAUGUAUAAUAGCCUUAUAAUAUGUGUACAUACAUGUAUUUUUCAUAUUUCCAUAUACAUACACAUAUAUCUUUUUAUUUUAUAUAAUCUUACUCAUUUUAUUUAUUUAUUUAUUUACAUGUCUAUUAUUAUUAUGCUCUAGUUUUUAUUUAUUUAUUUAUUAUUUGUUAUUGUGCUUGCUUGAUCCUUUUAUAUAUUAAUCUUAUUUUUUAUUUUUAUUUUGAUCAUGUCAUUUUACUUACAUUAUCAUCAUCAUUCCGUUACACUCAUUUUUUUGUUUAGAUUUCAAAAAAAAAAAGAAGAAAUUUUAAAAAUAAGUAACACUCGGUAUUUUGGAUCUUCGAGAGAAUCGAGUCCUAACGUAUUGGGUUCCGACUUUCUUCGUUGAAUUUAAAUAAUCGAGAUUACUCUUUUAAAAAUGAUAAAAAAGCUCGUUAUCGAGAAUUCAAUACGUUGUGUCCCAACGGAUUGGACGUAACACGGUGUUUUCUCGAGACGAGGAUUUUUCGAAAUAAACGUAAUAUUCAAUGUUUAAUCUUUUGAGAAAUUGUGCCCUAACGUAUUGGGUUGUGAUUUCUUCAUUUGAUUUAAACAAUUGAAUAUCCUUUUAAACUUUAUUACAUGGAUCUUUUCAAACUCAAGUUUUAAACAACCUCGGGAAUUAAAAGAGGAUCGUGUCCUAACUUACUGGUCGUAAUCCCUUUUUUAAUUCGAGAUCGUUAAAUAUCUUUUAAAUAAGCUUUUUUCAUUCGCGUAUUGGGAAUUCGACAUAUUGUGUCUUAACUUGCUAGAUAUGAUAUUCUGUCUCGAAUAACGUGAAAUAUGCCCCUUUUCCUGAAAAUUUUCAACGUUUUAAUACAAGGAUCGUAUUUUUAAAAUUCUUCUAAGUUAUCAAUUUUCGACACUAAGACAUUAACUAAUCAACUAGGUACCAAUUUUGGGCGUAUCGAGGGUGCUAAUCCUUCCUCGUGCGUAACCGACUCCCGAACCCGUUUUUCUGAAUUUCGUAGACCAGACUUGUUGUUUUAAUAAAAUUAAAUUGUUUAUUAAAAACAACCACUUUUCGAGGUGAUCCAAUCACCCCUCAUAAAAAAGGAUUGGUGGCGACUCCCGUUUUUUUAUUUUCGUCAAAACCCAAGUCGACCCCGUUUUUCAUCCAAAAAAAUGGUGUCAACAAAGCCAAUUGUCAACAUGUCAUAACGUUCUAUUUAUGCUAAGGCUAAAGCCUUCGUUGGGUUGUUGGAGCUUGUCAUUUACCAUCUACGACGAGUGCUUAUUUUUUUCCCUGAAUUGUAUGAUUCCAUUCAUUGAAUGAAUUAACGAAUUUACCUUUCAAAAGAAAAAAAAUUCAUAAAUUUUGAAAUACAAAAUGAAUGUGUUUUGAUAUUUUUAGGGCAAUGGUUUAGUGGUUUAAAUUUUUUUAUUUAAUAUGGUGAAUUUAAUUAUAAUUUUUUAUUUAUUAGAUAGUAGAAUAUCUCUUACCAUUUAUAAUUAAGUUUAGGUUAAAAUAUUUUAUUAAAUUUUUGGACUUUUCACAAAUUUUAAAUUUAAUCUGUUUACUUUUAUUCAAGAAUUUAAUCUCUCUGCAUAUAAAGGAGGUAAUUAUGGCAAGGGGAAUUACCAUGGCAGAGGUAGCGGAGGCUGAGGAAGAGAUGCUGGAUAUGCUGAAGAAAGAUAGAUGGCUGAGAAACAGAAAAACUUUAGGAACAAUAUUCAGUGUUAGAAGUAUGGGGAUGUGAAGGCAGAUUGUUGGAAAAGGGGAAAACAAGCAAAUUAUGCGGAAGAUGAUGAAGAGAUUUAAGUUAUUUAUGAGCUGUCUAGAUGACACCAUAGCUUCAACUAACAUUUGGCUUCAAGGGCGUAUAUCUCAUGAUGAAGAGAUUGUCUCUCUUCUUUUUUCUCAUAACAUAUUAUACGCCAUGAUAAUAAAUUUUGAUAUGCCUAUAAAUUUGAGUCUCUAUUAUUUGUAAUAUGACAUGUUUUAAUUAUUUUUUAUAUUAUGCCAUGAUUUGGUUCACUCCAUAAGUUAUAUAAAUUUAUUAUAAUAAUUCAAUUAAUUUAAUUUAGAUUAAUUUUACAUUUUUGUCCUAACUUUAGUUUUUAAUAAUUGAAUCAUCCCACCAUUAUAUUCAAUUACAAGUGUAAUACGAUUUUGCGUCAUCCCGCACCAUUAUUCUCAGUGUAAUUUUUGGUAGUGAGCAUUGAAGGGGAGAGAGAGAGAGAACAAAGAAAGAACUUACUGUAAUUUUUGGUGUAUGUAAUCGAUAACCCUCAAUGCUUAAAAUGAAAAAGAAAAUAGAAAACAAAGGUGGCAAAGUUAGUUACAAUGCCAGCUAAUUCGUUAUUGCUAUCCACAUGAAGAAUUUUAUAACCCCAACUACACGAUUUUAUGUCUACCAGCUCUCACUUUUCAUAUUUUUUGGCCAUUAGUUAUUCUAAGAUUUAACAUCACCGUUAAGCCAUGUUUAAACUCUUUUUCUUAUAUAAUAAUUAUAUUAUAUUUAAAAUUGAAAAAACUAACCAACCAAAUAUAUAUUAAUUAAUUAAUAGAAGUUUUUUGGUCAUCGAUUAAAAUAAAUCAAGAAAGACGUUGGAACCACCAACUUCUCUUUAAGAACAACACGAAUACAAGAAUCUAUGCACAACAAGUUCUAAAAUGUAUUAAGUAAAUUCAUCAUCAUGCCUUAAAAAAAGAAGAUCUCGAUAUAUCUGCUUUUGCCAAAGCAUCCGCCAUACCAUUACUUUGCCAGUGAAUAAUUGUGAACUGAAACUUAGCCAAUUGAGUGAUAUUAAUUAUAGAAAUGAUUCUUCUUGCAACCAUAGAUGAAACACCACUGAGACUAACAAACUUGGAGAAACUUGAUUUGAGUUUUAACAUCUUCAGGAACAACACAAUUUCGUUUCUUGAAGGACUUUCAAACUUAAAUUAGUCCUUGGAUAUGCAUAAUAACACUCUGCAAGGCUCAUUAAUAGAUAUUAAAGGUACUGAAGCUAUAACUUUUUUUUCUUGAUAAUUCUUUUUAAAAUAUUUCAUAAUUAAUUGUUCUGAAUUUGUACAUUCACUUCUCACAUUUCUGGGUUUUUUUUGUCCUCAACUAAAUUAAACUUAUGCAAAUUUCUUGAAUAUUUAAGUUAAGAGUUAACGUCAAAGUCAAGAGUUGAUAAGUAUUUUGUGGUCCAUUCAUAUCUUUAUUACAAAAAAAAAAUAUUCAAGAAAUUUGCAGCUAGUUGGAGUUUUGCAAUAAGGAAUUUCCACCAAGAGUUUUGGAGGAAUCAUAUCUCUAACAAAAGAAAGACCUUCAUUUGACUAAAUUUUUUAGUAUUUAUUUUAACUUCCAUUUUUAUUAAAAAAAAGGUAAAAAAAUAUGCCAAACAGGGUCUUUAGGUUACUUUUUUUAGAACUAUAUUAUGUUAUAGUACCAUAUAAGUUAGAGGAGCACAAGUUUAGAUUCAUCCAAUUUUUGAGGAAUUAAUUAAAUAUAUAUUAUUUUAAUAUUAUAGUGUAUAGGGGCAAAGUUAGAAAAAAAUUUUUGUGGAGUCGAAAUUAAAUUAUAGUUUUUACAAUAGUUAAAAAAAAUAAUUUCACUAUUUUAAAAGCAUAUAUGUUGUAAGCACUAAAUUUUUGUCCGACUAGAGUUUGUGUUUAAUUUUCAAAAUUUCAAAAAAAAAUUUUAAAAAUAAAAAUUGCAUUUUGACCCCUAAAUUUUUCCUAAAUUUCAUUUUGACCCUUAAACUUUCAUUAAAUUUCACUUAGACCCCUAAACUUUCAUUAAAUUUCAUUUUAAUCCUAAAUUUUCUAAAAAUUACAUUUAGCCCCAGAAGUUUUGCUGUAUUUGUGAUUUGGUCCUUCAGACACGUUACGUGAUUUGGGGCACCCACUUCCCAGAUUUUCAGGCCACAAUCACCCACUACCUGCAAACAAUGAGAAAGAGGACAAAAUUUGGAGCUUUUAAAAAGAAAAAAAGAGAAGAGGAAGAAAAAAAGGAGAGAAAAAAACAAGCAGAAUUUUUAGAGAAAAAUAAAAAAAGAAGCUCUCAAUCCGGCCGAUUGCCUCCACCGCCACCACGUCCGUUGCGCCACCACCAUUGUCAUCUCACCAUCGAGUCCUAAACGCAAACAAAACAAAAACAAAGAAAAAAGCAAGCAAAAGAGAAAAGGAGAAAGUGCAAAGAAGAAAAAGAAAAAGGAAAAGGGGAGAGAGCAUACCUCCGUGCACGCCAUUGUCGGCCGUCGCACCAGGCGGAGGGACAUCACCGGCGAGACAAAGGAGGUGCUGCUGAUCGGGGAGAAAGAAAGGAAGAAAAAGAAGAAGGAAAGAAGAAAAGGGGAAGAAGAAAGAAAGAAAAAAGAAAAAAAAACUAAAAAAAAUAGCAGGCCAUUUUGGUGGACCAGAUUCAGCCCAACAAGAAGCAGCCCAAACCAGUCCUUUGGCAGCCAAUAGCAACAGCCCAACAGCAAAAAAAAUAAUAAAAGGGGAGGCCCAAAAUUUAAGCCCAUAACUUUGGGCUUUUGGGUAAUUUUUUUUCUUUUUUUCUUUUUAAUCUAUUUUAUUUUAUUUUAUUUAUUUAAAUGGUGUUUUAUUUAAUUUAAAUUAGUAUGCUUUAAAACAGUUUUCAUAAAUAUUAUUAUGUCAUUUAAUUGCAUAUUUUUUUUAAAAAAUAAUAAUAUUUUAAUGCAUAAGGCAACGAACCGAUUUAGCAUCGAGUCAUCGAAUUCAUCGCUAUGUUGGAUGGAUAUCGAUAGCUCGUGUUAAAUUCGGGACACCCUUUUAAAAAUAAAAAUAUUCAAAAAUCCUCGUAUUUUAAUAAAAAUUCUCGUGUUUUAUUAGAAUCCCGAUUAAAUAUUAAAUUGAAUUGAGUUAACAUUAAUUCGAUGGUUUCAUCGCCAUAUCGGGAUGAAUAUCAUCGAUUCGUGUUAAAUACGGUAUUUUUUAAAGAAAAAUUGUGUUUCAAAAAUUUUCAUGUCUUCAAAAUUUCUCGUGUUUCGUAUUUUAUCAAAAAAUUUAUGUUUUCAAAAACAAAUUUUCUGUUUUAAAAAUUUUCGUGUUUCAAAAAGAAGAUUCGUGUUUUCAAAAAUAAAAAUAAAAAAUCUCGUGUUUUAAAUUCUUCGUGUUUUUUAAAAAAAAAUUUUGUGUUUCUAAAAUUCUUGUAUUUUAAAAUUUUCGUGUUUUCAAAAAAGAAAAAGUUGUUGCGCUUUAAAAUUCUCGUGUUCAAUCGGAUCACGACUAAUAUUAAAUUGAACUCGUAUUUUUGAAAAUGAAGACAAUGCGCGUUUAACGAGAUACCAAUUUUGGGCGUUGCGAGGGUGCUAAUACCUUCCUCGCGCGUAACCGACUCCCGGACCCUAAUUUUCUCUGGAUUUUUACGUGGACCUAAAAUUACCUCUUUUUUAGAAAAGUUUAAAAAUAAAUUUUUCUUCUAAAAAGAGAAUUUUAUAGGUGUCCGAUCACACCUAGAAAAAAUAUCGGUGGCGACUCCUUUUUCAAAUAAAAUCGAGAUUCAGUUUUCAAAUUUACAAUAAUUACUUCGACUAGCGCCCGUGCCGAAAUUUUUAGGUCGCUACAGCUGGCGACUCCGCUGGGGAACCUUUUUGAGAGUCGAGUCGAAUUAAACUCGCGUUGUCAAAAUUUUCAAAGUUUCUUGUUCAAAUUAACAUUUAGUCGUGAUCCUUAAAUUUUUUGUUUUCAAAAAAAUCAUGCAUUUGCAUCGUGUUGUAUAUAUUCUAACUUGUUUUAUCAGGUUGUUUUUCAGCUUUAAAUUUUUGCGGUUUUAGUUUUGGUUUAGUUUUUCUAAAUAAAACGUAAAGGUUUACAAGUUUCUCCCCACACACCGUGCACGUGCAUUUAUGUUGCAUAACAUGAGCUCUAUACCCGGGCUCUGUCCCUGUUAAGAGAAAGUAAAUGCUACGCCUUCGUGAGUUAACUCGUUCCUCCGCACAGGCUAGUGAAUACUUUCGGGUUACAUAUGACUUAUGCUUUCGUGAGUUAACUUGUCCCUCCGCAUAGGCAUAAGUAAAUGUAAUCCCUCGAAUUGAUCUCGUAAGCCUAUGAUGGGCCAUGACCGAGGCUCUGUACUAAUCUUAGUAGAUGACAGUGCAGACGAUUCGAGUACCCACCUAGAACCAAAACCGCAUAUAGUGAACCAUACGAGCUAUCCAAUUAGAGUCAUGCCGAACCUCUGUCCGCUUAUAGUCAUCAAAAUAAGUACACGGGGAAAAUGCCUUUUGCCUUUCAUUUACACUGUUUAUGCAAAAUAAUUGGAUUGGGUAGUUUAAUUUGUUUUUCAAAUUAUAUUUGUUGUGUUUACUAACCAAGUUUGUUUGUUUUUACUUUUAUUUUCAUCAUGCAUCAUAGGCAUCAUAUUAGGAAGGUGUUGAUUAAAAGUUGGUUGCCAAAAAACGGGUUUCUGAUGGAAGAGUCAAUUACACAAAUAACCGAGAAGAAUGCCGUGGUUCGGGACUGGUCUCUAAAAAUUCAGAGAGAAAAGAGGGAUAGUCUAGUGGAAGGGUGUGUCACUAAUUUGCCCGAACAUAUAACUGUAAAUGUUCGCCAAAAUAACUUUGAGGAUUUGGUUCAAAUUUGGAAUCAGUGGGAUUCAGACACUAGAGACAUUUUCACUCAGAGGUAUGGAGAUAUAGCUCACCUGAUCAUCAUCCAUGUAGACGAACAGUUGAUUCAAGCCAUGGUUCGGUUCUGGGACCCAGCUUAUCAGUGUUUCACCUUCAAUCAAGAAGACAUGACUCCAACCAUAGAAGAGUAUGCUGCUUUACUCCGCAUCGACAAUGUACAAUUCGGCAAAAUAUAUGUGAAGGAGCCUAAACCGAUGACCUUCAAGAAAAAGUUAGUGAGACUGACAGACAUGACUGAUGCAUGGGCCGAAAAACAGAUAAAGAAGAAGAAUGAAACCAUUUGCAUUCCAUGGUCCUCCCUACGAGAUUUGGCUCUGAACCAUCCCAACAUGCUGAAAAGGGUAAAUCUAUUCGCUUUGGCCAUUUACGGUUUGGUCAUUUUCCCAAAAGUUCUCGGACAUCUCGAAGUUGCAGUAGUUGAUUUCUUCGAAAGGUUAAAACAAGGAAUCAACCCUGUCCCGACCAUCCUAGCCGAGACCUUCAGGUCCCUGAGUAGUUGUCGAAAAAAAGGGGAGGGACGAUUUAUCAGAUGCGCGCAGUUGCUCAAUGUUUGGAUUUUGAGUCACUUCUGGAAGGUAGAGCGCACUCCGUUCCAUAUGUUUUCUAAAACAUUCUCCCCGCUAGAAGCUUACCUCAAUAAAGAAUGGCCGAAGGAAGUCACCGAGCAACAUUGGGUAUCAGUUUUUCAAAAUCUUCGCACCGAGAAUAUAACAUGGAGAGCACCCUGGAUCCGUCCUUCAGUUCUGCUAUACAAAUGUGGAAGCCAAGAUUGGGUACCUCUACUCGGGUUUUGGGGAGGAGUUGGAUAUGCUCCGCUAUUAGUCCAAAGGCAAUUUUCUUCGCGACAAUUCCUCCCCGCAACUGGAGGAUUAGCACAGUUCGAGUUCGCUUUUGCGGGUGAAGGAUAUAUGAAGAGAGUCCGAGACACUGCAAAGUAUUGGAAGGAAAUUCAUUUCAUGGAAUUAGCUUUGUAUGUUGAUACCCUUACCCAAGAUUACGACAUAUGGAGGAAGCAACGGGUAAAUAGUCAGCAAAUCUCAUCAACAAACUACACCAUCCAGAAUCCUUUCUCGGAGAAAACGCCGUCUGAGCUAGAAAUGGCAAGACAAGAAUUCGAACGAGAAAAGGCCAAGAUGUCUCGGGACCUUAGUGCCCUUCAAGAAGAAAACUAUCAACUGAAGAUUGAAGUUCAGGUUGAAAGGUCCAGGACUGAAAAGUACAAAAAGAAGCCGAGAUUGUGAGAAACGACUUAAGGGACCUUCAUUUGGAAAACAAGAAAUUAAGAAACACUAUAAAGAAUAGCGGGUUGGGUAAGUCGACAGCAGAAUGGAAGGAAGAAAUUAGCAAUAUCAAGGGAGGAAUGGAGUUUUGGAAGGGAAAAGUAAAGAAAGAGGAGGAAAAGGCUGCGCGCGCUGUGAUAGAGUUAAGAAGGAAGAACGACGAGUAUGAAAUAGUGACUGCAAAAUUUGCGAAUAGUCAGUCUGAAUAUCAAGAAUUAAAAAGGAAAGCACGAGAUCUAGAAAAUAUGCUGCAAUCUCGUCAACAACAAUUAGAUAACCUCCUGAAGGCUCUAGAGGAAAAGCAUGAUCAGUACGAUAGGGACAUUCAGGCGUAUGAAGGAACUCUCAAAGAAAAAGAAAUGCAACUCGACUUCUUGAUCAAUGAAAUUCGUAAAGCGGCUAUGCAAGUUGUUCAAUUAUCAGAUGAAGCCGAAGUUAUCAGUUGCCAAUUCCCUCCGAGCCAAAGAUCGAGCAUAUCAGAGUUUUUAGAGCAAGUGAAUAAACAAGGCAAUGUGGCUAGGAAAUUUGUGUAACUGUUGGAAAAAUGAGAACUUUGUGUAAUAGACUAUGUUGAUAAAUGAAAUGCCUAAAUAUGGGGCUAUCUUGAAAUCAACACCAAAUUCUUGCAUGUUUACUCAUAACUAACAUUUAUGCAUCAUUUAUUCUUUGGACAUUCAUCCAUUCAUAUACUCAUUCAUUCAUUCAUCACGAGUACAUAUCACCAUAAUCAUCCACCGAAACUAAAGAACCGUAUAAUCCGCAGUUGCAAGAUUUCAAAUCUGGAACCACGCAAUUCCUAUAAAACGCGCCGACAAGCUAGAGUAAUGGAGGAUGAAUUCAAUGAGAGAAUUGAAAGGAUGGAAAGGGCUCAAAAGGAAUUACAAGAGUAACUGGCCAAAUCGCAGCAAGAGACGAGAGACCUAAUGGUGAGAUCUCGAGAGGAAUCACUCGAGCAAAGAGAUCAGAUGGCUAAAAUGAUGGAGAUGAUGACAACUUUGGUCAAAGGAAAAGGACCCAUGCAGAACUCCGAUGUUAUGGAACCUCGGUCAAGAAUUCACCAUGAUCAGGAUCCACUUUAUCCCCCAGGAUUUACUCCACCUCAUGUCCACGCAAUACAACGAGGAUACCCCCAAAGGGAACCUACAGGCCUAGAACAACAUCUUGCUCCGCCCACUAAUUUGGGGCAAGGAAUGUUAGCGUCGAACCUUGGGGCUAGUCCUGCUAAUCCACUAGUUCCAGAUCUGGAUGACCUAGCAGAGGCAGCCAAGUUGAAAUUGGAUAACCAUGACGCAAAAUAUAGGAGUCUAGAGGAAAGACUCAAAGCAAUAGAAGGCACUGAAGUCUUCUCCGCACUAGGUGCCAAGGAACUCAGUUUGGUACCUGAUCUAAUUUUGCCUCCGAAGUUCAAAGUGCCUGAUUUUGAGAAAUAUGAUGGGACAAGGUGCCCAAAAGCACAUCUCAUUAUGUUCUGUCAAAAAAUAACCGGUUAUGUGAACGAGGAUAAGCUACUCAUACAUUGCUUUCAAGAUAGUCUAACAGGGUCAGCUCUUCGGUGGUACAAUCAACUUAGUAGAGAAAAGAUUCGAUCCUGGAAGGACUUGGCGUCAGCAUUUUGCGAACAGUACAAGCAUGUAUCGGAUAUGGUGCCAGACCGUAUGACCUUGCAAAUGAUGGAGAAAAAGCCAUCAGAGACCUUUAGACAGUAUGCGCAGAGAUGGAGAGACGUCUCAGCUCAAGUGGAACCCCCACUAACAAAAACGGAGAUAACCGUUCUCUUUAUCAAUACUUUAAAGGCACCGUUUUAUGACAAAUUAGUGGGAAGUGCCACGAAAGAUUUCGCGGAUAUUGUAAUAUCCGGUGAACUCAUAGAGAACGCCGUCAAGAGCGGUAGAAUGGAAGGAUCAGAAGGCUCAAGAAAAGCAGCACCCUUAAGGAAGAAAGAGCCAGAAGCCCUCAUGGUGGGAACUGGGAGUCGUUACAUUCCCAAUUCAUAUCCUAAUCAACCCCGACCUCGAGAUUAUCCACCCUCGAGUUUCCAUUAUCCCCCUCAAACCCCUUGCUACCAAGCACCACAUCCGUCCUGCCCCGUAUACGCUACGAACAACCAAAGACCCGUCACCACUUUCCCACAAAACACGGUACCCACCCAAAGCCAACCCAGAAACGAACCAAGACCAUCAAGGCAUAAUCCUGAGAGACCGCAAUUUACCCCCAUCCCUGUGUCGUAUGGGGAAUUGUACCCAAAACUUUUAGAAAAAUAGCUAAUUUCUCCCCAUUACAUGGCACCCCUUAAACCUCCAUACCCAAAGUGGUACGAUCCAAACGCUAGUUGUGCAUACCACGCAGGGAACCAAGGGCACUCUACUGAGAACUGUCUCACUUUCAAAAGGAGAGUUCAAGGACUCAUUGAUGCGGGUAUCCUACGAUUCGAUAGUGCUAGUAAAGCCACGGAGAACCCGUUCCCUAACCAUACCGAAGGGAAUGUGAGCACAGUGGGGAAAGAGGAUGAAUGGAAGGUCAGAAGAUGUGUAUCAGAAAUAAGGACGCCUCUGCAGAAAAUCUGGGAGGUAUUGGUUAAGAAAGGAUUGCUCUGUCACUCUGAUAGAAUUUUUGGAGAAGAAGGUCAAAGUUUUUGCAAUUUUCAUGGGAUUGUUGGGCACGACAUUCAGUCGUGCGAGGACUUUAAAAGGUUACUUCAAGACUGGAUGAAUAAUAAAGAGAUCAAGGUCCUUAACAAGAGUGAAGAUGCCAACGAAAGAGAAGUAUGUGUCUCUGAUAGCCAAUCACCAGGUCCCCCUUAUAGUGCUGAUCGACCGUUGGUAAUUUAUUACGACGCGAUGAGAGAGCCCUUGAAACCACAGAUGGUAAUUGAAGUACCAUCUCCUUUCCCGUAUAAGGACAACAAAACAGUACCGUGGAGAUAUGAUGUUAAUAUCGUUACACCGGAAGUUGAAAAGUCCAAAGCCAUAAUUGAAGAUGUUGGGGAGGUAGGUCAUUUUACUCGAAGUGGACGAUGUUAUUCUAAAGAAGUUGAAUCGGUAAAGAAAAGUAGCGACUCGAAGCAAAAAGGAAAAGCAGUGAUGCACAAGGUCGAAGUCGAGCAAGAAAUUCCACCCGUGCAAGAAACUAAAAAGCUUGUGAAUGAGGAAGAAGCUCAAGAAUUCUUGAAAUUUAUUAAGCACAGUGAAUAUAGUGUGGUGGAACAAUUGAGCAAGCAGCCAGCACGAAUCUCAGUUCUAUCUCUACUGUUAAAUUCAGAGCCACACCAGAACGCUUUAUUGAAGGUGUUAAAUCAAGCUUACGUGGCCAACAACAUAUCUGUCGAAAAGCUUGAUAGGUGGGUAAACAAUCUGAAUGCGGACAACUUCAUCUCUUUUAGUGAUGAUGAGAUACCGCUAAAUGGUAGAGGUUCGGUGAAAGCGCUGCAUAUCACGACCCGCUGCAAGGGCUACAUAAUACCGAACGUACUCAUCGAUAAUGGGUCAGCGUUAAAUGUUAUGCCAUUGGCUACACUUUCCAAAAUACCGAUGGAUUUGUCCUACUUAAAGCCCUGUCAUUCCAUGGUAAGGGCAUUCGACGGGACGAAGUGCAAAGUCAUGGGAAAGAUCGAAAUCCCUUUGGAAGUGGGCCCCUACAUCUAUGAGGUCGAAUUUCAAGUUAUGGACAUUACACCCUCUUAUAACUGCCUUUUGGGAAGACCUUGGAUUCAUUCUGCAGCAGCAGUCCCAUCAUCCCUCCAUCAAAAAGUGAAAUUCAUCAUGGAUGGCUGUUUGGUCACAGUCGAGGGCGAAGAAGACAUUAUCGCAUCUAUCUCUGUUGAUGCGCCAUACCUGGAAGUAAGCAAGGACGUAGUGGAAUGUUCCUUUCGAUCCCUUGAAUUCAUCAAUGCCACUUUCGUCGCUGAGGGAAAUAGAAUUUCGAUGUCAAAACUGUCGAGAAAUACCAGAAUGGGUGUCAAGUUGACCGUAGGAAGGGGAGCUUGUGCGAGAAGAGGUUUAGGGAGACAUAUGCAAGGAAUAGUGAGGGCUUUAAAGCCAGUGCACCACAAGGCCUGAUACGGUUUGGGGUUCCAGCCUGACAUGCGCCAAAGAAGAAGACAGUGGAAGAAGGAUCAAGAAAGAAGAAUUGCAAGAACUUUGGGCCGAGAACCAGAAUGGGAACCAAUAGAGUACCCUCCUUUGUCAAAAACAUUUACAUCUGCGGGAAUGAUGUACCCUGGACAAGAGGAUCCACGAAACAUGCUGGGAUUAAUUGAAAAGGAUUUUCAGAAUGUUAGUAUAAAUGUCAUUGACAAAGAAGCUGGUGCAAGUAAAGAUGUCUCGAGGAUACGCCAUUGCCCUCCUGGUUUCAUGUUGAACAAUUGGAUAGCUGAGGAGCUUCUUGUAGUUUAUAAGCCUUCAGAGUAAUGCUAAACAUCAACCUUCUAUUGUGUCCUUAGAUAUAAUAGAGUUCUUUUGUAAGAGUUUGCAUUCGCUCUUUAUCAUUUAAAUGAAUAUCAAUGAAGAUGCAUUUUGUCACGAUUUUUCGCAUUAUCACUAAUUUCAUAAUCAUUUUCUCAUUUCAUAGCCUAUCCUUACAUUUGCCUCAUUGCCAUGACAUAAAAUUUUGUUUGUUGUUUCCAAUACUUGGAUGUCCCCCGAUAGCUUCCUUUUCCAUUCAACUUUCAGGUGCUCAGAUAUUGACGACAUGAAUAAGCCCGUUACGAAUCUUGAAAUUGAUUUUGAGAAGGCUGUUUGCUUAGGAGAAUUUGAAGCCGAAGAAAAUGCUGAAGAUUAUGUCUCGUCUCUUGAAUUGUUAAGAAUGGUGGAACAAGAGGAUAAACAGGUUCUGCCUCAUGAAGAAUCUGUAGAAACAAUAAAUUUGGGCACUGAAGAGAGGAAACAAGAAGUGAAGAUUGGGACUUCUAUUUCAGAAAGUACCAGACGUAGUUUGAUCACUUUACUCCGCGAAUACAAAGAUGUUUUCGCGUGGUCAUACCAGGACAUGCCAGGGCUAGAUGAAGAUUUAGUGGUCCAUAAGCUCCCAUUAAAGCCAGAAUGCAAGCCCAUCCAGCAAAAAUUAAGACGGAUGAGGCCCGAAAUCCUGUUGAAAAUAAAAGAGGAAGUCAAGAAGCAAUUUGACGCUGGCUUCCUACAAGCCUCCAAAUAUCCAGAAUGGGUGGCUAACAUAGUCCCGGUACCAAAGAAAGAUGGAAAAGUACGAAUGUGCGUGGAUUACCGUGACCUGAAUCGAGCAAGCCCAAAAGAUAAUUUUCCCUUGCCACAUAUUGACACGUUGGUGGACAACACAGCAAAACAUUCAUUGUUUUCUUUCAUGGAUGGAUUCUCGGGGUAUAAUCAGAUCAAGAUGGCUCCUGAGGAUAUGGAGAAAACUACCUUCAUAACAAUGUGGGGAACGUUCUGCUACAAGGUGAUGCCAUUCGGGUUAAAGAAUGCUGGGGCAACAUAUCAGAGGGCUAUGGUGACAUUAUUCCAUGACAUGAUGCAUAAGGAAAUAGAGGUCUACGUCGAUGAUAUGAUUGCUAAAUCUCGAGGAGAAGAAGAGCAUGUAAUGAACCUCAAGAAGUUGUUCGAAAGGCUGAGAAAGUUUCAGCUAAAGCUUAAUCCAGCCAAAUGUACAUUCGGGGCUACCUCGGGAAAGUUGCUAGGCUUCAUUGUCAGUGAAAGAGGUAUCGAAGUUGAUCCAGAUAAAAUAAAAGGCAUCCAAGAAUUACCACAUCCGCCACGCAAAAGGAAGUUAGAGGAUUUUUAGGGAGAUUAAAUUACAUCGCCCGAUUUAUCGCUCAACUUACCAACCAAUGCGACCCAAUCUUUCGGCUUCUUCGAAAACAUAGCCCGGGAGAAUGGAACGAGGAAUGCCAAGUGACCUUUGAUAAGAUAAAACAAUAUUUGUCCAGUCCUCCAGUGCUAGUACCGCCAACUCCGGGAAGACCAUUAAUUUUGUAUCUGACAGUGUUCGAAAGUUCAAUGGGUUACGUACUGGGACAACAUGACGAGUCAGGAAAGAAAGAAAAGGCGAUCUACUACCUCAGCAAAAAGUUCACUGAAUAUGAGGCAAAAUAUUCGUCCGUUGAGAAAUAUUGUUGCGCUCUGGUUUGGGUAGCUCGGAGACUCAAACAAUAUAUGUUGUAUCACACGACAUGGCUAAUUUCAAAGCUGGACCCAAUAAAAUACAUGAUGGAAUCGCCGGCACUAUCAGGAAGAAUGGCACGAUGGUAGCUCCUCCUUUCGAAAUAUGACAUUGCCUAUGUAAGUCAGAAGUCAAUAAAAGGGAGCGCAAUAGCUGACUUCUUAACAACUCGAACGACAGAGGAAUAUGAGCCUUUAAGAUUCGAUUUCCCAGACGAAGACUUAAUGUGCAUCACAGAAAUAGAAUCCGAGUCAUCAAAAGAGAAGUCAUGGAAGAUGUUCUUUGAUGGUGCGUCAAAUGCUUUAGGGCAUGGAAUUGGAGCAAUCCUGGUAUCACCAGACGGGAAUCAUUAUCCGUUCACUGCAAGACUGAACUUCUUCUGUACCAAUAAUAUCGCAGAAUAUGAGGCCUGUAUCAUGGGGUUUCGUGCAGCUAUCGAACGAAACAUCGAGAUCUUAGAGGUGUACGGGGACUCAGCCCUAGUGAUUUACCAAAUCCGUGGAGAAUGGGAAGUGAGGGACUCAAAAUUGAUUAAGUACAGCGAUUUAGUGGCUGGAUUGAUCAAGGAAUUCAAAGAAAUAACUUUUCAUUACUUCCCACGAGAAGAGAACCAACUGGCUGAUGCCCUAGCCACUUUGGCUUCAAUGUUCAAAGCAAGUAGAGAAGCAGAAAUAAUGCCCCUCAAAAUGAGCAUAUACGAGGUCCCUGCACACUGUUGUAGCAUUAAGAAAGAAGUAGACGGACGGCCUUGGUUUCAUGAUAUCUUAGAAUAUAUCAAGAAUCAAAGGUAUCCCGAACAAGUAAAUGAGAACGAUAAAAGAACAAUUAGAAGAAUGGCAGCGGGAUUUGUUCUUGAUGGGGAUAUCCUGUAUAAAAGAGGAAAGGAUCAGAUGCUUUUGAGAUGUGUGGAUGAUGUUGAAGCCAGAAAAAUACUUGAAGAGGUCCAUGAGGGAGUUUGCGGAACGCAUGCCAAUGGUUUCAAUAUGGCCAGAAAGAUCAUGAGACUCGGUUAUUAUUGGCUGACAAUGGAAAGUGACUGCAUCAAUUUUGCCAGAAAAUGCCACAAAUGUCAAAUCUACGGCGAUAAAAUUCAUGUAGCCCCUUCACCCCUUCAUGUCAUGACUUCUCCGUGGCCUUUUUCUAUGUGGGGCAUGGAUGUCAUAGGGCCAAUUUCUCCAAAAGCUUCAAAUGGACAUCGAUUCAUUUUUGUGGUUAUCGAUUACUUCACAAAAUGGAUUGAAGCCGCUUCAUUUGCCAAUGUGACGAAGACUGCAGUGUGCAAGUUUUUGAAAAAGGAAAUCAUUUACCGAUAUGGUUUGCCUGAAAGAAUCAUCUCAGAUAAUGCCACGAAUCUGAACAAUAAGAUGAUGAAAGAAGUGUGUGAGCAGUUUCAAAUAAAGCAUCAUAAUUCCUCGCCCUAUCGCCCAAAGAUGAACGGGGCUGUUGAAGCAGCUAACAAGAACAUUAAGAGGAUCAUUGGGAAAAUGACUGAGACAUAUAAAGAUUGGCACGAGAAACUUCCAUUUGCUUUGUUUGCAUAUCGUACAUCUGUGCGAACAUCUACGGGAGCAACUCCUUUCUCUCUAGUCUAUGGAAUGGAAGCUGUGCUACCUAUCGAGGUUGAGAUCCCCUCUCUGUGAGUAUUGAUGGAAUCAAAGUUAGAAGAAGCAGAAUGGGUUCGAGCUCGAUAUGAUCAGUUGAACCUCAUUGAAGAAAAACGUCUAAGGGCAAUUUGUCAUGGGCAAAUGUACCAAAAGAGAAUGAUCGCAGCCCAUGACAAGAAGGUACGACAAAGAGAGUUCCAUGAAGGAGAACUCGUUCUGAGAAAGAUUCUCCCAAUACAAAAAGACCUGCGAGGAAAAUGGGCACCAAAUUGGGAAGGACCAUACGUUGUAAAAAAGGCAUUCUCGGGAGGAGCUUUAAUCCUUACCAAGAUGGAUGGGAAGGAGUUACCGAAUCUGGUGAAUUCGGAUGCGGUGAAGAAAUAUUAUGCUUAAGAUGAAAACCCGAAAAGGGCAUCUUAAAAAAAAAGGGUGAAAACCCGAAAAAGGUGUCUUGAUUAGUACAAAAAGAUUAGGAUGAAAACCCGAGAGGGCGUCCUAAUGAAACAAACCUGGCGGUCAAACGAUAGGUCAAGUAGUGAGACUACAGUAUUUGAAGCACUUCUGAAAGCUCGAAAUUUUCUACGCAAGAAGCCAUGCUCGAAAAGAUAAUUGAUUGAGGAACGUAGAAGAGUUCAUGUGUUGAAUAUCUAGAGCAUUAGUAUCCGUUGAAUACGACCUUUUCUUUCUUUUUGACAUUUUUACUCUCAUUGGUUAACUUUCUUUGUUUGCCACACUUGAAAUAAAGGAAUAUGAGAUAUCCUUUGUGUCCCUACCUGACCAUUUUCAUGCAUCUCAUUAUGUGUUUAUUUAAUGAUAAAUAGUGAAAUGACAUACUCUAAACAAAAGAAAUGUCAAGCAUUACCCGGAUAAGAAUUUGAUAAGUGCAAGAUCUUCAAAGCAAGAACAAAGUUUAACCAAGGGCAAAAGGGUGAUAUCUGAGAAACGUCGAUUACUCGUAAAGCUCGAAGACAGGUAUGAGGCCUGAAGAGAAGGUCGAGAAUCAAAGCAAUGAACGCAGAUCCUCAAAAAUCAUGGCAAAAAUGACAUACGACCAAUAUGCUUAAGGAGCACUGCAUAAUCAUGUAGGCAUAAAGGCAUUUAAGACAAACAUGUGCAUAUCAUGAUGACUUCAUGCAUGGCAUAUACAGGUAAUCCAGUAAAGCAAGAAAUCUUGAAUCGCACAGAAUCAAAGGAAAAGAUACCCGAGUUCUACCAAAGGACUGGUUUUGGUAUUUUGAUGUUUAAUAUUCAUGCUUUCCAAGGAAAAUCAACUCAUAUUGCGAGAAAUGAGUUGAGCCUCAAGACACGUUGAGCUAUUUUUAAUUUUUUUAAAAAUCAACUCAUAUUGCGAGAAGUGAGUUGAGCCUCGGGGCACGCCGAGGUAUUUUUAGUUUAUGUUUUAAAUUGACUCAUAUUGCGAGAGGUGAGUUAAGCCUUUUAAUUUUUGUUUCUCAAAAUUCAACUCAUAUUGCGAGAAAUGAGUUGAGCCUCAAGACACGUUGAGGUAAUUUCAAUUUUUGUUUUCAAAAUUCAACUCAUAUUGCGAGAAAUGAGUUGAGCCUCAAGACACGUUGAGGUAAUUUCAAUUUUUGUUUUCAAAAUUCAACUCAUAUUGCGAGAAAUGAGUUGAGCCUCAAGACACAUUGAGGUAUUUUCAAUUUUUGCUUUUCAAAAUUCAACUCAUAUUGCGAGAAAUGAGUUGAGCCUUAAGACACGUUGAGGUAAUUUCAAUUUUUGUUUUCAAAAUUCAACUCAUAUUGCGAGAAAUGAGUUGAGCCUCAAGACACGUUGAGGUAAUUUCAAUUUUUGUUUUCAAAAUUCAACUCAUAUUCCGAGAAAUGAGUUGAGCCUCAAGACACGUUGAGGUAAUUUCAAUUUUUGUUUUCAAAAUUCAACUCAUAUUGCGAGAAAUGAGUUGAGCCUCAAGACACAUUGAGGUAUUUUCAAUUUUUGCUUUUCAAAAUUCAACUCAUAUUGCGAGAAAUGAGUUGAGCCUCAAGACACGUUAAGGUAAUUUCAAUUUCUGUUUUUAAAAUUCAACUCAUAUUGCGAGAAAUGAGUUGAGCCUCAAGACACGUUGAGGUAAUUUUCAAUUUCUGCUUCUCAAAAUUCAACUCAUAUUGCGAGAAAUGAGUUGAGCCUCAAGACACGUUGAGGUAAUUUCAAUUUUUGUUUUCAAAAUUCAACUCAUAUUGCGAGAAAUGAGUUGAGCCUCAAGACACGUUGAGGUAAUUUCAAUUUUUGUUUUCAAAAUUCAACUCAUAUUGCGAGAAAUGAGUUGAGCCUCAAGACACGUUGAGGUAAUUUCAAUUUUUGUUUUCAAAAUUCAACUCAUAUUGCGAGAAAUGAGUUGAGCCUCAAGACACAUUGAGGUAUUUCCAAUUUUUGCUUUUCAAAAUUCAACUCAUAUUGCGAGAAAUGAGUUGAGCCUCAAGACACGUUGAGGUAAUUUCAAUUUCUGUUUUCAAAAUUCAACUCAUAUUGCGAGAAAUGAGUUGAGCCUCAAGACACGUUGAGGUAUUUUCAAUUUCUGCUUCUCAAAAUUCAAUUCAUAUUGCGAGAAAUGAGUUGAGCUUCAAGACACGCUGAGGUAAUUUCAAUUUCUGUUGUUAAAAAAAAAUCAACUCAUAUUGCGAGAAAUUAGUUGAGCCUCAGGACAUGCUGAGGUAAUUUCAAUUUCUGUUUUCAAAAUUCAACUCAUAUUGCGAGAAAUGAGUUGAGCCUCAAGACACGUUGAGGUAUUUUCAAUUUCUGCUUUUCAAAAUUCAACUCAUAUUGUGAGAAAUGAGUUGAGCCUCAAGACACGUUGAGGUAUUUUCAAUUUCUGUUUUUCAAAAAUCAACUCAUAUUGCGAGAGGUGAGUUGAGACUUUUAAUUUCUAUUUUUCUAAAACCAACUCAUAUUGCGAGAGGUGAGUUGAGCCUUUUUCUGUUUUUCAAAAAUCAACUCAUAUUGCGAGAGGUGAGUUGAGCCUUUUAAUUUCUGAUUUUCAAAAAUCAACUCAUAUUGCGAGAGGUGAGUUGAGCCUUUUAAUUUCUGUUUUUCAAAAAUUAACUCAUAUUGCGAGAGGUGAGUUGAGCCUUUUAAUUUCUAUUUUUCAAAAACCAACUCAUAUUGCGAGAGGUGAGUUGAGCCUUUUUCUAUUUUUCAAAAAUCAACUCAUAUUGCGAGAGGUAAGUUGUGCCUUUUGCAAAUUCUGUUUUCAAAAAUCAACUCAUAUUGCGAGAAGUGAGUUGAGCCUUGGCUCACGUGCUGAGCUAUUUUCAAUUUCUAUUUUUAAUGUCUAGUUUUAANNNNNNNNNNNNNNNNNNNNNNNNNNNNNNNNNNNNNNNNNNNNNNNNNNNNNNNNNNNNNNNNNNNNNNNNNNNNNNNNNNNNNNNNNNNNNNNNNNNNNNNNNNNNNNNNNNNNNNNNNNNNNNNNNNNNNNNNNNNNNNNNNNNNNNNNNNNNNNNNNNNNNNNNNNNNNNNNNNNNNNNNNNNNNNNNNNNNNNNNNNNNNNNNNNNNNNNNNNNNNNNNNNNNNNNNNNNNNNNNNNNNNNNNNNNNNNNNNNNNNNNNNNNNNNNNNNNNNNNNNNNNNNNNNNNNNNNNNNNNNNNNNNNNNNNNNNNNNNNNNNNNNNNNNNNNNNNNNNNNNNNNNNNNNNNNNNNNNNNNNNNNNNNNNNNNNNNNNNNNNNNNNNNNNNNNNNNNNNNNNNNNNNNNNNNNNNNNNNNNNNNNNNNNNNNNNNNNNNNNNNNNNNNNNNNNNNNNNNNNNNNNNNNNNNNNNNNNNNNNNNNNNNNNNNNNNNNNNNNNUAGAUAAUGUGAAUGUAUUUAGAGGUGCUUAUAUAGUAUUCAAAACUAUCAUAUAAAUUCAAUUUUCAACCAUAUAUAAUUGACAUUAUGGGAGUUGGAAAAUGAUAGGGGGCACUAUAGCAAAUGUUAUAGUUGUAUAAAAUUAGGACUUUGUGAUGGAAUAGUUUAGGGCAUAUUGUUUGAAUAUUCCAUAAACAUUAAAAAAAAAACCAAAUUUGUAAUGGAAUAUAAGAUUGGGUUUUCUUUUAUUAUCAAUUUAAAGCCAUGAGAAUCUUUAUUAUUUAAAAAUUAAUGUAAUUGUUAAAUUGAAAUUGCAGGGGAAUUUCAAAUAGGAGAAAAUAUAAAAGAAAUGGAUCCAAAAACAGUGGGAAGUAGUGUUGUAAAAUAUGGGAGGUGGAGAUUUGGAAUGACAAAGAAAGCAAUGGGGCAUUCAUUAGUUUAUAGCCAACUUUAUCCAUUUAAAGGCCUCCAAAAUUAUACCUCUGGAAUUAUUCACCAUGUUCGCCUCACUGGUAUUUCUCACCAUUUCUUCCCUUAUUUAUCUUCUGCAAAUUUGUUUUCUUACCAUUUCUUUCGCAUUAAUACUAACUUUUUUAAUUUACAAUAUGGUAGCCAAUACUGUUUCGGUAUUAGUAAUAUUAGUCGAUACAUAUCACUUUUAAGGGUGAGUUUAAAGGGAUAGGAACAAUUCCGUGUGUUGACUUAAUAGUCAGGGUGUUCACCGUUCUAGGUAUGGUUUGAGUUCAAGUUAAGUUGUGCUAGUCACGUUACUGUUAGGGUUUUGCCCUUCUCUUGUAAUUCAGCAAAAAGAAAUUAAUAUAUGGUGAAAUUGCACUUUAACUCCUCCAAAAAUGAAAAUAUUUAUAUUUAAUUCCUUCAACAAUAAUGAAAUCGUAAGUUAAUGCAAGAUAAAUGACACUUUAACUUAACAAUCUCCGCUCCCCUUAAAAAAAAAAUCCUAACUUCACCCUUAAUCAUCUUGAUUUUAGAUUGGUACCAAGUAGAUUAAAUUUUGUUCUUAUUAAAACAUUGGUGUGUUUCCUUCUGUUUCAGCUAAUACCAACUUAUACCGAUAUGUACCAAACAAUAUUGGUAGGACUGAGAAAGAAAUCAAAAAAUUGAACUAAUUUUUAUUUAUAAUUUUAUUUAUAAUUUAAAAAUAAAAAUAUAUUUAAACAGUGACAAUAACUCAAAUUUUAUAUAAAAACUAUUUAAAAAUAUUAUCAUAUAAGAGUUAUUAAUUUAUUUGAAAAUUAGUUUCUUUUAAAAAUAUUUAUGAAUAUUUUUAAAAAUUUUACAAAAUAAUAUCCAAAAUUCAUAGAAUAAUUUAUCAAGAUAAGUUCAAACACCCAAAAUUAAUAGAUCUUGAACCAAAUAAAUCCAACUAAAAUAAACCCAAAAUUAAUAGACCGAGAAUCAAAUUAUCAUAGAAGAUAUACCAUACACACUAAUACCCAUAAUUACCCAAUAAUUCUUCUCACACUUUGCAGGUUUAAAACCCAACACCUUCUAUUACUAUCAAUGUGGAGACCCUUCAAUCCCAGCAAUGAGCGAUGUUCAUUAUUCACCAUGUUCGCCUCACUGGUAUUUCUCACCAUUUCUUCUCUUAUUUAUCUUCUGCUAAUUUGUUUUCUUACCAUUUCUUUCGCAUUAAUACUAACUUUUUUAAUUUACAAUAUGCUAGUCAAUACUGUUUCGGUAUUAGUAAUAUUAGUCGAUACAUAUCACUUUUAAGGGUGAAUUUAAAGGGAUAGGAAUAAUUUCGUGCGUUGGCUUGAUAGUUAGGGUGUUCACCGUCCUAGGUGUGGUUUGAGUUCAAGUUGUGCUAUUGUAAUUCACCAAAAAGAAGUUAAUAUAUAGUGAAAUUGCACUUUAACUCCUCCAAAAAUGAAAAUAUGUAUAUUUAGUUUUCUUCAACAAUAAUGAAAUCGUAAGUUAAUGCAAGAUAAAGGACACUUUAACUUAACAAGCUACGCUCCCCUUAAAAAAAAUCCUAACUUCACCCUUAACCAUCUUGAUUUUAGAUUGGUACCAAGUAGAUUAAGUUUUGUUCUUAUUAAAACAUCAGUGUGUUUCCUUCUGUUUCAACUAAUACCAAUUUAUACUGAUAUGUACCGAAUAAUAUUGGUAGGACUGAGAAAGAAAUCAAGAAAUUGAACUAAUUUUUAUUUAUAAUUUUAUUUGUAAUUUAAAAAUAAAAAUAUAUUUAAAUAGUGACAAUAACUCAAAUUUUAUAUAAAAAUUAUUUCAAAAUAUUAUCAUAUAAGAGUUAUUAAUUUAUUUGAAAAUUAGUUUCUUUUAAAAAUAUUUAUGAAUAUUUUUAAAAACUUUACAAAAUAAUAUCCAAAAUUCGUAAAAUAAUUUAUCAAGAUAAGUUCAAAAACCCAAAAUUAAUAGAUCUUGAACCAAAUAAAUCCAACUAAAAUAAACCCAAAAUUAAUAGACCGAGAAUCAAAUUAUCAUAGAAGAUAUUUACCAAACACACUAAUACCCAUAAUUACCCAAUAAUUCUUCUCACACUUUGCAGGUUUAAAACCCAACACCUUCUAUUACUAUCAAUGUGGAGACCCUUCAAUCCCAGCAAUGAGCGAUGUUCAUUAUUUCCGAACAAUGCCGGCCUCCGGUCCAAGGAGUUAUCCGGGAAGAAUUGCAAUCAUCGGAGACUUGGGGCUCACGUAUAACACAACUUCAACAAUUGAUCACCUUAUGAGCAAUCACCCGAACCUGGUGCUGUUAAUCGGCGAUGCAAGCUAUGCCAACUUGUAUCUCACCAAUGGCACCGGUGCCGAUUGCUACUCUUGCGCUUUCUCCGACACUCCUAUUCACGAAACGUAUCAGCCUCGUUGGGAUUAUUGGGGAAGGUAAAUUUUAACGAUGUUUCAUGGAUUUAAAUAGCGGUCACAACAUGACAUUACGAUAGUAUUUGUUAUAAAUGUGCAGGUUUAUGCAGCCUUUGGUGUCCAAGGUUCCCUUGAUGAUGAUAGAAGGGAACCAUGAAAAAGAAGAACAGAUUGAGAAGAAGACAUUUGCGGCUUAUAGUGCUCGAUUUGCAUUUCCAUCGGAGGAGAGCGGAUCAUCGUCGACAUUCUAUUAUUCUUUUAAUGCAGGUGGCAUUCAUUUCGUGAUGCUCGGUGGUUACACCGACUAUAACAAAUCAGGGGAUCAAUACCAGUGGUUGAAGAAGGACCUUGCAAAAGUUGAUAGAAAAGUGACUCCAUGGUUGGUUGCAACAUGGCAUCCUCCAUGGUACAGUACAUAUACUGCACAUUAUAGAGAAGCUGAAUGUAUGAGGGUAGAAAUGGAAGAUUUAUUAUACAAAUACGGAGUUGAUAUAGUCUUCAAUGGACAUGUAAGUCGUGCUUUAUAAUGAAUUAAUUCAAUUACAUUCACUCGAAGAGCUGAUGGUCGUGUUCAUUUGGUGAUAAUCAAUAGGUUCAUGCCUACGAGAGGUCGAACCGAGUGUAUAACUACAACUUGGAUCCUUGCGGUCCUGUUCAUAUUACGAUUGGUGAUGGUGGCAACCGAGAGAAAAUGGCAAUUACACAUGCUGAUGAACCCGGAAAUUGCCCCAAACCAUCGACAACUCUGGAUAAAUUUAUGGGUGGGUUCUGUGCAUUUAACUUCACAUCAGGGCCGGCAAGUGGUAAAUUCUGCUGGGAUAGGCAGCCUGAUUAUAGUGCAUAUAGAGAAAGCAGCUUUGGACAUGGAAUCCUUGAGGUAUAUUAUGCAGAUAUUUCAUUAAGAUUAAUUUCUAUGGACCGUAAAAAGGACACAAAGGGUACUUUAAUUAUACAAAAAAAACAUUAACAGCAAGUGUUUUGCAGGUGAAAAAUGAGACUCAUGCACUGUGGACAUGGUACGGUAAUCAAGAUGCUUAUGGGACUACUGGUGAUGUGGUUUAUAUAGUUAGGCAACCUGAUAGAUGCCCUGUUGAACCCGACGUAAUUAAUUAAGAGUAAACUCCAAAGCUUAAUUAAGUUGAUUCAUCUGCAGUCACCAUUAAAAAGUGAUGCCAAGAAAGUUUAGGUUUGAAUCUCGGCAUCUGUCCUCAGACUAUGAUUUCUUUUGUACCAGUAAAUAUCUUUCAAAGCUAUAAAUACAUAUUAAACAUCAAAAUCAGACAGCUGAUAAAUCACAAAGGGAUUAUGUACGUAUGUAUGCAUGCAUGUAUGUUGGCUUCUAAAGAUUGAAAAGUAAAUAAUUAAGGAUUCAAAAGGAACAUUAUUGUGAUAUGAUUUGCAGGUUCGUAAUUUUAAUUAAAUGAAAUAAGUUUGAUGUAACUAUGCAAGUAGUACUUAGAAUCCUAAAAGUUUGAAAUAAAUAUUUGUAACUUUGUUGAAUGUUUUCAUGAGAGUUCCUUUCUCAUGGAGGUCAAUUUCUUUGUUAUAAGAUACGGUCCCAUGGUUUGACAUACUAAGAUUAAAUAGGCUCUUAUGUAGGCUAACACGUAUCCUACUUUAGGGUCAACACGUGUCUCUUGAGUAUGGGUUUGCCUGCAUGGUGGUGUGAACCCAUUAGGUGCGGACUUAUACAGACGAACUAUAUGGUUUGGUUAACUAUAUCCGAAAUAAAAGGGGUCAGAUCGGUCUUAAUCAGAAAACAAAUAAUUUAUGGCGGACACUACAACAAACUUAAUAAUCACAUUUGUUAAUAACAAAUAAUUAAUUUGUUUUGAUAACGUAAUUACAAGACAUAAUUUGAAAAUAAUAUAUGCUUGCUUAGAUACCAUUAUUCUCAGUACUCCAAGUAACAUAAAUAUUGAAAUGAAUUUGUGAGAGAGCUAAGAUGGUUGUAUUCUAAUAGAGAGAUUUCUAUUGCUGGUAAAGAAGACUUUAGCUCCACUAUCGUGCGGCCGUGACAUUAGCUUAAGCUCCUCAUUAAGCUAAUUAAAUGUGAUCUCUAGAUUAACCAACAAUGUCUUCAUAAAGUAGACAACUAAAUGAUCGAUACCACCAGCAUCCUUCCAUAAAUAGCUGCGAAAUAGGGCUUCAACUUCUAACAAAAACGCCUCUUCCUAUCAUUGGGGUCAUGCAUCAAGGUUUAAAAAGUUCCAUAUUGGAUGCAAAAUAAAUGAUAGAACAAGUAAGAGCAGGAUAGACAUUGAGCUUGUGUUGAGUGUACUAUCAAAUGAAGCUCUAGAGAGAAAUGGAGGGCUGAAUCCAGGGUAAUUGAGCCCCGGACCGCCACCUCCGCCAUUGAUCGGUGUGGUUGUCGUAGUUGGCACAUUCGGAUUGUUCCACGACCCUGUUUUUGGCAUAGCUGUCCCUCCGGAUGUGCUGGAAAUUUCAUAACUUAAGCUUUUAAAAUCAAUAAAAUAACAGUGACAAAAACUACAAAUAAUGAUGGAAUCCAAUUUGGUUGGUAAUUUUCAAAAAAUAGGCGAAAGGAGCUAUUAUUAGCUUUUGCUGGAACCCAAUAGAGGUGCUCAUGGGCCGGGCCGGGCCGGGCCCAGAAAAAAUUUCGGCCAGUGUCCUAGACCCUGGCCUGGCCGAGGCUGAAAUAUGAGCCUAAAAUUUUAUCUAGGCCAGGCCUGAAAAAAAAUUCAUAAGCCCGAGCCCAGCCCGGCCCAUUUUUUAAAUAAACACCAAAAAAAAUUUAAAAAUAAAAAAAUUUAUUUUAAAAAUAUUUUAAAAAAUAAAAAUAAAAAAUAUUUUAAAAAUAAAAAAAUAAAUAGAUUUAUUAUAUUUGGGUCGGGUCGGGCCGGGCCAAAAAAUGUUAUGUGAGGCCCGGUCCAUUUUUUAAAUGGGCCUUUUUUUUUGUCUAAUGUCAUAUUUCGGGCCUAUUUUUUACUUAAACCCUCCCAUAUUUUGGGCAGGCCAUUGGGCCGAGCCGGGCCGCCCGGCCCAUGAAGACCUCUAGAACCCAGCAAUGCGCCCAUGGAUAGAGAUGACAACAAGGUGAGACGGGACGAGUUUUUGCUCGCCUCAAUUUCGACUCGAUUUUUAUAUCCUCUACUUCGAUUUAUUCUGAGCUCGAUUUUAUUUAAAAAUGUAAAAAUAAUUAUAAAAUUAAAAAAAAAGUGUUUUAGUAAGUAAAUCAAGGCAGACAAAUCGAAUUUUCAUCUAAAUCUAAACUCGAAUUGAUCUUGAACUACCCAUGUAUGACUCCAGUAUCCAAAUAUCUAGAGUGUUUUUUGACCGUUGGAUGUCUUUCAAGAAAAGAGUACCCAUCCAACGGUUGAAAAAGUCUCACCUAAACAAGACGGUAGGAAAACAUUACAAGUAAAGAAGUGGCCAACAGACAUAAAUAAGCCUGGAAACGUAAAAGGUGUAAACCUUCACAAAGUGACGACUGCAUGUAGGAUACGAAAAUGGACGGUUAGAGAUCAUGCCGAGAAACACGUGUCAGACAUCUACUCAAUUACAGCAUCACCAUGAAAGGCUCACACCCACUUGAGAAUCAAAGGAUUAUGCAAAGUUGAUUCAUGUUAGUUAAUUAGGAUUUAAACAAUAUCUUAUUUUGCGCCUUUUUGUUUUUCUGUCUUUGAUCCUCUUACAAGCCACAAGGGUUUCAAUAAUAAAUUACACCCAACUUCAAAAAGUUAUUAAAUGAGCAAUAAAUUAUUCAAAUUUUUUUAUUUAAGUCACUAAACUAUUUAAAAGUUUUUAUUUAAUUUACUGGGCUGUUAAAUUUUUUUUUUAAAAAGGAGGUUCAGCUAGUGAACUCCAAGCAACAAUUUAACAAUCGGUAUGGUGGAUAAAUACCCGCUGACGAGUAGAUCCAAGUUGAUCUAACGGUUAGUGUCGGAGAUCGGAGAAUGAAGAGAAAAACUGUUUGGAUUUUAGUUUAUAGAUUUGUGACGUUAAAAGUUAUUUCAUAAAAAAAAAUUAAACUGUAAAAGAGAAGGGAAAUUAAAGCUUUUGAGUGUUGCAAGCAAUGCAGACAAAGAAAGCCGUACAACAGUAAUUUUAACAACCCGAUGACUUAAAUGAAAAUUUUCGAGUAGUUCAAUGAAAGAAAAUACAAAAAAUUCUCUCUGCUGCGUUGUUUUCGUCUUCUUUGCAGGUAAGGAGGCUAGCUGGCGUAAGGAGGUGGUGGAUGUGGCACAGCACACGCGGGGAAGGCCUUGGUGGCUGCGGCGCCGGAAGGAGGGCUGUUGCAGCUAGGGUUUUCUGAUUUUUUUUUUGUUUUGGGCUAGGGUUGUGUUGAUAGUUGUAUUGGGCUAGGUUUUUGGGCUGGGUGUAGUUGGACUAGAUGCAUCUGACUUUGGGUUUGUACCGGGUCACUGUAAAUGGGUUUGGUUUUUAUUGUUAUUGGGCUGUGAACUAUUUGAGUUUUAAUUAAUUUUUAUUUAUUUGGUUUUUUAUUGUGGGCUGGGCAAAUUGGGUAUUACAAUCAGCUAAUUAGGAAAGACUGUGAUGAUAGUCACACCUUACAUCCAAAAGCAAAGCUUUUUACAUGUGUAUGUGAGGUUGCUAAGCAAAUCUGAUGAGCCUUCACUGAUGUUUUAAGGUUAAGUUAAUGUUCCUUUUCGGCAAAGAACAUUAUCGAGAUCACGGUAUUUUGAUCGCCUUUUGCUUGUUAUGUUAUUUGUUCUGAAACGAUUGCAUAAUCUUUACUGUGAUUGCAGGAUAUAGAGCAACUUCUGAAUUUCAUUGGUGUAAAGAGUUGAGGACCACGACAUGUUCUUGCAAAUUUGAAGGAGCUUCUAAGGUCUGUCCGGUCUUCAGAAUAUAUAGAUACCUGAAUUAAUUUUGAUUUUGUAGGAUCAACUAUAAUUAGCUACUUAUUACACUAUGAAUAGACAACCUCACCUUCUUCACACACUACACGUGCGGAUUUUUUACCAAUCCCAUUUCAAAGGAUCACACUUUUUUGUUGUUUACAGAAUCAUAAUUAAUGUUAAUUAAAGUGGAAUAUUUCAGAUUUCUGAUGAUGAGCAUAUUCUUGAGUAUUGCAGUAAAAAAAUGGGUGUGGAACUUAUUUGAACUUUGAAUGUAUGUUCUGUUGGUGAGAAUAUAAAGUUGAUAAAGAUUUGGUAAAUAGAAUAAAAUAUUAUUUUUAUUAGAAAAAUUAUUUGGUAGACUGCCAAUCGAGUUAUAAUUAUCAUGACGUAAAACAUGUCAUAUUACAAAUAAUAAAAUUAUAAUGACUCAAAUAUACGAACAUGUCAAAAUUUACGUAAAACGAAUUAUUAACAUGUCAAUGUAUAAUACGGUACGCAAAAAUAGGAUAAUUGCUUGUUUUUUAAAUUGAAUUGUUAUAACAUAUUAUACAAAAUACAUUGUGAAUUAAAGCAUAAUAUGAACAUGAUAUCAAAAUAUUAAAUAUUUUUUAAAAUUUGAUGAUACGAAUAAUUAUGUAAAAUAUAACAUGAUACAAAAUAACUUGAGAGGAAAAGAGGAAUAAAGAAUUGCAUUGUUUGUGAGGUUUUAAAAUAUUCCAGUUUUAGAUUCAAUUUUCUAGUAUGUUUGGUUUAAUUUUACAUUAGAUUUCCUUUUUAGUAUGCACUAGUGAACGCUUGGCAGUUAAUUUAAUUUAAUUUAAUUUAAAGAGAUAUUGCAUAUACAUAAUAAUGGAUUAUGAUUUUACAUUAAACUUCAUAGAAGAAAAAAGAAAUAGACGGUUGAAAAUGAUAAAACCAUAAGAUAAAAGAGCUUUUAUUUAAAAUGCAAAAAUCAACAAAAUAUGCAUUAUCGCUCAACUUAGCAUAAUUAAACAUUUAGGUGUGGAAAUCAAAUCACAAUUUGAGUAGCUAAACAUAUCGCUUGAAAAUGUGAUAAGUAAGAAAAUUGCCCACAUUUGAGUAGCGACAGGUGGUAAUGCAUUUCCCAACAAGAGAAAACCAAGCUCUUCGCCAGUAUGGAUUUAUGUAGAGGACAACAAAAAUUGUUAACAACACAACUACAUAAGAAACCAAAAAGCUCACACAAAAAUCAUAACUAUCUAUCAAACCAUCUUCUCCUUUAUCUUCUGAUACAGUUGAUAUUGUUGAUGGUGAAUCGGUUUUGGAACAACUUUUAUGCAGUAUAGGUCCACAAAGAAAAGGGUUUCCUUCAUAACUGUUUUCAAUAAAGGUCUCAAAUUGAGCUUUUGGUUCGGGAAUACUACCUGACAAGUUGUUAAAUGCCACGCUGAAAACCUCCAAAGAGUUUAACUCUACCAAUUGAUUGGGGAUUUCACCACUUAAGUUGUUGUAAGAAAGGUCCAAACUCUCAAUUUGAUGUAGUUUUGAGAGUGACGAGGGUAUAACUCCGGUCAACUUAUUGUGUGAAAGGUUUAAAGAAUGGAUUUCACUCAAGUUCCCUAAUUCUGGUGGGAUAUGACCAGUUAAGUUGUUGCAAGAUAAAUCAAUCCCAGUCAUAUAUGAAAGGAUGUCGCCCUUGUAUGAAUAGAACCCACUCUUUGUUGUGAACUCUAUUACUUCUUCUAAGUAGCUACUAGGAUAGUAAGAAUCCAUUCCCAAAUUUAGUAUCAUACUGCGUGUUGUUUCAUCCUCUUCUAUAGAUGGCCCAUAGAACCAAGUUUCUAGAAUCUUCUUCGUUUGCAUUGGAAGAGAUAAAUUUCCCAAACAAGAAGGUAUAGGACCAGAAAACAUAUUUUGAGAAAGAUCUAUGAUGCUUAAAGAAUGCAACUUGCAUAACUCAAUAGGAACUUUACCAUGAAAAUGAUUAUCUUUCAAGAGAAGAACACUCAAAGAAGAAAGCGUGUAAAUCCAUUUUGGAAUACUACCUGUCAAAUUGUUUCCUCUAAGAUCUAAAGUCACUAUUGAAGAGCUAUUAUAAAAAGCAAGUGAUAGUGGGCCUCUCAGUCUAUUCCCGUGGAGGUGGACAUGCUCUAUGUAUGGUGGAUUAAAACAUGACGGUAUAGAGCCAGAUAAAUUAUUUUGAGAAAGAUCCAAAAAUUCCAACCUAUUCAACUUGCAAAAUUCCAUUGGAAUGGAACCUUCAAAACCAUUGUUGGACAUAGCUAAUCUCUGCAAAAACGAUGCAUUCCCUAUCCAUCUUGGGAGCUUUCCAUGCAACUUGUUGUUACUGAGAUCAAUUUCGCUUAGUGAAUUUGGAAACUCAAAAGUAGACACAUCAACAUUUGUCAUCUCUCCUGAAAAAUUAUUUCCAUCCAAAUAUAAAUGCUGCACCCCAUUUGCGCUGAGAAUCACAGGAACUACAUUUCCACUGAGGUUGUUAUUUGAUAGUCUCAAAAUGGUCAGUGAGCCUUUCGUGAUCAACUCUUCUGGUACUUUUCCAUACAAAUGAUUGUCUAAUAGAUCUAAAAAUGAUAAGUCCUUCAUGCCACUUAAACAAAGUGGGAUAUUAUCUUCAAAAGCAUUCUUGGAUAAGAAUAACCGACUCAAAUGUGGAAAAGUUGAACAUAUACCAGUUGGAAUUUGACCUUGUAAUUUGUUUUCAGAUAUGUCAAUUGAAGAUACAUCAGAAAUAAGAGCCGACGAAAGUGAGAGAGGACCUGUAAAUGAAUUACCCUUCAAGAUGAGAUCUUCUAACUUUGUGUUGUUUUCUAGCAACCAAGUUGGUACAGUUCCACUGAGAUUGUUAUGAGAAAGAUCCACAUAUCUCAAGUCAUAUUGGUAGUAAAGGAAGGUAGGAAAUUUACGAUUGAGUUGUUGAGAUGCUAUGCACUUUGGCAAUCUGAUGACUUCCAAUUGGAACUUUGGGAUUGAGGUAUAAAAGGAAGAUUCCAUUACCAUCUUGUUUUCAUUAAUCGAAAGGGCUUUGAGGUUUGAAAGGUUUGCAAAUGGUGCAAAUGACAGCGGAAUUUGAAAAUGGUUUCUUGAAACAUCUAACACACGAAGAGAUGUCAAGUUACUAAAACAACGAGGAAGCAUCCCCUCAAGUGCAUUGUUGCUCACAUCCAAUACUUCAAGGUUCUUUAGAUCACACCAUCCUGAAAAAUUUAUAAAUUCAUGGAAGAAAUUUUAAUUAAAUUUGGUCCUAUUAAAUAGAAUAGGAGAUAUUAUAUUACAAAAGCUAGUAAAGAAAUCAAUUUGAGCCAUAAAAUUAUUUACCUUGAUUAGGUAAGGGACCAAUAAGUCCACAAUGAUAUAAAGACAAUGUUUUAAGAGAAGCGAAUACUCCAAUGCUUUGCAAAAUGUUGGUGUUGAGAGUAGAAUAGUCAAGAUAUAUUUCCUCCAAACUGCUCGACACAUUUGAAUCUAAGCAAUGUCAAGAGGUAUUAGAUAACGGUAUUAUAGAAAGCCUCUACUAAGUAGAAUGCUUUAUUUUCUGUGAAUGAAAUGAAGUAUAUAAAUAUAUAUAUAUAUUUUUUAUGAGUUAGAUUAUUCAUGAUUUAUCUGAGAUAAAUUUUGAUAGAGAGAAGAUGUUGAAACUUUAAUAUAACUCUUCAUCCAUUUUAUUAAUUAUACUAUUUUUUUUCUUUUUAGUAUUUUCUUAUAUUAUUUUUUAAUAUAAGUAAUUAACUGAUAUAGCUAAGUUGUAUAAUUUUCAAACUCCAAUCAACAACACUAUAAAUAAUAUUUAUAAAAUAAAACAUGUCUACACUAAAUGUAUGUUUAAAUUUCAUAAAAUUGAAGAUAUUUUUAAAUUAUUCAAAAUUCACAUGUCUACACUAUAAAUAAUAUUUAUAAAAUAAAACAUGUCUACACUAAAAUUAUUAUAUUACCUUUAAAGAUGCCAAUAGUAUAUAAAAAAAUCAAAUAGGUAUUUUACUCAACAAUAAAUAAAACUCAAAAGAAUUAUAAGUAAACUCAGCGGAUUAAAUGAAAAUUUUAAAGCAUUAAAUCUUGGCCCAAAAAUAGAGUUAAGUUAAAAUUCAAAAUUCAAAAUUAUUUUAUUAAUAUUGUUAAAAUUAUUUUAUUAAAUCCAUGUUCAUUACGUCAUUUUUUUAGUUACAUUACUACUAAGUUUUUUUUUUAUUUCAAAAUGUCACACCAACAAGCUAUUUUAAAAUUUUAACAAUUUUAACAAUUUAACUAGGAUUUUGAUUUUUUUUUAUAAAAAAAACAGGGAUUAAAUUCUUGAAAAUAAAAGUAUAAGAAUUAAAUUACAAAUUAGUAAAGAGUACAUAGACCUAUCAUAUUUUUUAAAACCAAAAAGUUAAAAACAUAUGCACUUUGAAAUUUAUAAAAAGAUUGCAAUGGAAGUUUAAGCACCUCUCAAUGUAUGUUUAAAUUUCACAAAAUUAAAGUUUUUUUUUAAAUUAUUCAAAAUUGACAUUUAUUUAUUUUUGCCAAAAAAUGCCAUUUAUUUAACGCUAAUAUGUAUUUUUAUGUUUUAUACUAUUAAAAAUAUAUGAAAUUAAAAUAUAGUUAUAUUACAUAUUUUCUCAUAAAUAUAUGUUUUUAUUUAUUUAUAAUAUCAUUUUUUAUUGUUAUAAUUAUUUUUUAUCUCAUAAAAAUUCAAUAAAUUAUUUUAAAAAAUAUAUUUAUACAAACAAAAUAAUUAUAAACAUUAAUAUUUUAAAAUGAUGAAAAUUUUAAAGAAUUUUAGUUUCAAACCAAAGUCCAAACACAUUAUAAUGGAUGAUUUAGAAAAUGUUUCACCAAACCCAUAUUUUACUUUCAAGUAUGAUAUGAUAUAACUUUAUUAAUAUUUAUGACAAUAACCGUUAUUAUAAUAUUUGACAUCAAAACUAAAUUUCUAAAUUAAAAAAAAAAAGGAAGUUUAAUUAAAUGAUACCUUGGUGGAUCACCAAAUCUUUCAAUUCAUUAUAGCUCAUAUCUAGUUUCCUUAAGUUGAUAAAUGCUUCCAAAUCUAGGAAAACAAAAACAACAAAUCAACUUCAUUAUAUUCUCUUAAAACAUUAUUAUAUUCUUGUUAAAAAACUAAUACUUUUACCUUUCAUAUCUAUUGAUCCUUUCAAUUCAUUGCCUCUUAUGCUCAAAGAUUUCAAAUUUGAAAGCUUGUUAAGGGAUGCAAAUACACUAGUAUUGAAGUGAUUUCCAUCUAAAUUAAGCUCUUCCAAGUGGGUCAAUUCCAAUUUUCUACCAUCAUCUACAAAAGAUUUAUAUAAUUUCAUCAUCUACCAUCACUAAUUUCAUCUACCAAUUUGUUAAAUUGCUCAAUCCUAUACAUAUCCACGUACAAUUCAAAAAAUCAUUAUGUUAAUAAUUUUAAUUUCUACUUAAUAUUUUAAUGAAAUAAAAAUGAAAAAAAAAAGUAAAUCUAAAACUUGAAUUGAAGAUAAAAAUCCUCAAACGUGAAAUGUGAAUGUUCAAAUUUGAAACAAUUAAUUUUAAAAGGCUCUAGAAAGAAUUAUCAAGAAAAACAAAGUUAUAGCUUUAGUACCUUUAGUAUCUAAUGAGCCUUGCAAACGGUUGUUGAACAAAGUCAAAGACUUUAGGCUUGAAAGCCCUUGAGGAAAGGAAAUUGUGUUGUUCCGAAAGAGAUUACCACUCAAAUAAAGUUCCUCUAAGUUUGUUAGCCUCAAUUGUGUUCCAUCUAUCAUUGGAAGAAAGUAAUUAGUAUAGUUAACAUCAUUCAAGAUAUAAAUAGUUAGGAAAAAUGUUUGUUUGAGAAGGAAGAGCCAAUUUACAAGCUUUCCGAUGAAUUGAUUCAAUAUAUAAAUACUUUGUUUGAGAUACCUUCCUACUUAAAUUACUCAAUUUUGAAAUUUAAUCCCAAAUAUUGAUUACUUAUAUAUAUUCAUGAUAUGAUAAAAUCAAAUGACUUAUUGCAACAACUUUUCCUUCAACAUGAAUUUAUUUUAAAGAAUGCUAUUCUUCAAAUAAUUCCAACUUAUAUCAAUAAUUUCCAAUUUAAUGAGCCAUUGAAAACCUCAUUUAUAUAUUAUAUAAUUAGUUACUACAAAACUUAAAUAAAUAAUAAUACUCCAUUUUUGCAAUAAAAAUUCACUAAAGAAAAUACAUUUGAAGUCUGUCAUUGCCUUUUGGAAUAAGAGUCGGUCAAGAAAGUUACUAUGCAGAAAUACUUAUACCUUUGUUUGAGAUGCUUUCAAUGUCGUUCCAACUUAAAUCCAAGUACUUCAAAUUUGUCAAAUUAUUCAAUCCUGAAAUUCAAUCCCAAAUAUUGAUCAGUUAUAUAUAUAUAUUCAUGAUAUGAUAAAAGCAAAGACAUAUUGCAACAUUAACUGUCCCUUAAACAAAAAUUGGUUUUAAAGUAAAAAAGAAACAUAUAAAACCAGUCUACCUUUAAUAUGAAUUGACAUAUAAAUACUGUACUUAUACCUUUGUUUGAGAUGCUUUCAAUUCUGUUCCAACUUAAAUCCAAGUAUUUCAAGUUUGACAAAUUAUUCAAUCCUGAAAUUCAAUCCCAAAUAUUGAUUAGUUAUAUAUAUUCAUCGUAUGAUAAAAUCAAACUUGAACAUACAUUGAUUUUUAAAUCAAGGAUGAAAGAUUUCUCAUAUGAAACAAAAUGCUAUUCUUCAAAGAAUUCCCACUUAAAUCAAGAGUUUCCAAGUUAUUGAGUCUUGAAAGCAAUUGAAAACCUGAUAUAUAUAUUUACUUGUUAAUUGUUUUUUCUUUCUUAGCCAUAUGAAAAUUUUACUAAAGCAAAAGUGGAAUUACGACGGAUAAAAAGAAUGGAAAACUAGGUACCAAGCCUAGAAGACCAUCCUCAAACUCCACUAUACAAAUAAAAACUAACAGCAGACCAAACUUAAUUUACCUCUUUGAUGACCUGAUCCUUCAAAUUUGUUGAUUGAUAGAUCUAAAUACCGGAGAGAUGAAAGCUCACUCAAAGAUAACAAAAUGCUAUCAUUCAAGUAAUUGAAACUUAAGUCAAGGAUCUCCAAAUUACUCAAUGUGGAUGAUAGUUUUCCAAAGCCUAUAGAAAUAUUCUUUUAAAUAUAUACAAGUUAGUGACUUUUCUUCCAUAAAAUAAAAUAAAAUAUAAGUAAUUGCAAAUUAACGAUGGUAAGAGUAGUGGGAUAAUAAAAGAUGUAAUUAAGGAAAAACUAGAGGCACGACCUUCAUUUUCAAGGUUACCACUUAUGGCAUUCCCCCGCAAAUAAAGACUCUUCAAUUCCUCAAAGGGAAGAAACAUAGAGGUAUUGAGAUACCAGGCAUUGAGAUUCCUAUUAUCCGUUUUGUAUCCCAUACUGUCAAACCAUCUUGUAGAAUUAAGGGAGAGUUGUAUGAGUCUCCUAGUGGUGGUGUUACACUCAACUCUUUCCCAUUUACAACAAUCUGAACCCUUCACCUCAACCCAACUUUGCAAUUGAUUUUGAUAAUUGAAGAAAGGCUUGAGAUGCAAGAGAGCGAUUCUCUCAUGCUCCAAACAAGCAUCAGUAGUACACCAUCUGCAUCCUUCUAACACCAACAACAUUACUGCCAUCCUAAUAAGCCUUAACCAUUUCCACUCCAUCAUCAUCAUCUCUCUGUUUUCACUUCUCUCUCAGUUAUAUGUUACUUUUUGUUAACUUCUAUAUGUAAAUAAUCUAAAGCAGCCUAACCUUCUUAUUUAUAUACAAGCAGAACAUACUGGAUCCCACUAAUUCACUAUAAUGUAAAAAUAAUAUAUAAUUAAUUAAUUCCUCAAAAAUUGGAUCAAAAUCUAGGCUUUUUAUUUACGUAAAUUCCUUAUUGCAAAAACUCCUGGUGGAAAUUCGUUAGGAAAGGAUGAAUGGACCACAAGAAUGUUGAUGUUAAUCUUGAAAAACGAAUGGCCAAAAAAAUAUGAAAAGUGAGAGGUGGACAUAAAAUCUUGUGGUUGGGGUUGCAAAAGUCUUCAUGUGGCUUUCUUGUGAGCUUCAUUUAUACCCUUCUUACACAUAUACAAACUUAGUCUUGACUUGGCUUUAUUAAUGGAAAAUUUAGGUCUUCAUUUUUGGUUUCAUUCAUGGAAAUUUUACUUCUUUGAUUUUGAUUUUGCUUUUAUUCUUGCACAUUUUAGGUUUUGAUUUUGAAAAUUUAGUUUUUUUCAUCUCUAUUAUUAUAAAAUUUCUUGAUUUAAUUAAUAUCAUGAGUUAAUUUAAUAUUUUAAAAAAUAAAAUAUUACAUUCACUAUUUUUAAAAAAAUAGGAGUAACUAUAAAAUUUAAUUAUUUAUAUAAUAUUUUUAUAAAAAAACUAUUUAUUUCUACUAGACCACUACUUUAAAACUAUCAAUUAUCAUAUAACUUCUCUUUAAUAAUUCACUAUUCUUUGAACAUUCAUUAGUUUUUGAAACAUAAAAUUUAUAAAUAAUUAUUUUUAAAAUGACUUGAGUUUUACUUGAAUCAUUUUUGUAAUUAGUUAAUUAAAUUGGGUUAUUUUUAAAAAAAAUCCUCUUAACUAAUAGCAAAAAAAAAAAAAGAAAAAAAAAAGCCAUCAUGUAGAAAAUUCUGGUUUGUUGGAAAGAUAAAGACUUGCACCAUUACUUUAAAUUUUGAAAUGUUCAACUUGAUAUUGACAUCUGAUAAUAUGUACAAAUUUCUCAUUGUUUUGAAUUUUAGUGAUAUUACACAUAUGAUAAUAUGUUUGUCACACCAAAUUUUGAAAUAGUAGAACUUAAUGAAUUUAACAAAUACUUAAUGAAUUUAAGAAAUAUCUAAAAUAUCAAAUUAAAGUCUAGGAAUUAAAUCUACAACUUCAGUAAAGUACAAGAACUAUUGUAGAAUUAAACCUUUAUAUAAUAAUUUCCUUCUAUGAACCACAAUUCAAGUGCACCCCACAAGCAACAUUAAAAAAUUGGCAUGUGUCUAUUUUUUUAAAAAUAUUUAUUUUUUUAAUAUUAUAUACUACACCUCUAUAGGAUACGUGUCAAUCCUUUAACUCUCCUUAUGGAAUUUAAAAACUCCACUAACAAUGUACCAAAUAUUAAUCCUAAUUAUUAUACUAUUCAUGGAUAAAGAUAAAAUAUAAUAUUUGCUUAAAAAUCUCAAUUAUAUAUAUUUGGUCACCCAUUGUGAUGUAAUAUAGCACCGUCUACAAAAUAGUUGGAGGAAAGUGUUAAGAAAAUAUCAUUACAUAUAUCAACAUUCGCAUAAUUCAUUGCAUUAACUUUCAAAUGUUAACUAUUGACUUCUGCGUCAACUUUGAGCUUAUAUAGGUCCCCCUCAUGGAAAUUGAGAAAAACAAAUUAAUAUGUAUAUUCUUGUGGGUGGAAAUUUAGUGGAGAUGCCCAUCAUCUUUCCUAAUUAAUAAAAAUGAAGACUUAGAAAAUGUGCAAUCAUAAUCCUAGUCGUCGUUAUGGCCCCAAGAAUAGUUAUCUUAAUUUGUCUCUCUUCAGGAUUAAAGAUAAAAAAUAAAUUUUAUAAAGUUAGAACUAUAAUUUUAUAAUUAUAUUAACAUAUAAUUUCAUAAAAUUUUAAAAAUGUAUCUUUUAAUUUUUUAAUUAAAUUGAUAAUUCGUUAACUCAUAAUAUUAUUUUAUUUUUCAAAAUAUUUACGAGAACGAGUUCGUAUUCUAUUGUGUGGAAAAUUUUAGUACAGAUUAUUAAGUUAUUGGAGAAGCCAAAUCCAACUUGUUUGACCAAGAAAGUUUUUGUCGCGUGGAAAAUGGACAUUACCAUUUCCUUGAAUGACCUUCAAUUUAAUGUAUUCACACCAAAUUUCAUUAAUGAGUAAAACAAAUAAUGAAUAAUAAUGAAAAUUGGAGGAAAUUGUUAAGAAAUUAUUAUUACAUAUAUCAACAGUCACAUAAUUCAUUGUAUUAACUUUCAAAUGUUGACUAUUGACUUUUACAUCAACCUUGAGCUUAUAUAGGCCCCCCUCACGGAAAUAAUCUCAUAAUUAAUGCCUGAAAAAUUAUUAUACAUCAAUUUACAGUUUUAAUCCCUAGACUUACUCAAUUGAAUUAAAAUUUUAGUUUUUAUUAUUUAAUUUGAACUAUUACUUUAGAUUUUGAAAUGUUCAACUUGAUAUUACAAAUUUCUCAUUCUUUUGAAUUUUAGUGAUAUUACACCUAUGAUAAUAUGUUUGCCACACCAAAUUUAGAAAUAGUAGGACUUAAUGAAUUUAAUAAAUAUCUAAAAUAUCAAAUUAAAGUCUAGAAAUUAAAUCUACAACUUCAGUAAAGUACAAGAACUAUGGUAGAAUUAAACCUUUAUAUAAUAAUUUUCUUCUAUGAACCACAAUUCAAGUGCAUCCCACAAGCAACAUUAAAAAAUUAAAAUGUGUCUAUUUUUUUAAAAUAUAUUUUUUUUAAUAUUAUAUACUACACAUAUAUAGUAUACGUGUCAAUCCUCUAACUCUACUUAUGGGAUUUAAAAAAUCCAGCAACAAUGUACGAAAUAUUAAUCCUAAUUAUUAUACUGUUCAUGGAUAAAGAUAAACUAUAAUAUUUGCUUAAAAACCUCAAUUAUAUACAUUUGGUGACCCAUUGUGACGUAAUAUAGCACCAUCUACAAAGUAGUUGGAGGAAAUUGUUAAGAAAAUAUCAUUACAUAUAUCCAACAGUCACAUAAUUCAUUGCAUUAACUUUCAAAUGUUGACUAUUGACUUCACGUCAACUUUGAGCUUAUAUAGGCCCCCUCCUCAUGGAAAUAAUGUCACAAUUAAUGCUUGAGAAAUUAUUAUACAUCAAUUUAUAGUUUUAAACCCUAUACUUACUCAUUUGAAUUAAAAUUUUAGUUUCAAUUUGAUAUAUUUUGUUCCUCUUAUUAAUAUUAAUGUUAUAGAUUUAUUAAAAUAACUAACAUUAUUAAUUCUCUAACAUUUAAAAAUUAAAAUUAUGUGGUUAUUAAAAUUAUGAUGCUAAAUUGAGAAUUAAAAAUUAUCAAGUUUUAAAUGAUCUCGGGAAUUAAGAAGAGAUCGUGUCCUAACUUAUUGGGCAUGAUCCUUUUUUUUCUCAAGUUUUAAAUGAUCUCAGGAAUUAAGAAAAGAUCGUGUCCUAACUUACUGGGCAUGAUCCUUUUUUUUUUAAAAUCUAAGAUAGCUAAAUAUUUUUUAAAUAAGUAAAUUUUUGGCAUUCAUUCGCGCAUCGGGAAUUCAAGACAUUGUGUCCUAACUUACUGGAUAUAAUUCUCUUUCUCGAUUAAUGUGAAUUAUGGCUUUUUCCCGAAAAUUUUCAACAUUUCAAUAAAGGAUCGUAUUUUAAAUCUCUUUAAAGUUUUCAAUCUUCGAUACUAAGACAUUAAUUAAUCAACUAGGUACCAAUUUUGGGCGUAACGAGGGUGCUAAUCUUUCCUCGUACGUAACCGACUCCCAAACCUGUUUUUCUGAAUUUCGUGGACCAAAAUUAUUAUUUUAUUAAAAUUAAAUUGUUUAUUAAAAAUAACCACUUUUCAAGGUGGCCCGAUCACACCUUAUCAAAAAGGAUUGGUGGCGACUUCCAUAUUCGUUUUCAUUUUUUAAAAUCCAAGUCGACCCCGUUUUCACAAAAAAAAAAAGUGUCAACAAUUAUAUUAAUAUAUAAUUUCAUAAAUUCUUUAAAAAAAAUUGUAUCUUUUAAUUUUUUAAAUUAAUUUAGUAAUUCAUUAACUCAUAAUAUUAAAUUUUUUAUUUUUCAAAAUAUUUACGAGAACGAGUUCGUAUUCUAUUGUGUCGAAACUUUUAGUACAGAUUAUUAAGUUAUUGGUGAAGCCAAAUCCAACUUGUUUGACCAAGAAAGUUUCAGUCGUGUGGAAAAUUUUAGUUUUGUGGAAAAUAUAGAUUAACUUCUAUAUAUGUAUGUAAUCUAAAGAAGCCUAAGCUUCUUAUUUAAUUAUAUACAAGCAGAAGAUAUUGCAUCCCACUAAUUCACUAUAAUAUAAAAAUAAUAUAUGAUUAAUUAAUUCCUCAAAAAUUGGAUCAAUCUAGGCUUCUUAUUUACGUAAAUUCCUUAUUGCAAAAACUCUCGAUGGAAAUUCGUUAAGAAAGGAUGAAUGGACCACAAAAAUGCUUAUCAACUCUUGACUUUGGCGUUCAAUGCUAAGUUCAUUUUAAAAUUCUUUCAUGGAGAGAAGAUGGGAUGACAAGAAUGAUAAGUUUUAAGUCAUUUAAGUUUACACAAAAUUUUAAUCACUCACAAAAAAUCAGUCUUGAUAUUCUAUUAAAAAAUUUAAACAUGGCUUAACGUUGAUUUUAAAUCUAAUGUCGAUGUCAAUCUUGAAAAACGAAUGGCCAAAAAAAUAUGAAAAGUGAGAGGUGGACAUAAAAUCGUGUAGUUGGGGUUAUAAAAUUCUUCAUGUGGACAUAAUAUAUUUUUUAUGCCCUUCUUACACUUAUAUAAAGUUAGUCUUGAUUUCGCUUUAUUAAUGGAAAUUUUAGUUCUUCAUUUUUUGUUUUAUUCAUGGACAUAAUAUUUAUUUUUAUUUUUUAUUUUUGUGUUAUGGUCUAUGUUCGAGGUUUAUGGCUAUCCCCUUUCAACAACGUCGUCUCAACGGUUCAAACAUACACUUGCAGGUAAAAUAAUACUUUUUAAAAUCACAAAUAUUUGAAAUAAUAUAUUGCAGCUAUAUAAAUGCUUUCUUGUUUAAGAUACUAAUAAAGUAAUUAACAAAGUAAUUAUUAUACCUAUAAUAAUUCAAAAUGCCACUUGUUAUCUAAUGAAGUAUAGGGGUGCAAAUGAGACAUCCGUACCCGCAAGCUAUUCGAAUUCGGCUCAAAAAAUUUUGAAUUUGAUUCGGUAAUUAUUGCGCCGAGCUAUAGGUCGAUCCGGAUUCAAGCUUAGUAAUACUUGACUCGAGUAGUUUGGGAGCCUUAUUGAACUUUUCAUAUUUUUAUAUUAUUAGAUUACAUUAUUGCCUUUAAUAUAUAUUGUUAACCCUAAGUUUAAUUAUUGAGGCGAGCUCGAACUCGAGUACAAAAAUUGAUAAACAGAUUUAAUUUCGAGCUUAAAAAUAUAUGUUCAAUCGAGUAUCAAGCUUUGAAUUUCAAAUUAAACUUGAGUUUAACCGUAUUGAGUUCGAAUAGAUUCAAUUACACCCUACAAUAAAAUAUACCAACAAAACCUACAUUCCAUAUUUGCUUAAAAACUUUGCUGUAAAUUUUAUAUAUGUGUGUGUUUAACGUGAGUUCCAUCUAUGUCCAACUUGAUGACGAUGAAAGUUCCUAUGGUGUAAAAAGUUUUAGUUAUGUGGAAAAAUAAGGUCUUCUCUUCACACGUUUAAUAUGCUUACUUGUGACGGUCAUUUCGGGCUUGACAUCAAUUUUCAAAAUGUUCUAAUUGGUGGAAAACUUACGUCUGCUUUUAUGAUUCUUUCAAGUCAAUUGGAGAAUGCCUCUGUUACACUUCAAAAGAAGUAGAUUUUGAACUCAACAUGAACCUGUGAGAUUUGAUGCCUAAAAUAUAGGUAUAAGGUUUCAAUUCAAGGAAAUGUUGGAAGUCCAGGAAAUUUCUUAGUCUCCUCUCUUUGGAUGUUUUUGAACAAAAAUGUUUUAAGUCUCUUCCGAUGCUAAACUUCUGAUUGGUCGUCGGUUCACUGACCCUUUGGUACACAGCAAUAUGAAGCAUUGGCCAUUCAAGGCCAUUGCUGGUCCUGGUGAUAAGCCAAUGAUUGUACUACUAUAGAUUUGAAAUGAUUGUACACAUCUGAUCGGCUCUUUGUAAAUUUAAAUCUUACAAAUUCGGAUAAUAUUCGAAUUUAAAUAUUUCAAUUACUAUCUGCAAUAGAUUAAAAACAAACGUGAUUAUCAAUCCUUGGAUAUCCACAUACAGAUUAUGCAAUACAAUCUCUUAAGGCAUAUAGAAUUUGGGUCUUAACCAAGCUAUGUUGCUUAAAAGCUUGCUAAAAGCACCCCUAACAAAGGGGUAAAUAAAUAAAAUAUCAAGCACCAGUUAUCAAAGCAGAUUGACCACCUUAUAUCUAUGUAUGCUACUACAAAACUUGCACCAUUAAAAUCUCAAGCUGGUAAUUGGAGCUUCAUGUUAUUCUUGCAGCUGCAGGCAUAAUAAUCAAAUAAGUUGCAAUCAUUCACAUAGGUACUAUGAAGUGCUUUCCAGAGCGUGAGAAACCUCUGGAAGUAAUAGUAGAAGAAAUCAGCAUAAAGCAAUGUCUGGACAAGACCGCAAAUCCAAGCUGAUCAAAGGCAUCAAUCAUGUAAACUAGGUGUUAGAAAUAACAAAUAUAGCAUAGAAUAUAACAAAUAAUGAAUAACAAUGAAUAGUACACGUUACCAUUUCCUUGAAUGACCUUCAAUUUCUCCAUUGAGAUAUAGUAAGAGGGAGUGGAAUAGAUGUAAGGUAAUAUUUGAUGUAUUCGGUAAAUGAAUAAUAACACCACAUUCCAUUAAUGAGUAAAACAGAUAAUGAAUAAUAAUGGAAGUUUUAUAAAAUAAAAAUAAAUUAAAUCAUAUACAUAUAAUGUAUUAAAUCUUAUUCGUGAAGUUCACAAUGAACAAAAUACUAAUCCAUAAUGGAGAAAAAUAACCUAAACUUUAAACAUUUGUUCAUUACUAUAAACAUAUGUACAACUUUUUAAAGGUUUUAUAUAAACUAUUAAAAGGUAUAAACACUCUCAUAAAAAUAUAUUAUUAAGUACGUCUUCUUUUACUAGGAAAGUUCCUAUCCUGUAGAAAAAUGUAGUUUUGUGAAAAAAGGUCUUCUAUGCACUAAUUUGUGGCAAUCACAUGGGGUUUGGGAAUUUCAAUUUUGAUAGCCAACCGAGAUUCACUAAAUUUAAAUUUUAUUAUGAUUAAUUACGCUCUUCGUUUUGGAGAAAUAGGUAAUCACAACAACUAAUUUAAUUAAAUGUAAUUUAAUAAUUAAUUUUUUUAUAAUUUAAUUACAUUAACUAUAUUUAAAUUUAAUAUUUAGUAUUUAUAUUUUAAUUUAACAUAAUUUAAUUCACUUACUUUUAUAAUAUUAUUAGUUCGUCUAAAUAGUUGACACCUUUAAUUAAUUCUUAUUAAAAUGUUAAAAAUGUUUAUACUUAUUUUCCAUGUUAAAAUAUAUAUUUUUUUGUGCUUUUAAAAACAAAAUUUCACAAUAUCAUUUCCCGAUAUAAAAAUUAAAUCUCAAAUUAAUUUAUAUUUUUGUAUUUUUUUAUAACUAAUGUUAUCAAGAACUCUUAAUAGUGCAACUGAUUCCACCAUAAUAUUUAUAUUCUUUAAAUAUGAUUUACAAUUUAUGUUUGGAGUUCGUGACUGUCAUUCUUAAUAAUGUCAUUUCUAAUGUUCGAACAUGCAUCUCCCCUUGAGAAUGCAAUAUUCAUUACUAUUGCACCUAAUUAUUUUGAUAAUUUAAUUUUAAAUAUUGACAUAAAAAUAUUUUUAAAUAUAUUAUUAAUAAAUUUAAUUAAGAUUAUAAAACUUGAGGUUUUUUUUAAUUCUUCAAAAAUGUCAUUUAUUUAUUUUUGGCCAAAAAAUGCCAUUUAUUUAACUCUAAUAUGUGCUUUUAUGUUUUAUUUUAAAAAUAUAUGAAAUUCUAAUGAUAGUUAUAUUACAUAUUUUUUAAUUUUAAAUAUCAUUGUUCUUUUAUAAUUUGUUUCAAGUAUGAAAUGAUAUAAUUUUUUUUAGUAUCUAUCACAAUAACCUUUACUAAGAAUUGAAACUAAAUUUCUAAAUUUUGAACAAAAAUGAAAGUUUAAUUAAAUGAUACAUUGGUGGAUUCAUUACCCCUCAUAUCUAGUUCCCUUAAGUUGAUAAAUGUUUCCAAAUCUAGGAAAACAAAAAACAACAAAAUCAACUUCAUUAUAUUCUCUUCCAACAUUAUUAUAUUCUUGUUAAAAAUCUAAUAUUUUUACCUUUCAAUCCAUUGCCCCAUAUGCUCAAAGAUUUCAAAUUUGAAAGCUUCUUAAGGGAUGCAAAUACACUAGUAUUGAACUGAUUUCCAUCUAAAUAAAGCUCUUCCAAGUGGGUCAACUCUAAUUUUCGACCACCAUCAAUAAAAGAUUUAUAUAAUUUCAUCACUAAAAUGAAUUGGCAUAAACUUUUAUUAUAUAUAAGAAUUUAGGUAAUUGGUUAAAUAUAAAUGCAUACCAUUUAAGGAUUGAAAGCUUUCAAUUUCAUUCCAACUUAAAUCGAGUUUCUUCAAAUUUGUUAAAUUGCUCAAUCCUAUACAUAUCCUCAUCCAAUUCAAAAUCUGAAAUUAGUAAAGAUAAAAUUGCACAUUGACCCCCUAAAAUUGAUAAAAAUUUAAUUUAAUUCUUUAAAAAUUAUAAACAUAUGUAGCGACCUAAAAAUUUCGGCACGGGCGCUAGUCGAAGUAAUUAUUGUAAAUUUGAAAACUGAAUCUCGAUUUUAUUUGAAAAAGGAGUCGCCACCGAUAUUUUUUCUAGGUGUGAUCGGACACCUACAAAAUUCUCUUUUUAGAAGAAAAAAUUAUUUUUAAACUUUUCUAAAAAAGAGGUAAUUUUAGGUCCACGUAAAAAUCCAGAGAAAAUUAGGGUCCGGGAGUCGGUUACGCGCGAGGAAGGUAUUAGCACCCUCGCAACGCCCAAAAUUGGUAUCUCGUUAAACGCGUGUUGUCUUCAUUUUCAAAAAUACGAGUUCAAUUUAAUAUUAGUCGUGAUCCGAUUGAACACGAGAAUUUUAAAGCGCAACAACUUUUUCUUUUUUGAAAACACGAAAAUUUUAAAAUACAAGAAUUUUAGAAACACAAAACUUUUUUUUUAAAAAAAACACGAAGAAUUUAAAACACGAGAUUUUUUAUUUUUAUUUUUGAAAACACGAUUCUUCUUUUUGAAACACGAAAAUUUUUAAAACAGAAAAUUUGUUUUUGAAAACAUAAAUUUUUUGAUAAAAUACGAAACACGAGAAAUUUUGAAGACAUGAAAAUUUUUGAAACACAAUUUUUCUUUAAAAAAUACCGUAUUUAACACGAAUCGAUGAUAUUCAUCCCGAUAUGGCGAUGAAACCAUCGAAUUAGUGUUAACUCAAUUCAAUUUAAUAUUUAAUCGGGAUUCUAAUAAAACACGAGAAUUUUUAUUAAAAUACGAGGAUUUUUGAAUAUUUUUAUUUUUAAAAGGGUGUCCCGAAUUUAACACGAGCUAUCGAUAUCCACCCAACAUAGCGAUGAAUUCGAUGACUUGAUGCUAAAUCGGUUCGUUGCCUUAUGCAUUAAAAUAUUAUUAUUUUUAAAAAAAAUAUGCAAUUAAAAUGACAUAAUAAUAUUUAUGAAAACUGUUUUAAAGCAUACUAAUUUAAAUUAAAUAAAACACCAUUUAAAUAAAUAAAAUAAAAUAAAAUAGAUUAAAAAGAAAAAAAGAAAAAAAUUACCCAAAAGCCCAAAGUUAUGGGCUUAAAUUUUGGGCCUCCCCUUUUAUUAUUUUUUUUGCUGUUGGGCUNNNNNNNNNNNNNNNNNNNNNNNNNNNNNNNNNNNNNNNNNNNNNNNNNNNNNNNNNNNNNNNNNNNNNNNNNNNNNNNNNNNNNNNNNNNNNNNNNNNNNNNNNNNNNNNNNNNNNNNNNNNNNNNNNNNNNNNNNNNNNNNNNNNNNNNNNNNNNNNNNNNNNNNNNNNNNNNNNNNNNNNNNNNNNNNNNNNNNNNNNNNNNNNNNNNNNNNNNNNNNNNNNNNNNNNNNNNNNNNNNNNNNNNNNNNNNNNNNNNNNNNNNNNNNNNNNNNNNNNNNNNNNNNNNNNNNNNNNNNNNNNNNNNNNNNNNNNNNNNNNNNNNNNNNNNNNNNNNNNNNNNNNNNNNNNNNNNNNNNNNNNNNNNNNNNNNNNNNNNNNNNNNNNNNNNNNNNNNNNNNNNNNNNNNNNNNNNNNNNNNNNNNNNNNNNNNNNNNNNNNNNNNNNNNNNNNNNNNNNNNNNNNNNNNNNNNNNNNNNNNNNNNNNNNNNNNNNNNNNNCUCUUUUUACUUAAUUAUUUAUCAAUUUACACUAGUUCGAGUUUUUGUAACAGUAUCAUGGAGACUUAUGUACUAGGAGUUAGAUUGUAUUUUGCCUCUUUUACUCAAAAAAUGAGUAAAUUAAUCCUUGUACGUUAAAUCAAUGAGCAAACUAGUCCUUUUAGUUAACAUUUUCAUUCAUUUUUACUAUUAAAAAUUGGAGUGACUAACGAAAUAACCAGAUAGUUACACAUUACAUGCCAAGGGUGAAGCCAGAAAAUUCUUUUAGGGGGCCGAAAUUAAAUUUUAAUUUUUAAUAGCUUAUAUCUUUAUAAUUUUUAAAUGAUUAAAUCAAAUUUUUAUCAUUUUUAGGAGGGGACUAAAGUGUAAUUUUAUCUUUACUAGUUUAAAUUUCUAAAAUUUCUAAAAAGCCUAAAUGGAUAAUUUUCAAUUUUAGAGGGGUCAGGGCCCUUGCCAGCCUCCCUAGAUACGCCACUGUGGCAUGCCACAUGUACCUCAUGUCAGCAUACAUGAACCCGUUUUUAACAGUUAAAAUGGAUGAAUUUUUUAGUAGAAGGAUUAAUUUUCUCAUUUUUUGAGUAGAGGAAAGAAAAUGCAAUCCAAUGCCUAAUACAAGGGCCUCUAUGUCUUUCAUUAUUACUCAAUUAUUUGUCAUCAAAAGUUGUAUAUGUUCAAAUAUAAAUACAAUAAAACACAUAUGUAGUUAUUAAACAUAUCAUGCUAAUGUCAUUGUUUCUUCUUUAUCCAAAAUUAUUGGACUUAUAAAAUUCUUGAGAAUAAGAAAACCCCAUUAAACUUCCUUUUAAGUAAAACGUGUGUUCAAAAUCUUGAACUAGGUUUAUGCAGCAAUAGAAAUUCACAAGCUGUUUUUUUUAUACAUGAGAUGUGAAUCUCAAAAUUUUAGGGUUUCUGAUCUCAUAUAUUUUGGGUCCAGAUUUAAUGCUAAGGAUUUGUUGAGAAAGUUGAAAGGGAAGAAAAUGAUGUUCAUUGGGGAUUCACUAAGCUUGAAUCAAUGGCAGUCUCUAACAUGCAUGUUGCAUGCAUUUUUGCCACAAUCAAACUACACUGUUCACAGAGAAGGGAACCUUUCGACCUUUUAUUUGCCUGUGAGUUGCCAAAUCUAGUAGCUAUUUUAUUUCCUUCUUAUAAUUAAAACUUUUCAAUGUCACCUUUAGAAGGUAGCUGCAUGAAUCAAAUGAGUUAAAUCAAAUAGACUAAUUACUAUUGUUUGGCAAAAAUACCGAGUAGACCUUUUUAAAAAUAGUUAUUAUACUUUUAUUACAACAAAAUAAGCAGGGGUGAACCUAAAAUUUUUUUUAGCAGGAUAGAAAUUUAAUUAUAAUUUUUUCAUAGAUCAAAAUAUAAAUUUAUUAUGAAUUAAUUUAUAAUUUUAUCAUUUUUAAAGGGAUUAAACAGAAAUCAUUUCAUUUUUAUGGGGGUUAAAGUGUAAUUUUACUAUAUAUUAAUUUAUAAUUUCUUUAUUUAUAAGACUAGAAAAAAUUUUCAUGGGGGCCAAAGUACAAUUUUACUAUAUAUUAAUUUAUAAUUUCUCUAGUUAUAAAAGAACUAAAUUAAAAACUUUUCAUUUUUUAGGGGGGCCAAGGCCCUGCCUACCCCUUUCAGAUUAUUCGCCUCUGAUAAUAAGCCAUUAAACUUUAAUUUAUAACCGUUACCAUUAAUUUUUAACUUAUAUCCAAAUAACCCCUUACCAUUUUAUUUAUACUCAAAAUAAAAUUUAACAUAAAUAAAGGUGAGAGAGGGGCCUUGGCCUAUUGGUUAAAAUAGAAAAUUUUCAUUUAGGUCCAAAGGUAAAGCCAAAAAAUCAUUUUAGGGGGUUGGAAAUGAAUAAUAAAUUUUUGGGGAGACUAAUAUUGCAAUUUUAUCAUUAUAUCAACUUAUAAUUUCAUAAAUUUUGAAAAGAUUAAAAGACAAAUUUAUCAAUUUUUGGGGUUGUCUACUCUCCUGAGUUGGUCUCUAUUGAAAAUUAAUAAUUCCAUAAAAUAUAGCUUUCCUAAAUUUAUAAUUUUAGCUCGACCCUAAAUAUAAAAUUCUUUGCUUUACCCCUGAUAUUAAAUCAAAAGAUAGAAACUUAUUAUGUUACUAUAAGAAUAUAGGGAUUUAUUUAGCAAAAGCAAACUAUUUCAAGGACUUUUUUGGUAGUUUGCACUUAUAGUUGGUAUUAGUUAGAAUUAAGUGCCAAGAUUAAGUUUCCUUUGAGAUAUAUAGUUGGUUAAGCAAUUUAAUAUAAGUGGAAAUUUAGACCCCUAAGUUAUACCCUUCAUGCAUUUGGACAACUGUGUUGAGCCAAAAAAAAAAUUGCAGGAGUAUGAAGUUUCGUUGAUGCUAUCACGCAAUGCAUUUCUUGUGGAUAUUGUCCAAGAAAAGAUUGGCACCGUUCUGAAGCUUGAUUACAUUAAAAACGGCGAAUCAUGGAAAGGAUAUGACUUUCUCAUCUUCAAUACCUGGCAUUGGUGGCUCCACACUGGAAGAAAACAACCGUAAGCAAAACAUAAUUUCAGCAAUUAAAACCCGAUUUUUUAAUUGCAUCCCGAGUAGAUUUGUAAACAAAUACAACACUCGAAUUGGGUUGGGUUUGAACCGGAAUAUCAUUCCUAUAGUUUUGAUUAGACCUGUAGUUUAAAAGUUAAUUAUUUAUUUAAGUUUGAAAAUUCGUUUGAAAUUUAGAAGAAUAUUUAGAUAAAAAUAUUAGACUUCAUAAAUGAGCUUGAGUAAAAAAAUUAAACCCGUUUUUAAUAUGGGUUAAGCUUAAGCUCAAAAAAGUUAAGGAUCCAGACAUGUUGAUGAACUUAAAAUGAAUUUGCGAUAACUAUUUACAAAUAUUAGUAUGUUGGAGCAAAAUUUUAAGCCAUUGUUUGGUCCAACUAAAUUUAGGCAAAUAUAAAGUGCGUUAAUAUCAUGCUUAAAAUUGAUUCAAACUGAUCCCAACCCAUAACCACUUCUAAUUCUGAUUAGUUUGACUCAACCUUUUUAUUCUUUUAAAUACUUAUAAAAUCUCUUAUCCAAUUAUAUUUAUAUUUGAGCAAAAAAUGAUGUAUGUAUGUAUGUAUGUAUGUAUGUAACUUGAAAAAUGAAUUGGAUAUUAGAUGGGAUUUCAUUGAAUCAAGAGGAAAGGUGAAGAAAGACAUGGAUCGUAUGGCUGCAUAUAGAGAGGCACUAAGAACAUGGUCAAAAUGGGUGGAUUCCAAUGUUAACACUACAACUACCCAAGUGUUUUUUCAAGGCAUUUCUCCGACUCAUUUCAAGUAAGCUUUAGCUCUUCUCUUCUCUUCUCUUACCAUUUGCAUUAACUUCCUUGUUCUUAUUUUACUUAAAAGAAAUGGAAUUAUGAAAAAAAUUGAAAGCCAUUUUUUUUCCAAUAGAACUUAAUUCAUUUUAAUCCCAUCAGAUUUGGUUCAAAUUAGAGGUGUUUAUAAGUUGGUGAGUCAAUCGGCUUAGUUCGCUUUAGACUGCACUUGAAGUUAAGUUUUCAAGUUUCGAGCCAGAUUAGCCUUACUUGUUUUAUUAGUCGAAGAAAACUAUUUUUAAUUGUUUUAUAAACAAUGAAAAUGGACCAUUUAGGUAAGCUUAAGUUUGGAAAAUUUUUGAAAUUGGGCUUAAACUUGACUUGGAAAAUGAACACUUAUAGUUGAAAGAAACUCAUUUGUCAUAAAGCACAAAUACUUUUAUGAUUAGAGACGUUAAUGGGCUUGAACUUAAAUUUUCUUUUUGGUUUAAGCUUGGUUCGAGUUGAAAACUCGUAUUGUUUAAAAUAUUUCUAAUAUAUUAUUGUUUAAAAUAUUUCAUAAAUAUUUUCAAAAUGAAAUAUGUGUAAGAAUCAUAAAUUCAAGCUGUAGUGUUUCCUCAUAUAAAUUAUGAAUCACUCUAAAUAUCUCAAAGAGAAAAUGACAGUUCAUUGACAUCUAUAUAAAGAUUUUUUUUUUUAAAAUAAAAAUCAACAAGUCUCUUACGUUAUCCAUAUAUAAUAUGUGGAUGUACAAUUAUAAACUUCACCUCAAACAAUUUGGUAUUUUGAUCCACAAUUUUGACAGUGGCAAAGAAUGGAAUGGUACCAAAUCAACAACUUGCACACAUCAAAUCAGACCGGCUACCGAUUUAACGUACGAAAGUGAUCCACCUCCGGAAGUGACGAUCGUAAAGGAAGUGCUAAAAAACAUGUCGACGCCGGUGGUUUUGCUCGACAUAACCAGAUUAUCACAGCUGAGGAAAGAUGGUCACCCAUCAAUUUAUACUGGUCUAAAAGGAAAUGAUUGUAGUCAUUGGUGCCUAGCUGGUGUUCCUGAUACAUGGAAUGAAAUCUUAUAUGCAAUUCUUACAAGUAGGAAAACUUAAUUCAAGAUUAUAAUUUUUUUUUCAAUUUAAUGUAUUUAGUUAAUAAAAAUUAAUUUCCCAUUAAUAGAUGAAGAAUUUUAAAUUUAAUAACAUAGGUGUAGCCAUCAAUUUAAUGUAUUUUUUACCCGAACCCAAAUUAAGUCAAGCUCAAACCAAUGGAAAACCUACAAUAUUAUUCAUAAUAAUAUUGAAACUUUAGAUUUUUUUAUUAGUAUUAUAUAUUUUAAUAAUUAAUUUUAAAUAUUUUUAUUAAUAAAUAGUAUUCAGGUCGCGCCAGCCCAAUUUAAAAGAUAUUUAACUCAAUAUAAAUUCAACAUAUUAAAUGAAUAAUUCAAAUGUCAAAAUGAGCAAAGGAAAAUCUAGAGUUGUAAGCUUUGCAACUUUAAAUUGGACAUGAGAGUUUCUUUUAUUGGAUACAUGCCACAUUAUUUUUUAACAAAAUUCCUUUAUUUUAUCAAUUGAAUUUAAAUUAUUAUAUUAAUAAAAUUAUUUAAUUAUUUAAUUGUGUUUCAACCUUUUACAUAAAAUAAAAUUUUCUCUUUUAACUUUUUCAUCAUUUAAUUUUUCACUUUUUAAAAUCACCCUCAAUUUCAAAUAUAAAUUUACUUGUGUAAAAAAAAAUCUAAAUCUGUUAAUUGCAUCUAGAACUUUUCAGAGUUGGUCUUGUCAAAAUUUUAAGUCUAUUUGCUAGGCCCAAGUUUGGCCUAAAAAAUAGACUUAAAAUUUUGUCUAAAUUUAACCCGGAUAAAAUAUUAAAAUCAGGCUCGACUCAACUCACCUGAAUUAAUUUUUCUAUAAAAAUAUUAAAAAUAAUAGGUCAAAAUACUAAAAAUAUUAAAAUAAAUAUUUUUUAAUAAUUUAAAAAUAAAUUUAAAAAUAUUUAUACUUAGAUAAAAUUAACAAUAAAAUAAUUUUUUAAUGUUUAUUAAAAAAUGGGCCGGACCGGGCUCGGGCUUAUGAUAUUUUUCCCGGGCCGGGCCUGGAAAAAUAUCAGGCCCAUAUUUCGAGCCGGGCCAAAAAAAAUUUCUGGGCCCGACCCGGCCCAUGGACAGGUCUAAUCUUAGACCUUUUCAGUGUUGGUCUUGUCAAAAUUUUAAGUCUGUUUGCUAGGCCCAGGUUUGGCCUAAAAAAUAGACUUAAAAUUUUGUCUAAUUUUGACCCGAAUAAAAUGUUAAAACCAGACUUAGACUCAACCCACUUGAAUUAAUUUUUUAUAUAAAAAUAUUAAAAAUAAUACGUCAAAAUAUUAAAAAUAUUAAAAUAAAUGUUUCCUAAUAAUUUAAAAAUAAAUUUAAAAAUAUUUAUACUUAGAUAAAAUUAACAAUAAAAUAAGAGUUAUAUAAUAUAUAAAUAAUAAUAAAAUAAUAGUAACAACAAGAAAAUAGUAAUUUUUUGUCUUUUUGUUAAUUCAUAUCGGACCGGGCUUAACCCGGUUGAGAACGGUACUUAUAUUUGUACAAAAAAAAAAUCAAAAAAAAAUGUGAACGGUACUUAACCCGGUUGAGUCGGAGCUCCAUGACCCGAACAGCAAUUUAUUUUUCAAUUCUUCUUCGUUACGCAAAAAGGAAAAAAAAAAAAACAGCUCAUGAAAAUGGCAUGGUCAAAUACUCUGCUUCAGAUUCACAUCAAAUCCCCUUCGAUCCCUUCUCUCCAUUUCCCACAUUCCCUCCCAAAAAGCUCCCCAUUCCUUCUUAAUCCUAACCCUAUAAAUCCCAUUCCCAGAUCCCUCAGAAUGCAAUUCCUUCACAGACCCAACGCUGUCCCACUCGUAUCAAGAGCCAUGGACAUCAUCCAAUCGUCUCCUCCCACGUGGCAAUCCGCAGUCCUCAGUAACCUCUUGAUCUUCGUCGUCGGCACCCCACUUUUAGUGGCGGGGCUUUCUCUCUCCGGAAUUUGUGCUGCGUUCUUGCUUGGCACUCUCACUUGGCGCGCUUUUGGCUCCCCUGGGUUUCUCCUCGUUGCUUCGUACUUCGUUAUUGUGAGUUGCUAAUAAUAUAUUAUGAAUUGUAGCUGAAUUAUGGGAAUUAAGUUAAAUUUUGGAAAUUGGGUUUUGAUUUUGUAUCCAUCUGGUAUUAAAAGUUGCUUGCUUUGGAGAAUUAGCUGUCAUUGUUUGGUAGUAUGGCAAGGAAAAUAAACUUAAUUUAUGUCGAAAGGUUACUUUUUAAUUAGUUAGCUAUUCAAGUUUGAUUAGUUGUAUUUAGAGAAAUUGAUUGUACUAGGUGAAAUGAGAUCAAAAGAUUAACAAAAGUUACUUGAUGGUUUCUAGCUUUUUAGCUGAAAUAAAGUCCUGUAUGAAAUGAUAUAAUAUUUUAGUUUUCUAUUAUGGCUUGUUUUCCUUGCAAAGUAUGAAUCUUGAAUUAGUUCCUGCCUCCCUCUUCUAAUUCUCCUUACCCAUUUCUAGUUGAAAGUUAAUUGAAAUUCCAUGUGAUUUUGUGUUAUAAUUCCAGUUCAUAAUCUGAAUGGAGACAAUAAAUUUGGAUGAAGGAGCUUUAAGCAGUGGGAAAAAUCCAUAAUAAUUUGUAAUUCUCUAAAUCUCUAAACAAUCUUACAUCUCUUUGUCAUGCCUUUCAAACAUAGUUGGUAUAACUAUGUUCAAUUGUCUUAGCUAUUGUUUAAUCAUUUUUAAUUUUUCAUUCCCCCUGCUCCCCCAAAAAAAAAUGUUUGUCUGAGCAAUGAGUCUUUCUCAAAAUCAAUUUCCAAGGCCAUUUUAUUUGAUUAUGACUUUGUGAGUAAAACAUGUUUGUAUUUGUUAGGGAACCGCAGUAACAAAAGUGAAAAUGGCUCAAAAGGAGGCCCAAGGGAUUGCUGAGAAGAGGAAAGGAAGAAGAGGACCUGGGAGUGUAAUUGGGUCCAGUGCUGCUGGUUGUGUAUGUGCUGUUCUAACAAUAUAUGGAGUUGGAGGAGAGGCAUUUACACGUCUUUGGCAACUUGGUUUUAUUGCUAGUUUCUGUACUAAGUUGAGUGAUACAGUGUCCAGUGAGAUUGGGAAAGCAUAUGGCAAAACAACGUAAGUAGUGCAUCUCUGUUUGUUAAUGUAUAGGCGCUUUAGAUUAACUGUAUUAAUAAUUCUCCUUAGUUCAUUCUAAAGAAAGGAUAUUUCAAAUCAAGUGGAAUUUAGAUCCCUUAUGGUUCUUGCUAUAUUCGAGCUCUAUUAUUGUCAUAUAUGCUGGUGAUAAAGGUCGCUUUGACAUCCUAUAUAGAAACAAAAUUUGUGAGUGUUAAUAUUGCCUCAAAUCUUUUUUUUUUUCUUCAAAGGUUUAUGUCAAUUGCUACUCUCUUUUUUUUUUACUGUUAAACUACACUUUAGAAUUGCAAAUAUAAAGUGUGUGAUGUGCCAAAAUGAACAGGUACCUGGUGACAAACUUUCAGAUUGUUCCUAGGGGAACAGAAGGAGCUGUCAGUGUUGAAGGAACUGUUGCUGGACUUCUAGCAUCUAUACUGCUUGCCACUAUUGGUUGUCUAUUGGGUGAGGUAGUACUUGCUAUGUACUCAUACUAUGUGAAUAAUUUGUUCUGCCAUUCAUGAUACCAUUUUUUUUUAAUAACAAGCAUUAUUGUGAUCAUUACAAAAUGUUUACACCUUGUAAGAACCUGGAAUUUUUUCUAGUCUCUGCAACAAUAGACUAAUUGGUGGGGUGGUGCCUAGAUGGAAUGAUUUUGCAGAUAUAAUUUGUUGAAGGUGUUUUUCAAAGGGAACUCUUAGCAAAAUAGCAGAUCAUGAUAUAUUUAUAAAUUGAUUUUGACAUCUCAGUUUAGGCGUGUACGACCUUUGUGAGCAUUAUUUUGCUGGGAACUUAAAUUUCAAUUUAAUAUAGUUCAGGUAUUACAAUUUGGUAAAUUGGAUAAUAUUUUCAAGGGGAAGGAGAAUUAAAUUAGUUGAAACCGAUUUUUAUUGUUAGUGGUUUUUUGUAUGUGAGUGGAUGAGGUUGUCUCUCUAGCCUUGCUGCAUCUUUAGCUAGGAUUUUCUCAAAAAUCUUGUAUAUAUCCCUAAGGUUAUGGUGUUGUUCAUAGUAUUGACGCCAUAACCUCUAUACACUUUCAAACUGAAUAUGAUCAACAGCUUCUAGAGAAUGCAUAAAUGAAAUAUGGGUAUUUGAAUUUAUAGAGAUGUUCUAAGCUUCUGUUUUUUGCUUUUUCAUUUAUCUUUGCAAGCAGAUAAAUGUACCUGAGGUAUUGAUAUGUGUAAUAGCAUCCCAGAUUGCUAAUCUUGGUGAGAGCAUAAUUGGUGCUGCAUUCCAAGGGAAAGAAGGAUUUCGUUGGGUAAGGAAUCAUUUGAAUAAUAGGAUGGUUUCUGUCAUCCUGUUUUCUUAACCAUUUUUUCUUAAAUUUAGUGCCUAUGUAUCUUCUAGAUUUUAGUGUUACCGAUGAAUCAGGCUUGAUUCUAUAUGAAUGUAUGGUUUGAUGUGGUAUAUCGAUGAGAUGAUUACAUGUAUAUCAUUUUGUGGACUCUCAUCAUGUUUGGAUCUGGCUGCACUCCUAAAGCUGUAGUGAGGAAGAAUUAUAUACCCACUGUUUUGGGGUAAAGAAGAUCGAAGAGUAAAUUUAGAGAGAUCAGCCUGUUAUAAAACUGCCUGCUAAGGAUUAAUUCUAGUCUUAAUUUUCAUUCGAUGAAAUCACGGUAUUGUGCAUGUAAAAGGCUGUUAUGUUGGUCUGAUUCUUCUUUUUGCUUUGAAGUAUCCAUGUUCAACAUAUAGUCACACAAGAAAUAUGGAGAUAUGACCUUCAAGAUACAUGAUAAACUUUAGCACAAAUCUCUAUCAGACACUUACCUGAAUUUGAGCGAAAUAUCUGGGUUGGCCAUAUAUAAAUCUGCCUAGGAUCUAUCAUCUUAGCAUGUUUAUAUGCUUUUCAUUAUAAGGCUGAAACUUGGAUUCUUUUACCAUAUUGAUUUUGGUUUUCAUCUUGCAGCUGAACAAUGAUGCUGUUAAUGUCAUCAACAUAUCCAUAGGCUGCAUUUUGGCAGUCUUAAUGCAACAACUACUCCAAAACUGGCAAAUGUAAGUUCACCCCAUCAUCUCUUUUGCGAUGUCAGGUAAUUAUUGCAGAGUUCAUCGACACUGCAAUCGACAUAUUGCAAUGUGGGGAAAGAAAAGAAGAAGAAGAAAGAGAAAGUCUUCAAUGUAAUGCAAGAGAUGAGCACAAAGGUGCAACAAUUAUAGCAAUGAUUUUGCUAACCUUGAAAGAUACUCAAAUGAUAUGGAAAAUCAUUAGCAUAACCAUUUGUUCCAUGAGUAUAUUUUAAAAAGGCUUCUCUCUUUUAUAGUCUUGGUAUUCAAAGAUGUAUUCCUUUUAUCAAUCUCCAGUUAGAAAUGAAUUAGAUGCUUUUUAAAUUGCAUUUCUUAACCAAAAUUAUUGGCUUUUUUUUUAUUGUUGUUGAGCCGCACUGGAUUUAUGGGUGUAAUUGAAGCACAAGCUUGACUUGGAACUUUUAUGUUCAAAGUUCGGCCCGGGCCCAAGCUUGAGUUCAAUUAAGCCAUUUGUGAAUAUAUCAACCAAUUGUUCCUUUGUAAAGACAUGUCUAGUUUGGACUAAACCAUCUUGGAUUUUUUUUACAAGGUGAGAGUCAAUCUCUAUAUGUUUCGUUCUCUCGUAGUAUUCAGGGUUGGUUGCAAUCUGAAUUGCUGCUUGACUAUCAUAGAAUAAUAUGAUUGGUUCUACUCGUUUAAAUCCAAGUUCCUUCAGUAGUCCAGUCAACCAAACUAACUCAGCCAUAGUUCUAUACUUUGCCUUUGCUGAAGAUCGUGAUACUGCAUUUUGUUUUGUUUUGUUUUUUCCAAGAGAUGAGACUUAAAACUUCUGGAGGAUGGUCAGGAUGGGUGUUUGGUUUACAAGGUAAAGAAAACGGUGAAGGUGGAGUUUGUGAGGUUUUCUUUUUACCUUUCCCUUUGGAGGAGGAUGAAGGUUGGAUCAUGAAAUUUUCUGGAAGUUUUUCUGGUGGUCUAGAAAGAAUGUCUGCAAGAACAUUGGUUUUCCCUUUUAUGUGGAGGACAUUCUGUCACUAAUCGCUUUGACAUUGGACUUGAAGCCCAAUUCGAAUCACAAUAUGCUACAAGUUAUGGAGAACCAACUACAGCACAGAAUAAACCUUGUCCUGGAUCCUUUUUAAUGUAUCUGACUAUUCUAAGAGCAGCUUUAUAAUGCGACUUCUUGGGUCGUUGCAUAAACUGACUGGAUGUUGUACCACAAACGUCAUAUCUAGCCUUGUAUGAGUCAAGUACAAAAGCCUUCUAAUAAGCCUUUGAUAUAAUGAAACAUCUGUCAAUACCUCAUCAUCAUGAUUCAUUUGCACCAUCUCAUCUUACUGGAGAUGUCAAGUUUUGAUUUUGUUCUAAAGGAGUGACAACUAUCUUUCCUCCCCCUUACCUCGUGUCUGAAAUUAAUUCAAGAGCAUAUUUGCGUUGAUUCAGUACAAUUUCAAACUGUGAUCUUGUGAUUUCAAUGCCAAGAAAAUACUUUGAGAUCACCUAAAUCUUUCAUUUUGAAAUUUUGAUGCACAGUUCCUUUAAGCUCAUUUAUAAGCUUGGUAUCAUUUCCAGAAAUCAACAAAUCGUUAACAUAUAUCAACAUGACAACCAGCUUAUAACCUUUCUUCUUGAUAAAACGAGAAUAAUCGUACUUACUUUGUGAAUAACCAUUUAGAAGAAUAGCUUUAGUAAGCUUUAGAUUCCACUGUCAGACUUAGCAAUUGACAUACUCUAGUCUCUCUUUGAUUGCGAAAAUCGUCUGGAAGAGUCAUAUAAACCUUCUCAUGUAAAUCUCCUUGCAUUAUAGGCAUCCAUUUGAAACAAGGGCCAACCAAACUAUACAGCAAGAGCAAUGACCGUGCAAAUUGUGACUUGCUUCGCAACAGGGGAAAGUGUCAUGAAAAUAAAAAACCUGCCUGCUGAGUAUAACCCUUCCUAACAAGUCUGGCUUUAAAUCUUUCAACCGAGCCAUCAGAGCUGUACUUGACCUUGUAGACCCAUAUGCAACCAAUGGGCGUUUUACUAGGAGGUAAAGGAACUACCUCCCACGUGACAUUUGAUUCCAAUGCUUGAAUUUCUUGAUCCAUGGCCUUUAUCCAAUGUUUAUCCUUAAUUGCUUCACUUUAGGUUUAAGGUUCAAUAAUAUGGGAAAUGGAGGCAGCAAAAAAUUGUGUAUGCAAAGGUAAAUGAGCAUCAGCUAUACAAUUAGAUAUAGGGUACUAACCUUUAUGGAGUGAAGAAGAUAAAGAAGAGCAAUUUAAAUCUUUCAUCCAUGUAGGAUCCUUAAAAGAACGAGUAGUGCGAUGUAAAGACAGCUGGUAAGGUAGUAGACUACGAAGGUAAUAAGGACUGGUUGGGAAAUGGAGCUGAAGAACGACAAGGAGCUAAGGAUGAACAUUUCAAAUGGGAUUUUUCCAAUUCAAAGCUGAAGUAGGUAAUCUGUUAACAAUAUAACAAGCAGCAAGGAUACACUCGCCCCAAAAUUUGGUAGGUACAUUAGACUGAACUUUGAAAGCACAUGCUAUUUCUAACAAAUGUCGAUGCACACAAGAACUUUGAUGUAUUAUGCCUAAGAAGAAAAAAAAGGAGUAUAUUCAGAGUUAAAGAACUCAGUACUUAUGACUUCCAAAAGUUUUAACAACAGUUGAAAAUUGCGUGUGAACCAAGGCUAUAAACUGUUUCAAAAUGACAAUAGUGUCGGUUUUAAGCUUAAACAGAUGAACCAAAGAAAAAGGAGAAUCCGCUCGAGAAUAACUAAUAGGAAAUGGCAAUCGUGUUUGUUUAGUAAGAGGACGAACAUGGCAUGGACUAAUAUAGUCACUGUUCCAAAAUGAAAGAAACAUGGCCAAGUCCGGCAUGCCAAAGGAAAGACUGAUCAUGAGAUGUCAAAAAGGAAGAAAUGGGAGAAGAUACAAAAGAUGGCAAUUGAGGCUGUUGAUGCACCAGAAUGUAAAGAUCAUUCUGUUCUUUACCAAUCCCCUUCACUUGUCCACUGCAAAGUUGCCGUAAAAGGCAAAAAUCGGGAUAAAAGGAUACAAAACAAUGUAAGUCUCGAGUUAACUUGAAAACGAAAAUUAAAUUGAAAUGAAAGUCUGGGACAUGAAGGGCAUUGGUUAACUUGAUAGAGGAGGACAAGACAUAGGAACCCAUGUGAGUAAUAGGGACGGAUUUACCAGUGGGAAAUUGGACAAAUGAAGAAUGAAAAGUAAAAGGAACAAGAGAAUCCAAAUAUUGGCAAUCAGAUAUCAUGUGGUUGGUGGCCCUCGUCUCCAAAAUCCAUUGGAAAGAUGCAGGCCAAGAAACCAUACCUGCCAUGUGAGCAGCUACUCCAACAGUUGAAGUGAACUCAAGACUGAGUAAAUUCAAGAUCAGUAGAUACUGUGCCUGAAUAAACACAGGUGCAAAUACUAUGGUAGCAUUGUUAGUCAUAGUUGACCUUUGUUUUGUAAAUUUAAAAUCAACAGGAUACCCAAUAAGCUUCUAACAAGUUUCCCGUUUGUGACCUUUAAUCUUUCAAUGGUCACACACAUCUUUCAAUGGUCACAGAAUACAAUGUUGUAGGUUCAGAAGGAAAAGAUAUGCCAGAAGAAUGUUGUCUUUGAGCUUCCUCUUGAACAAGCACGGAAUUAGCUUAAUUAACAGAAGGUAAGGGUUCCAUUAACAAAACCUGACUUCCAACAACAGCAUAAGAAUCAUUCAGGCCCAUCAGAAACUGAAAUAACCACUGUUGUUGAAUAAGUUGUUGAUUCAUGCGGGAAUUUUCACAAGAAAAAGAACCAAAGCAUCGUAAUCCCACAAAAGCUUCAAUCGUGUAAACAAAACUGAAACAGAGUAAGUACCUUGAGCAUGGGAAGCAAUCUCACCAUGAAGAACCAUCGACUUUCUCAUAUCGUUCUUGAAGUUCUUUCCAUGUUGACAAAAAUAAACUGUGCGGUAUAAUUAUAUAAUUAACGUCGCUCAAAAUUAACAUAAAAUUUCAAUAUUUGUAAAUUCGAAUAAAGAAGGUGAAAUUCAAUUAUAUUACUUUAUAUACUCAGUGCUUUCUAUGUAAAUUAUUUUCAUUAUUUUAAAUAUAAAAUGUUUAUAUUAACAUGAUAAAAAAUAAAUUAAAUUAUAAAUUAAAUAAAAAAUAAAAUUCAGUUUUAGUUACAUUCAAAUACUCGAUUUUUGGGGUUUUCUGCGCCCUAAUAGUAGGAAAAGAAAAUUCUCAUCAAACCCUAAAGCCCAUAAAAGAAAAAGUGAGAAGUUUAGUUGAUCUAUCAGAAUCUCAAGCACUCACCCUUAAUUUGCAGUAAGUUGCGAGUCUGCAAUUCUUUAGACCCCUUUUCUCAAUUGAUUUUCUUCUUUAACCAAUCGUUUCUCUCGCGCUCUGUUUCUUUUAGGAUGGCCGAUGAACAUAUUUCCACAGUCCUGGAGCAGCUACGACGAAUCAUGGCCGACGAAAGAUUUCGGAACUCGGAGUUUCAGAUAAACUUGCUUGUAUGGAGACUCGAAGCUUUUCAAUCUAUGAUUCUUUAACAUGGGGACGGGCUAUUUUCGGUUCGGCUAUUGGAGCGUGGGAUUACUGUUCAUGCACUCGAUCAAGUGCUAUAUAACAUAGAAGAUGUAAUUAACGACGUCUUACAUUUAGGAGUAUCUACUGAAUUAGCAGCAGCAGGCCUUGAGAAGUUUGCUUCUACUCAAUCAAAAGCAGCAUCAGCAGAAACAGCCACUCUUUACAUCUUGCGCAAGAGGUUGGAAGAAUUGGAGGAGGUAUUGAUUGGUAAUCCGCAUGAAUCGCAUCCCUUGCACUCUAAACGAUCUUUUUUUGUAAAAUUGUCAAAGUUAUAUGGUCUAGAUGUGGUUAAGAAAGAUAUAAUAAAUGUAAUUUUGGGUGAAAGUUUCAGGGAUAGUAGCGACAGCAUUAAAACCAUCAUUAUUGUUGGCAUGGAAGGAACGGGGAAAACAUAUCUUGCGCGGUGCAUUUGUACUGAUUGUCAAGUUCUGGAAAUUUUUGACAACAUAAUUUGGGUGAAUGUUUCGGAUGAUUUUGAUUUAGGUAAAAUUGCAAGAAAAAUUAUUCUGUCUCUUGAAGGUUUGGAGCAUGACUCUUUGCGUCUCCUAACAUUAGUUCCAUUGCAAAGUCUGUUAGAUAGAAUUCAGCGAAAGAUUGUUAACAAGAAAUCACUUCUUGUUUUAGAUGGUGUGGGGAGAUAUGAUUGUGAUGAUUGGGAAGCACUUAGAGCUGUUUUUCAACAUGGCAUGUCGGGGAGUGGGAUUCUAGUGACUACUCAUGAGCACUCGGUUGCAGGAGCAAUGGAAUCAUCUUAUAAAUUUUGUUUGGGAAAGCUGUCUGAUGAGUUGUGUUGGAUGAUACUUCGUGAAGUUGGAUUGAAUGAUGAUACUCUUGAAUAUGCGGUAGAGGAUAUAGGAAGGGAACUUGCAAGGAGGUGUGAAGGACUACCCUUUGCUGCAAAGGUUUUGGGAGAUGCUAUACGACAUUAUGACUUUGGAAUAAGAGGAUGGGAUGUUUUUCUGAGAAAUUGUAUCUGGAAAUCUCCUAGAAUACCCAAAUAUAUGUCUAAAAUUCUAUCACUAUCUUAUUGCAAUCUACCUUUGUCUGUAAGACGGUGCUUAUCGUAUUGGGCUAUCUUCCCCAAAAGCUUUGAGAUUUCAAAAACUCUUUUGGUGCAACACUGGAUGGCACAAGGUUGUCUGUACUCAUCUGAUAAUUUAGAAAUGGAACUAAAAGGUGAAGAGUACUUUAAAUGCUUAGAAGCUCAUUCAUGUUUCCAAUAUUGUACCAGAGAUGGUGGUAUGCUUACUUGUAAGAUGCAUAGCUUAGUACAUGAUUGUGUCCAAUCUUUGUCCCCAUAUGAUUUAAUGAUGAGGUUCGAGUCUGUUAAACAGCUGACCUUGAAUUUAUCUUCUUGGACGGAGGAGGUCAAAGUUGUUGGCACUCAUCAUUUGGUAAUGAUGAUUGCUCAAGGAGCUGGUUUUCCCAUGGACAUUAGUGGUGCAGAGAAAUUGAGGACCCUUGUUGCUGUUACUCAAGGGUGUUUGAUAACUAGUCAAGCAUUAUCUAACUUAUUUAAACAAUCCAAACAUCUGAGGUUAUUGGAUUUGAGCUUGACUAGUGGGUGGCAUAAUUGUUUUGGGCCAUCCGGACAAGGUAAUAUACUAGAUGAAAUUCCGGUGGAAAUCUGCAGAUUGAUUAAUUUGAGGUACCUUAGCUUGGCUGGCAGCAAAGUAUUGAAGAUAUUACCAGAAACAUUGUGUGACUUGCAUAAUUUGCAAUCCUUGGAUCUUACUGGUUGUAGUAGUCUUAGAAAAUUGCCAGAUGGAAUGGGGAAAUUAAUGAACUUGAGGUAUUUUUAUACCUGGUGUUGCUCUAGUAUAACUUCCUAUCCAAAAGGGAUUAGCUGCUUAACUUCUCUUUGAGAAUUAACCAAUGUCAUUGCUAGAGCUGAUCACAAUGAUGCAAAGGAAUUCACUCUUGGAGAUUUUGAAAAGUUGAACAACCUUUGUGGACAUGUUCGUGUGAAACUGGUAGGGAAUGCGAUGGAUGCAGAUGAGGCUAUUAGAGCUAACCUUUGGAACAAGAAGGAUCUUGACCGUAUCAGAAUAAAUCUGGAUGGGGAUAUAGGGAAAGAAAGCCAAGACGUUAUAAAGAAAGCAUUAAACCCGCCUUCCGACUUGAAUAUAGAGUUCGUAGGUUGGUGGUUCUAGUCCAGAAAUGUAAGGAUGCUGCAAAGCAACAGGUAGUCUCUCUGUCUCAUUUUCUCUUUUGUUGUAGCUUUGAUGGUUCAAAUUCAGUAUUUACUCCUAUGAUUCAUUCAAACCCAAAUUUCAGUUGUGUUAUAGUAGUUCUAGUUUCUGUUGUUAUCAUCUGAUUAGAUGGAAUAUUAUGAAAUCUCUUAUAACAUUACAAUGACAAAGAUAUCGGCUUGUCUAUCACAUGAAAUUUCUCUCUUGCUAAAGCAUGCUCUGAAUGAAUCACUUUAAAACGGCAAGAUAACUUAGAUUAUCCUUAUUUUCUUUUGCUGGACAUACAUAUCCCGUGAGAGACAUUGUCGUUAUCGGUGGUACUGUAGUUAAAGUUGGAGUAUAUUUUUAGUAUUUUAGUUUUUAUAUUAGGAUUUAAUCAGUUAUUAAGAUGGAUUUUUUCUGGAAAAAACAUGGAUACUUUUUUCUAAAAUUUUUUAUUAACUCUUUUGAAAUUUGUUAAAUUUUUAAUUAUUUUUAUUAGUUUUUGAAUUUUUAUGAAUUAUAGGUAGGCUACCACACGAAUUGAUCACGUCAAUAUUGUUAAAAUUUUAAUAAUCUUUUUAAUUCAAAAGAAAGUAAUAUAACUAAAUUGUAAAGGUUAAGUGUAAAAGUCAAAAUGACAAAAUAAGUCAACAUUAAAAGAUUAAAUUUAUCACGAUGCCUUUUUUAUAUACUCAUAAUUAAUUAUAAUAAAAAGUUAACUUUAUUCAGAUAUAUUUGUUAUUUUAAAUAAAUAUUCAGAAUACAACUUGAAAAUAAUCUCAUGUUUAUAAUUAUAACACGAAAACUUUACUUACUAUAUAAUGGAAGAGUAUUUGGUAUAUUAACAGUGUGCCUUUUUUUAUUGCACAAGUAUGUGUAAAAGAUUGAUAUAUGUCUUUAUUUUUUAAUAUUUUAUUAUACUUUCUAAGACACUUGUCAAUCUUUUAACUUUGCUUAUAAAAUUUAAAAAUUCCACUAAUAAUCUCACCUAGCAAAAUGGAUUAAAAACAUUUAAAGUAAUUUAGUUGAAUUAUGAUAAAAGGUCAAUGUAUUCUAAAAUGCUAAAUGGCAUAAAUUUGAGUUUGUCAAAUUCUCUAGCAUUGGGAGGUAAGUCAAAUUGCAAACUAAGUUGAAUAUUUUUUGGCUUUUCAGUAAUCAUAUUCAUGCUAAUAUUUUUAGAUUUAAUUCUCACUUUCAAUAUUAAAAGAGGGUUCAAAUGCAACUUGGAGUCAACAUGAACAUGAUACUUUGAAAACCCUAAAGGGCACUUGCACUCUUGUUUUGGAGGUGAGGUUAAGAAGACCUACAACAAGUUUUAAUAGAAUUUGAUAUAGUUGAAAAAGAUUCAGAGGAAAAUGGUACCAAAAUCUACAGUCGUGGAAUACGAUGACUGUAUUAAAAUAUAUGAAAUUGGUUGAUGGUUUUAUUUAUUGUCUCUUAAUAUUUUAACUAAUCAAUUAAGUAGUAAUGAGAAGGACAUGACACUUAAUCAUUAUAGUUUCUAGUUAAAGUUUAGGAAGAUGCAUUGACAUCAAUUCACUAAUUUUUUAUGAAAAAUGUUUUUAACCGGUUCAUAUCCCCAAUACCAUUGAACGUUGAAUCAAAUGGUUUUGUUGAUUAGAGAAAGACACUAAGAAAUGUAGAGGAACAUGUAUGCGUAAGAGAGAAUUUGAGGCACAUUUAAUAAGUUAACUUUGGAAAUUUUAUAUGUGGAUAAUAGCAACGAAGAAAGAGACUGUUGAGAAUGAUCAAACUUGGAGCAUAUGUUUAGAUCCAUGUGGAGGUACCUAUUAGGUAAGUGAAACAAGCAAUUGAAAUGAUGGAGAGUUUAGUACACCGGUAUCGUACUAUGAUAAUUUAUGGUCAUUUUUAAUUAAUACAAGUCAAAAAUAAUAAUAUUUAAUAAACCUAAAAUUAAUGGGCAAAUAGUGAUGAGUUAUCCUAAAAUAGAAUUGAAGAGGAUAAGGUCCUACAAUUAAUAAUAAGAAAAGUGAAGACUCUUUGAAAAGAUUAAGGAUGUACUUUGAUUAAGAGUGGUUAUAAAAAAAAAAAUUGGGGGGAAGGGAUAGAGUGGAGUAAGGAAAGUGGUGUGAUUGCCCAUUAACAUAAGUAAGAAAUAUGCGAAUGAUUGCCCAUUAACAUAUAGAGUAGGUAAAAUUGACUUGUUUUUCUAGAAAGACAAUAGAUAAGCCUAAAAAGUUAUAAAAAGUAAUUGUUAAAAUAGUUAAAAUGAGAGGAAAAAAUAAGAUAUUUUUGUUUAUGAGAAUUAAGUGUCGUGAGUCGGGACGAAAAGAUUAAUCAUUGUUACGACAGUAAAUACCUUGAUUACAACGAAAAAGAUAAAAUACCAUUUUACUUUAUAGAAAAUUCUCAUGAUUUUAUAAAAUAUACCAUGAAUAUAUUAAAUCAUAUAAAAAGCGUAAUUCUAUAACUCAUACCUAAUUUAAAUACAGGAUGGUAUUUAGAAUGAUUAUAAGAAAAUGCUUGUUCAUGAAUGUUGUGAGUUUUCCGAAUCUUGGGGACAAUGUACCCUCUGGCUCCCGUCAGGAUUCACCUGGUAAUUUAUAAAAAGGAAUAAACAAUCACUUGGUAACUCACAACUCACAAGGCAUAAAAUAUAAUCACGUCAAGCAGCAAAACACAAACCUUUUUUAAUAUUCCAAUCUAAUACAAGUGAUAAUAUCAACUCUUAGAGCCCUAACUCUUAAAGUAUCAGCACAUAAUUUUAACCACUUACUUUUAAUAAAUACCACCAUCACUACCAUUAUCACCAUCGACAGAGCCUCUCAAUUCAUAUGUCCUGCAAAAAAUGGUGUCAACACUAACAAAAAAACCAAAAUUAUAUCAUUAAAAUAUAUUUGUAUUUCUUAAAAGGCAGAUCAUUCAGUUUUUCUGGACAAGUUUCCCUAUGCAAUCUAAUACAAGUGAUAAUAUCAACUCUUAGGGUCUGUUUGAUUGACGGAAUUGAUUUUCCGGAAAAUCAUUUCCAACUUUUCCAGCGUUUGAUUGGCGGAAAACAUUUUCCAUUUGGAAAAUGAACUCCAAAACAAGGGAAAAUGAGUUACAUUUUAGGGAAAAUGUCUUACUCUUUCAAUUUCUAUAAUUUUAGGCUUUUCCCACCUACCUCUAAUUACACAAAAUAUUUUCAGAUUUAAUUUACUAAUUUUGGCUUUUACAAGGUCAAGAUUUGACUAUCCCAUCAAAUGUCCCAAAUUUAUAAUUUGGUCCCUCUUCUCUUUUCCAUGCUUCAAUCUAACCCCUUCUUUGCUUGUUUUUGAUUUAAAGUGCCCGAAUUUUGUUCCUGUCAAUAUUUAAACACAAAACGCACCAAUUACCAGGGAUUAAUUUGAGAAUAAGUCGAGUUGAACACGUAAAUUAUGCAAAAUGAACAAGUUAUCAUUGACCAUUAGUGCUACGUCAGCACAAACAAACGGUGUUAGUGCAGAGAUACCAACCUAGGUGACAGAAUAUAAAUUCAGGUACCAAUUAGAUAAAAAAAAAUCAUACACCAAAUAAAUACUUUUGAAUAAGUUCGAAAAUAGACGACAAAUUAUCCUUUCUUUUCUCUUUUUAUCUACCUGUAAUAUUUGAAUAUGAAAAGAAGUUACACAACUUUUCAAUUUCAAUAGUAGUUAUUUAACUUUGCCUAGUUGAGUUUUACAUAAAAUUUCUUUCUUUCGUUGAACAUGCUCUCAAUGAAUCACUUCAAACCCCCAAGAUCCUAAUAUUUUGCAGAACAUAUCAAUUGAGAGGCUCUAUCGAUGGUGGUGGUGGUGUUAGAAUCCGUUUAUGCUGGUGGUAGCAUUUUGUAUUUUUUUUUAUCGUAUUUAUUAAAAAUAAGUGGUUAAAAUUACGUGUUGAAAAUUUAAGAUUUAGAGCAUAUCGCCACUCGUAUUAAAUUGUAAUAUAAGCAUCGAUUGUAAAAAGAAAAGUUUGUGUUUUGCUUGUACUGUCUCAUAAAAGACAUUAAGUAAUUUCGUUGUCGUGUUUAUAUUUUAUGCCUUAUGAGUUACCAAAUGGUUGUUCAUUCCUUUUUAUAAAUUACUAGCCGAAUCCUCUUCAGUGAAGGAGCUUGAAAAUUUUUUGGGAGGGUCGGAAUUAAAUUGUAUAUUUGUAUGAUGGUAAAAAUAGAAUUUUAUAAUUUUAAUAGCUUAUAUCUUUAUAAUUUUUAAAAGGUUAAAUCAAAAUUGUAUCAUUUUAAGAGGUCAAAGUAUAGUUUUACUAUUACUAAUUUAAAAUUUUAUAAAUUAUAAAGGGCCUAAAUUAAAAUUUACUAUUUUAAGGGGGCUAUGGCGCCUUGGGUCUCCACUACAUUAUGCCACUGAUCCUCAUGGAAGACAGAGGCUACCUUGACCCCCAAGAUUUAGAAAAUUGCCAUUUGACCUUUUUAAUUUUAUAAAAUUUUUAAUUUAGUUUAUUAAAAUUCUGUAAAUUUUCAUUAAACAAUUUUUAAAACUUUUAAUUAGAUCUCUCAAAUUCUUUUUGGAAAUUCUUAUUUUCUCAAUUAAUUUUUUAAUUAAACUAUUCAGAAUUUUUGAUAAUUCUCAUUAAACCUUUUUAAAAUUCUCGAAAUUUUAAUUAAAUUGGUAAAAUUUGAAAAAUUUUAGUGAAGGGAAUCCCUCCCACAUAUUGAUCAAGAAAGCUUUGAAAAAAUAUUAAUUAAUUAUAUGUUUGAGAGAUUAAUAAUGUACUAUUUGGCUCCCAACAAUAAUAAUUCACUCUUAAUUUUGCUUCUUUUCCCUUUUUCUUUUACUUGUUUUUGUGAAAGAUAUCAUAAUAUAUGUUUUAAAUAAUUAAUGUAAUAAUAGAAAUAUUAAAAAAUAUAGUUAAUAGUAACAAUAUUUUAUACAAGCACAAUGACUUAUUCAAUUCUCCAAUUUUACAAAAAGAGACCAAUAAGUGAUUAGAUGUAAUGACAGGUCACAUUGCAUUCCCAAAAGAACUGCCUAAGUUCGAACAUCAUAAGUAAUAUAAAAACUUAAACAAAGUCAUGUAACAACCCAUAUAUCAAGUAUCACCAAAUACCAUUUCAUUCUUAUUCCAUUGUUUAGUUUCUAUUUUCAAUCAACUGAAUAUCGUCCGAUGGAACUAUAGCAAAACGGGCUCAAAUACACGGGAAUAAGUUGGUCACACAAGUUGACAGUAUAUUAGGGCUGCUCAGACAAGUUGACAUUACAACAGAAUUGCUCACAUAAACUGAUAUUAUAUCAAGGUUAUUCAUCUGGGCUAAACCUUCAAUAUGUAUAACCCGAGAAUUUGAGACAAGCCCAAGAACUCAUCCUAUGUAAAAGGGGUGCCAAACCCUAGUGCAUAGUAGGGUAUGUUGCCGCCCCUUAGUGUUUUGAAUAAAGGGGAACUGUAGUAUCAUAUUAAAACAAUACUAUUUAAUUACUCAUUAUUCAAGUAAAACUUUUGUACUAUUUUCCUAAAAUAGGAUCUAUGAAAUGAUUUAAUUACACCUAUCGCUGUUAUUUUAUCAUAAAAUAGUGGUAAUUUGUUUAUAAGAAUAAAUUCUAUAUUCUGAAAAGCUCAAAGUUUUCGAUUUCUAUAUAGAGAAUUAACUUUCUCACUAAAAGUUCAUGAAAGAUUGGUUGAACUGGGCAAAAAAAUUGGUCGAAUUAGAUGCGAUUGAACUGGUUGAACUAAAAUAUUUUAAUAUAUUUUUAUUUUUUAUGAAUUUUUUAUGAUUUAUUUAAUUGAAUUAGACUAAUCAAUCAAACCAAUUGAAUCAAUUGGAUCAACAAACUAGUAACCUUAUUGGUUUGAUCAUCGAUUUAGUUUUUAAAACCUUAGAUUUCGUCAUACCGUUUCAAUUAUUAUACCUUAUAAAUAAAAUAUAAAGUAAACCAGUGGUGAAAUUAGGGGGAUUGGCAAGGGCCCUGGCCCUCCCUAAAAUGAUUUUUUUUUUCAUAUGGACCCUCUAAAAAAAUUAAAAUUUUAAAUUAAUAAAAAUAAAAUUAUACUUUGGCUCCCCUAAAAUAUAAAAAUUUGAUUUAAUCUAUUAAAAAUUAUAAAGAUGUAGUCUAUUAAAAUGGUGAAAUUGUAUUUUUCUAUCGUAAAAAUUACAAUUUAAUUUUAGCCCAUAAUUUUUUUUUUCUAAUUUCGCACCUGAAAUAAGCUAUAUUUGAUUAAAUUUAUUAUUUUACCUUACAUACAAAACACAAAAUAAACAUUUAACUAUACAAAAUUAAUUGAUGAAUUGUUUUACUCAGUUGAAAGUAGAACAAAUAAUUGAUCCAAGAGGAAAGUGAAAUUUAUCCUUUUAUACGUCGAACAUUAGCGAAAAGGACAAAAAAGAAAUUUUGGGUUAUUUGGCUUUUGUUUCCUGCUGCUCUCCUCAAUCCAUUGACGCUGUUUCACCCCCUUUCUCUCGAUUUCUCAAUGUUUCUUUUCCUGUAAUUUGUUGUGAUUUGAAGUAUAAAUCAGGGAGAAGUAAAAGCUAUCAUAAAAAUGGCGGAGGCAAUUCUUACGGUAGUCUUGCGACAGAUAACAACAAUCUUGAGUGACCAAGCGGUAAAAGAGAUGACGAUGUGGGGAGACCGCGAGGCUGCUCUCAAAAAUCUUGAAACAUAUCUGAAAUCCAUCCGAUCCGUUCUCAAAGAUGCAGAGGACCUUCAAAUUACAGACGAUGCAAUCAAACUGUUGCUAGAAGAUCUGAAAAUUGUAAUUUAUGAAAUCGAGGAUGUGUUGAAUUUAUGGAGCUGUAAAGUACGGAAGGCAGAAUCUGUUCGUGCCAAGGUAAAUUGUCUACUUGAAUUCAUUGCAUAUCGUCGUAGUUCUGAUAGAAUAAAGAAGAUUUGUGAAAAACUGAGUCCAUUUGAGCUGAAAAACAAGCUGGAUCUGGGCAAGAGUAAAAUUAUAUCUCCUCUGCGGAACAAAGAAAGUACUAGCUAUUGUGAUCUAUCAAAAAUUAUUGGUCGAAGCGGAAUAAAAACUGAGUUAGUGUUCCGUUUAGUUUNNNNNNNNNNNNNNNNNNNNNNNNNNNNNNNNNNNNNNNNNNNNNNNNNNNNNNNNNNNNNNNNNNNNNNNNNNNNNNNNNNNNNNNNNNNNNNNNNNNNNNNNNNNNNNNNNNNNNNNNNNNNNNNNNNNNNNNNNNNNNNNNNNNNNNNNNNNNNNNNNNNNNNNNNNNNNNNNNNNNNNNNNNNNNNNNNNNNNNNNNNNNNNNNNNNNNNNNNNNNNNNNNNNNNNNNNNNNNNNNNNNNNNNNNNNNNNNNNNNNNNNNNNNNNNNNNNNNNNNNNNNNNNNNNNNNNNNNNNNNNNNNNNNNNNNNNNNNNNNNNNNNNNNNNNNNNNNNNNNNNNNNNNNNNNNNNNNNNNNNNNNNNNNNNNNNNNNNNNNNNNNNNNNNNNNNNNNNNNNNNNNNNNNNNNNNNNNNNNNNNNNNNNNNNNNNNNNNNNNNNNNNNNNNNNNNNNNNNNNNNNNNNNNNNNNNNNNNNNNNNNNNNNNNNNNNNNNNNNNNGCAUCUUUCUAACACCAACAACAUUACUGCCAUCCUAAUAAACCAUAAGUACCAUUUCCACUCCAUCAUCAUCAUCAUCUUUCUGUUUUCACUUCUCUCUCAGCUAUAUGUUACUUUUUGUUAACUUCUAUAUGUAUAUAAUCUAAAGAAGCCUAAGCUUCUUAUUUAUAUACAAGCAGAACAUUUUGCAUCCCACUUAUUCAAUAUAAUAUAAAAAUAAUAUAUAAUUAAUUAAUUCCUCAAAAAUUGGAUCAAUCUAGGCUUCUUAUUUACGUAAAUUCCUUAUUGCAAAAACUCUUGGUAGAAAUUCGUUAGGAAAGGAUGAAUGGACCACAAGAAUGCUUAUCAACUCUUGACUUUGGCGUCCAAUGCUAAAUUUAUUUUAAAAUUUCUUCAUGGAGACAAGAUGGGAUGACAAGAAUGAUAAGUUUUAAGUCAUUUAAGUUUACACAAUUUUAAUCACUCAUAAAAACAAGUAUUGACAUUCUAUUAAAGAAUUUAAACAUGGCUUAACGUUGAUUUUAAAUCUAAUGUUGAUGUUAAUCUUGAAAAAAGAAUGGCCAAAAAAAAUAUGAAAAGUGAGAGGUGGACAUAAAAUAGUGUAGUUGGGGUUAUAAAAUUCUUCAUGUAGACAUAAUAUUUUUUUUAUGCCUUUUUUACACUUAUAUAGAGUUAGUCUUGACUUUGCUUUAUUAAUAGAAAUUUUAGGUCUUCAUUUUUUGUUUUAUUCAUGGACAUAAUAUUUUCUUAUUUUUAUUUUAUGGUCUAUGAUCGAGGUUUAUGACUAUCCCCUUUCAACAACGUCGUCUCAACUGUUCAAACAUACACUUGCAGGUAAAAUAAUACUUUUUAAAAUCACAAAUAUUUAAAAUAAUACAUUGCAGCUAUAUAAAUGCUUUCUUGUUUAAGAUACUAAUAAAGUAAUUAACAAAGUAAUUAUUAUACCUAUAAUAAUUCAAAAUGCCACUUGUUAUCUAAUGAAGUAUAGGGGUGUAAAUGAGACAUCCGUACCCGCAAGCUAUUCGAAUUUGGCUCAAAAAAUUUUGAAAUUGAUUCGGUAAUUAUUGAGCCGAGCUAUAGGUCGAUCCGGAUUCGAGCUUAGUAAUACUUGACUCGAGUAGUUUGAGAGCCUUAUUGAACUUUUUAUAUUUUUAUAUUAUUAGAUUACAUUAUUGCUAUUAAUAUAUAUUAUUAACCCUAAGUUUAAUUAUUGAGGCGAGCUCAAACUCGAGUACAAAAAUUGAUAAACAUAUUUAAUUUCGAGCUUAAAAAUAUAUGUUCGAUCGAGCAUCAAGCUUUGAAUUUCAAAUUAAACUUGAGUUUAACAGUAUUGAGUUCAAAUAGAUUCAAUUACACCCUACAAUAAAAUAUACCAACAAAACCUACAUUCCAUCUUUGCUAUAAAUUUUAUGUAUGUGUGUGUUUAACGUGAGUUCCAUCUAUGUCCAACUUGAUGACGAUGAAAGUUCCUAUGGUGUAAAAAGUUUUAGUUAUGUGGAAAAAUAAGGCCUUCUCUUCACACGUUUAAUAUGCUUACUUGUGUCGGUCAUUUCGAUCUUCACAUCAAUUUUCAAAAAGUUGGAAAACUUAUGUCUGCUUUUAUGAUUCUUUUAUGUGUGUGUUUAACGUGACUUCCUUGUGAGUUCCAUCUAUGUCCAACUUGAUGACAAUGAAAGUUCCUAUGGUGUAAAAAGUUUUAGUUAUGUGGAAAAUUGGUGGAAAACUUACGUCUUUUUCACUUGCUUUUAUGAUUCUUUUUACAUGAUAUUACUAUAUAAUUAAAUUGAAAUACUGAUAAAUUUGAACCCAUAUGAUGUAAGUCUAGGCAUCAUCUAAUUUAUUGAUAUUUAAUUAAUUAAUAUAUAUACUUUCAAUUAUAAGAAUUGAAACAUAACUUUCAAGUCAAUUGGAGUAUGCCCCUGUUACACGUCAAAAGAAGUAGAUUUUGAACUCAACAUGAACCUGUGAGAUUUGAUGCCUAAAAUAUAGGUAUAAGGUUUCAAUUCAUGGAAAUGUUGGAAAUCUUGGAAAUUUCUUAGUCUCCUCUCUUUGGAUGUUUUUGAACAAAAAUGUUUUAAGUCUCUUCCGAUGCUAAACUUCUGAUUGGUCGUCGGUUCACUGACCCUUUGGUACACAGCAAUAUGAAGCAUUGGCCAUUCAAGGCCAUUGCUGGUCCUGGUGAUAAGCCAAUGAUUGUACUACUAUAGAUUUGAAUAUUUGUACACAUUUGAUCGGCUCUUCGUAAAUUUAAAUCUUACAAAUUCGGAUAAUAUUUGAACUUUGAAUGUAUGUUUUGUUGGUGAGAAUAUAAAGUUGAUAAAGAUUUGGUAAAUAGAGUAAAAUAUUAUUUUUAUUAGAAAAAUUAUUUGGUACACUGCCAAUCGAGGUAAUUAAAACAUGUCAUUAUAAAUAAUAAAAUUAUGAUGACUCAAAUAUACGAACACGUCAAAAUUUAUGUACAACGAAUUAUUAACAUGUAAAUGUAUAAUACGGUACGCAAAAAUAAGAUAAUUGCUUGUUUUUUUAAUUGAAUUGUUAUAACAUAUUAUACAAAAUACAUUGUGACUUAAAGCAUAAAAUGAACUUGAUAUCAAAAUAUUAAAUUUUUUUUAAAAUUCAAUGAUACGAAUAAUUAUGUAAAAUAUAACAUGAUGCAAAAUAUCUUGAGAGGAAAAGAGGAAUAAAGAAUUGCAUUAUUUGUGAGGUUUUAAAAUAUUCCAGUUUUAGAUUCAAUUUUCUAGUAUGUUUGGUUUAAUUUUACAUUAGAUUUCCUUUUCAGUAUGCACUAGUGAACGCUUAGCAGUCAGUUUAAUUUAAUUCAAAGAGAUAUUGCAUAUACAUAAUAAUGGAUUAUGAUUUUACAUUAAAUUUCAUAGAAGAAAAAGAAAUAGAUGGUUGAAAAUGAUAAAACCAUAAGAUAAAAGAGCUUUUAUUCAAAAUGCAAAAAUCAACAAAAUAUUCAUUAUCGCUCAACUUAGCAUAAUUAAACAUUUAGGUGUGGAAACAAGUCACAAUUUGAGUAGCUAAACACAUUGCUUGAAAAUGUGAUAAGUAAGAAAAUUGCCCACAUUUGAGUAGCGACAUGUGGUGAAGCAUUUCCCAACGAGAGAAAACUAAGCUCUUCACCAGUAUGGAUUUAUGUAGAGGACAACAAAAAUUGUCAACAACACAACUACAUAAGAAACCAAAAAGCUCACAAAAAAAUCAUAAGUAUCUAUCAAACCAUCUUCUCCUUUAUCUUCUGAUACAAUUGAUAUCGCUGAUGGUGAAUCGGUUUUGGAACAACUUUUAUGCAAUAUAUCUCCACAACGAAAAGGAUUUCCCUCAUAACUGUUUUCAAUAAAGGUCCCAAAUUGAGCUUUUGGUUCGGGAAUACUACCUGACAAAUUGUUAUAUGCCACGCUGAAAACCUCCAAAGAGUUCAACUCUACCAAUUGAUUGGGGAUUUCACCACACUCAAGUUGUUGUAAGAAAGGUCCAAACUCUCAAUGUGCUGAAGUUUUGAGAAUGAUGAGGGUAUAACUCUGGUCAACUUAUUGUGUGACAAGUUUAAAGAAUGGAUUUCACUCAAGUUCCCUAAUUUUGGUGGGAUAUGACCAGUUAAGUUUUUGCAAGAUAAAUCAAUCCCAAUAAUAUAUGAAAGGAUGUUGCCCUUGUACGAAUAGAACCCACUCUUUGUUGUGAACUCUAUUACUUCUUCUAAGUAGCUGUCAGGGUUGUAAGGAUUUAUACCCCUUUCCCAUUUUCUCAUCACAAUGGAUGUUGAUUCAUCCUUUUCUAUAAAUGGAAGAUAGAACCCAGUUGCUAGACUCUCUUUCUCUUUCAGUGGAAGAGAUAAAUUUCCCAAACAAGAAGGUAUAGGACUAGAAAACAUAUUUUGAGAAAGAUCUAUGAUGCUUAAAGAAUGCAACUUGCAUAACUCAAUAGGAACUUUAUCAUGAAAAUGAUUAUCUUUCAGGAGAAGAACACUCAAAGAAGAAAGCGUGUAAAUCCAUUUUGGAAUACUACCUGUCAAAUUGUUUCCUCUAAGAUCUAAAGUCACUAUUGAAGAGUUAUUAUAAAAAAGCAAGUGAUAGUGUGCCUCUCAGUCUAUUCCCGUGGAGGUGGACAUGCUCUAUGUAUGGUGGAUUAAAACAUGACGGUAUAGAGCCAGAUAAAUUAUUUUGAGAAAGAUCCAAAAAUUCCAACCUAUUCAACUUUCAAAAUUCCAUUGGAAUAGAACCUUCAAAACCAUUGUUGGACAAAUUUAAUCUCCACAAAAAUGAUGCAUUCCCUAUCCAUCUUGGGAGCUUUCCAUGCAACUUGUUACUGAGAUCAAUUUCGCUUAGUGAAUUUGGAAACUCAAAAAGAAAUGUUCACACAAAGUUUUUUCCAACAUAUGUCUGUCAUUUGUGGGGUCUUGAAUUUAAUAUCAAUGGUUGAAUUUUCAUAGCUAAUAUGUGCGCAAAAGGCCUAGUGGGUGGAAUUUUAUGUCAGGAAAGCGUUUCUACAAUGACAUAAUUAAUUGCAUUACUUUUCAAAGAUUGACUAUUGACUUUGGUGAGCUUAUUAGGUUAAAUUCUGCUGCUGGUCACUGUUCUUUGUGAAAGUUGUAAAUUUAGUCUAUUUACUUCAAUUUGAUCAAUUUUAAUCCCUAUACAUUUUGAUUUUUAAAAUUUUAGUUGUGACCCAAACAAUAGAGUUAAAUCAAUUUAAUUAAAACCAAUUACUAGUCCUAUAUUAUGUGUACAAUUGUUGAUUUAGUCCAUACUCUCCAAUUGGAUCAUUCUAAGUACCUAUAUUUUUCAAAUUUUAAAAUUUCAGUCUUGAUGCAAAUGACAAUCCUUAGUCCGUUAACUAGAUUUUUAGUAACAUAUGAAAAUAAUAAGAUGAUAUGACAUUACAAAUAUGAUAAUAUUUUUGCGUUAAAUAUGUCAACAAUGACAUAAUUAAUUGCAUUAACUUUCAGACGUUGACCAUUGACUUUUGCUUCAACCUUGAGCUUAUAUAGCCCCUACAAUAAUUUAGGUUAUGGAAAUAAUCUUACAAUUAAUGCCUGAGAAAUUAUUAUAGAUCAAUUUAUAGUUUUAAUCCCUAUAAUUACUCAAUUGAAUUGAAGAUUCAGAUUUUCUUAUUUAAUUUGAUAUAUUUUCUUCUCUUAUUAAUGUUAAUGUUAUGGAUUAGUUUUUUUAAGACAACAUUAUUUUAUUCAAUGAAUAAUAUCAUACAAUUCGAGGAGAAAAUAACAAACACUCGUUGUACUCGUUAAAGGACAAGUUCCAUCAACACAACAAAACCUUUAACUUCAACAUUAAUAGAACAUUAUGGCAUGUUGAAAUCGGCUCUGUCACAACUCAAGCACAACAUAUCAGGAGUGAUUACAAGCACUUAAUAUGGUAAGAAAAUUAACCCCGGAUGGUCCAAAGCGGUGGGCAUAAAUCAGCAAAAGAACUGAGCAUCCACCAAACUAGAGGGGAUGCGGCGACAAAACUAACCCUAAAAUUACUCUCAAAAGCAAGACUAAAAAGCGUACUACAAGAGUAGACAAAAACUUCGAAAAGUAAAGACUUAUUAAACAAUGGAAAAAUAAACAAAAAAAACAUAUAAAACUUAAGAUAACAUGAGUCUAAACCGAGUCAUGAAAUUAUUUAUUAUUUUGAAACUCUCAAAACAUAAACAAAUUAAGAAGUCAACGAAGAGGUACCCACUUUCUAAAAGAAAGUGUUGGUGGUCGGUGGUGUUUCAAUGAUGAUAGGCAUUGUCACCUGUUCAUCACAACUUGUAAAGAUAACAAAAAUACCCACAAAAUAAAUCUGUAAAUUGAAAAGAACGAAGACUCAUGGAGUGAAUGAGAAGAAGAAAAAUAAAAAGGGUUAAUAGAGACAAAGCAGGGCGGUAACUAGUUCAGAGGCUAACACCGCUGCUAGGCUAAAAAAAGAAGAAGAAGCAAACAUGUUAUGGAUUAGUUAAAAUAACUAACAUCAUUGAAAAUUUCAUUACUUGGCUGAUUUGGAUUUUUUUUUUUAAAAAAUUGAAACUAGAAACCAUAAAUGAUCUAACAUUUAGAAACCAUAAAUUGGGUUCAAUUGCUUUGCUGUCCAACUCCAUCCAUCUAAAAUCGCAAGGAUGUACCCAUGUUCAAUAUGCAGUACAGACCCAAAAAUUGACCAUAUAAUGUGGCUCAAGAGAAUUUUCGAAUGGUUUUAAAGAAUUAUGAGAACACAAUGAAUAAAGUUAAGGCAUCAUUUAUUCAGCUUGCUAUAAUGCAGGUCAUUCCAAUAAAGAAGCAUUUUUUAACUAUAUUUUCCGUUACCCCAAUAACAAUGGCACAGAAUGUUCUCCGAUGAACAUAGAACUCACCAUUUUUAGGAACACGUGUAGUUGAGGAUGAGAAUUCGGAUCAACUGUAACUUCAAAUGGUGGAAUGAAAACAUUGUCCAGAAUAUUCUGAAAAGAUUUUUCAAUUCCCAUUUGCUUGUACACAUUAUACAAUCGUGGUGACUGCAGAAUUAAGUCAAAAUCAAGUGAAGAAGGUUACCUUUGACUUGAGAAAUAUAUCACAGAGAGAGAGAAAGAGAAAACAGUAAUCUGGAAAGAUGAUGCUUAAUAUGGACAUGAUACCCUAGAAACCGAUCGAUCUUAAAUUUUAAUUUCUAAAAUAUUAUUAGCUUGUGCAUACUUUCAAAUACUUUUCAUUAGAGUUACCAUAAGACUAAUUUUUCCAAUUUUAGAUGAUUCAAGAAACUAUUUGGGGGCAAUUCUUAAAUAAACAUGUCCAAACAGUAGUCAUUAACAAGAAAGCAUCCAAGAAAACCAGCAGUUAAUACUUAAAUUAACAUUAUCAAAUGGAGAUGUAAAGAAGAAAGAAUCCUACUGCAAAGCUAGAUAGCAGGAGAAUCACUAGAAUGAAGAGAAAUACUAUUGGCACUAUACCUGGAUUAACCAAACAGUAGUCUCACUAUAAAUUUCAUUGUUAAUAAACCAACUUGCCAAACUGGUCCCAUUCACUUUGUUUCCUUCCAUAUAUGGACACCCUGUACUCUGCCAUCUAGAAAAUAUAUAUAUUAUUCAGUGUAGUCAGAGGCGCAAGGAGCACUCUAGGUGCUAGAAUCCUUUUAUUGUACAAGGCACAUGGCGCACAAAAAAAAAAAAAAACUUGCUUAUGUUAAGGCACAUGUAUGCGUGUUUUGGUAUGUCCAUGUCUGUAUAUAUAUAAGCCGAAGAUAUAUAAUUAUAAUAAUAAACUAUAAAAGUGCUCCAGUCUGAAGUACAGAACAUGCCAAAUUUUCUUUCUUUUGUCAACCAUAUGCAUAUUUCCAUAUGAUGCCAUGCCUGGUGUUGAAUACUCAAAUAUUGAGAAGUUGAGAGUUCGAUAUUAUCCCUUUGUUACAAUUAAGAAACAAUUAAAGAGAUAGUAAAGAGAACUUCAAUUAGAAGGCCUUUUCCCCCUACAUGCACCAGGCAGGCGCUUAGCCUGAAAAGGUCAAAGGCCCUUUUACUGUCUGGUGAUAAGGCAAAAAACAUUGGACAAAGUUGGUGGGAGGAUAGAAUACUAAAAGAGCCCAAUGUUGUCACUUUUCUAAAGUAAGCUCAUAUGCCUUUUUUGUACCCAAACAAUAUCUUACCCUUUAAUUUGUACCUAAAGAAAUUAUUUCUAAUAGAAAGUUUACUUUUGUUAUGAUCAAUGCUGGAGGCCAAAACUGAUUUGGGCUAAGGAAUUGGUGGUGAGAGUUGGAAGGCAAGAAGAAAGAAAGUUCUUUUGAGUGUUAUAUUUUUCAAAAAAUACAAAUUGUUCAUUUUUUUUACCACAUCAUCAUGCCAGGUCAGCUUCCAUGUGGAUAAAGAAAAUUUUGGCGGCAUUGAAACAGAGGCUUCAUGGGCUUUUAGUAAUUUAGCCCUUGGAAGGAAUAUGACCAUCCAAAAAAAGGCAGUUGAUGCUUUAAGGUCAAUUAGCCGAAACAAUAACAACAAUUCCUAGGCUUCAAUAAAAUAAUUUAGACAACAAAUAAAGCUUGAAGGUUGAGUUUUGCACUGCAGCAGCAUUGGGCUUUACAAGGUGAAAACCCACAUUGCACAAAAAUAUCAAAGUUUCAGAUCUAUCAUAAUUUAAAAUUCUAACUAAACUAAACGCCAAGAAUGCUGAAUGCCUAAUCAAAAAACAUAAGAUUAACCCAAGGACCUAAUUGGGUAUGCUAAAAUUUGUCUUGGAAUGAAAUUAAUAAUAUCCUUACUAUUUCACUUUUUUUUUCUUCAUAUGUUUGGUGUGAGCAUGAUACAGAUUAGACUGAUUUUAAAGUAAAAGUAAAACGAUACCAAACCUAAACAUUUUGGUUUUUUUUUAAUUUUUUAUCAGAGCCCUGUUUGAUGCAUUUUUAGUUUUGUUUUCUAAUAACAAAUGGAAAGUUAAUUAAAAAAAAACCCUAAUCCAAUGAGUUCUUUUAUAGAUAUAAGAUAAGUCCUGCAAAGUUUUUGUUUUUUAGAAAUAAAAUUUUAUUUUUGUUUUUUAAUUCUUCAUACCUAUUUUAAUAUCUAAGUUCCGGAUUCCUAACUGCCCUUUCAAUUAUAUAGUAUUCAAGAUUUGAACUUAUAUUUUUCUAUAAAAAUAUAAUGUAUUUUAUUAUUGUAUCCUACAUUCAUUAAUACUUAGUAGAAAUAACCUAAUAAAAUGAUUUUUUUCAUAUAUUAAUAGAGAUAAGAUUCGUGCAAAAUUGUUGGUUGAAAAUUCAUUAGGAAAGGAUGAUUGUACGAAUGUACCAUCAUUAUAAGUGAGCUCAACGAUAAGCCUCCUAUCAAUCACCAGUGUGCAGAAAACAUUUGAAAUCGAAACACCCGUUCAUACAUCAUACAUCAUCAUAAGUGAGCUCAACGAUAAGCCUCCAAUCAAUCACCAGUCUACAGAAAACAUUUGAAAUCGAAACACCCCGGACAUCUCCAACAAAUCUGCCAUAACGUUAGCAUCUCUUCCAUUUUUUCUAAACAAAACCUCACUAAGCUCAUCAAAUGUGCCAAUAUUUCCAAGGCCUAGAUUUCUCAUUGAUACACCAAGAAAGCUCGACUAUGGAGUCGGAUUCAACCAUAAGCUUUCAGUCUAUAAUCCACUAGGAAUCCAAAAAGAAACACUCUCGAACACCUAAAGAACCUGAAACAUAGCAAUGACAUGACCCUUUGAAUUUCUAAGAACCUCACCUCACCACGUCGAGCUAAGAUUACCUAAUGUCGAACCUUCACGGUUAAACUUUUACCAGCCUUCACCUUACUCUUGAUAUGAUGAUUAUGGAUACUCCCUUCACAAUCCCACAAACACUCCCACCAAAUUGACUCAACAAAAUUUGCACCUAUAGGUUUUCUGUUUAUAUUUGAUUUUGUUCACACAUUGCCUAAAACUACUCAUGAUCCCUCUCCAACCUAUAAAUACGAGGAUAAUGCGCUUCAACGCGCUCAAACCCACGUCCUCCUACAUUAGCAACAAUACUCAUGUCAAUCGAGUUAAAACACAAUCAAUAGAUUUUUUUUAAAAAAAAUCUUUAAAUGUUAUAUUAUUAUAUAAGAAUUUGAAACAUGACUUCCGUAGGUUUUAAAUCUAAUGUUGACACUAAUCUUGAAUAAGUCAUUCCACUCCCAUCUUAACUAAUGGCCAAAGAGAUAUCAAAAGUGGGAGAUGGCCAUAAAAUUGUGUAGUUUGGGUUAUAAAAUUUUUGGGCAAACUACAUAUAUUAUCAUUUAAUUAUAUAUUUUUUUCAAUUUAAACACUUAAAGUAAAAAAUUUAUAAUUUAAGCACCCACAUUAUAUAGUUUAGUUAUUUUGAUCACUCCAGUUAAAAUAAAAAAUGGCAAACUGAAGCGACAAUUAAAAAAAUGUAUAAUAACAAAUUUAACCCUCAAAUUUUAUAUAUUAUAUCAAUUACAUAUUACAACUAAUUUUAUAAUUAUUGAUAUUGAAUAUGUCCCUCACUACGUUAGGGAUUUUUUUUAUAAUUUGUAUUUAAUUAAUAUUUAAAAUUAAUUUCAAAAUAUGUGAAAAUUUUAUAAUUAUUUGGUGUUAGUCCCUUUAUUAUACCCAAAUUUAGGAUUAAGCCCCUAUAUUUUAAUUUUGACAUAAUUUGUUUCUUUCACUUUUAUAAUCUCAUUAAUUAUUUCAAGUAACUAACACUUUUAACAAUAUUGCCAAAUAAAAUAAUGUCAUAUUUUUUUUUCUUAAAGCCAUCACUUCUAACUAAAUCAUGACUUAAUCACUUUCUAAUUAAUCAUACUAACUUAGAUUUUUCUUUUGUUGGAAUCAGUACGUUUAAGGAAAACCCACCUUAACAUUUGUAGAUGUCUUCAACAAUUUCCUAAGCACGAUACAAUAAAGCUUGGUGUGUAUAAUUUUGUUUUAUGGAAGCUCCAAAUUAUGUUGAUUCUUGAAUGAUACGGUCUGCAUGGGUUUGUUUUGGGUGCUAUUAGUGUACUAGCACAGUUUGUAGAGGAUAAAUAUGGGAGAUUAGUAGAAAAUUCUGAUUAUGUUUUACAUGUGCAACAAGAUAAGCUAUUGGCUUCUUGGUUACUUUCAACUGUUAGUGAUGAAAUCCUAGCCUAUCUUACUAGUGCUCGUACUAGUUAUUAUAUGUGGGAAACUAUUGAAAAGAAGGGUUGCGACUAAGUCCACGGUAAAAUUGUCCAGUCAUGUGUUGUAUUCACAGAAAAAGGGUCAUUUGUUUGUUAAAGAAUAUUUGUCUAAGAUCAAGUCCAUGUGUGAUAUGUUGGUUGCAACGGGUUGUUUGAUUUCAAAUCAAGAAAUGGUUAGCAUCAUUCUUGCAAGGUUGCCAGUUGAGUGUGAAUCAGUACGGGUAGUAGCUUCAGCUACUGGUGUGUCACUUGAUCUGUUGAUUGAGAUGCUGCUUGAUUGUGAAGCUCGAAAAUUGAGUUCUUGAAUAGUGUUCUCGUACAACCUAACAUAGCUAGUAAACAAGAUUGUGAUGAGGGUGAUCGGACCAAGGGUUCUGAUUAUAACAGUGGCUAUCAAGGGAACAAACAGACAUAUAUAGGUGGUUUUCAAUGCAAUAGAGGUUCCAUCGAGGUUGAGGCCGUGAGGGUUGUUUUUCUAACAAUCGGCCCCAAUGCCAGUUGUGUGGUAAAAUUGGACACAUUGUCCAAAAGUGUUAUUACCGUUUUGAUGAAAAGUUUUGCAGGUAUUGCUAGGAUGGUAAUAUGGUAUAGUGGGCUGCAUCUUGAUUGUUUGUUUCUCAUGCUGAGGCUAUAAUUUUAAUCAUACCUAUUAUUGUUUCUUGUGUCCUGCAAUUUCAUCAUUUGCAGGCUGUUUCACUAAUUGCAUCCUAUUUACAAGUUCCCUUGUGUUAUCCUCUGCGCUUGGGUGGUUCUCGCUCAUAUAUUAAUGACCAUGCGUCUUCAAUAGACCAUGCAUCUUCUGAUUUGUCAUUGGAUACAACACUUUCAGCAAAUGUAAAGCCGGUAGAAUUUCCGCUGUUUUUAGAAGGUCAAGACACGACAAGAGCAGCAUAUGCUGUGUUCUUGUUAAACAAGGUAAGCUUUUGCAUAUUAGUAAUUUUUUUUUCCAAGAUGAAUUAUUCUCCUUUGGCAUUUUAUAUUAUAUAAUUAGUCACUACAAAACAUAAAUAAAUAAUAAUACUCCAUUUUUACAAUAAAAAUUCACUAAAGAAAAUACAUUUGAAGUCUAUCAUUGCUUUUUCGAAUAAGAGUCGGUCAAGAAAGUUAUGCGCAAAUACUUAUAUCUUUAUUUCAGAUGCUUUCAAUUCUAUUGUCACUUAAAUCCAAGUACUUUAAAUUUGUCAAAUUAUUCAAUUUUGAAAUUCAAUCCCAAAUAUUGAUCAAUUAUAUAUAUUCAUGAUAUGAUAAAAGCAAAGACAUCUUUCAACAUUAACUUUCCCUUAAACAAAAAUUGGUUUUAAAGUAAAAAAGAAACAUAUAAAACCAGUCUAGCUUGAAUAUGAAUCAAUAUAUAAACACUAUACUUAUACCUUGGUUUGAGAUGCUUUCAAUAUUGUUGUCGCUUAAAUACAAGUAUUUCAAGUUUGUCAAAUUAUUCAAUCCCAAAUAUUGGUUAGUUAUAUAUGAUAUGAUAAAAUCAAACUUGAACAUACAUUGAUUUUUAAAGUUGAAAAUUACUUGUUAAUUUUUUUUCUUUCUUACCUAUAUGAAAAUUUUACUAAAGUAAAAGUUGAAUUACAACGGAUAAAAAGAAUGGAAAACUAGGUACCAAGCCUAGAAGACCAUCCUCAAACUCCACUAUACAAAUAAAAACUACUCAAACUCCACUAUACAAAUAAAAACUAACACCGGACCAAACUUAAUUUACCUCUUAGAUGACUUGAUCCUUCAAACUGGUUGUAUGAUAGAUCUAAAUACCGGAGAGAUGAAAGCUCACUCAAAGAUAACAAAAUGCUAUCAUUCAAGUAAUUGUAACUUAAGUCAAGGAUCUCCAAAUUACUCAAUGUGAAUGAUAGCUUUCCAAAGCCUGUAGAAGUGUUCUUUUAAACAUAUACAAGCAGUUAGUGACUUUUCUUCCAUAAAAUAAAAUAUAAGUAAUUGUAAAUUAACAAUGGUGAGAAUAGUGGAAUAGUAAAAGAUAUAAUUAAGGAAAAAAAAUAAAGGCACGACCUUCAUUUUCAAGGUUACCACCUAUGGCAUUUCCCGACAAAUAAAGUCUCUUCAAUUCCUCAAAAGGAAGAAACAUAGAGGCAUUGAGAUACCAGACAAUGAGAUUCCUAUUAUCCAUGCCGUAUUCCCAAUUGUCUUCCCAUUUUGUAGAAAUAAGGGAGAGUUGUAUGAGUCUCCUAGUGGUGGUGUUACACUCAAAUCCUUCCCAUUUACAACAAUCUGAACCCUUCACCUCAACCCAACUUUGCAAUGGAUUACGAUAAACGAAGAAAGGCUUGAGAUGCAAGAGAGCGAUUCUCUCAUGCUCCAAACAAGCAUCAGUAGUACACCAUCUGCAUCCUUCUAACACCAACAACAUUAUUGCCAUCCUAAUAAACUAUAACCAUUUCCACUCCAUCAUCAUCAUCUCUCUGUUUUGUAUACAUAUGGACUACAAUUCAAGUUUCAUGCUUAUAAUUAUACCAAAUCAAAGUUCAUGUAUCAAAUUGCACAUUAAAUCAAAAUUUAUGUAUACAUUUGAUAUUUAUCUCAUUUAUGGGAGAUUAACUUUCUAAUGGUAUUGUUUUGUUUACAUUAAUCCAAAUAAUAGGAAAUGAUGAAUUAGUUUAACGCAAAUUGUAAUUCUAUUAAUGUUUCUUCUCAAACUUUUGGUUGCUCUUAUUUACAUGUUUUAUUAAUUGAUAGAUUUAAAUUCUUGGAAUAUAUUCGGUUAGAAUGAAGUGCCCCGAAUCCUUAUUUAAAUAAAAUACAGUGUUAAAAUAAAAGAAAAGUAAAAUCCCUACAGAAUUAUACUUCUUUUAUUUUAUUUUAGAAUAAGGCUUUUUAAAUCUUAUUAAACUCCAUCUAUUUGAUAUUGAUUAGAAUAAAGAGUUUCACUCCUAUUAGAAUAAAGUUUUACAAGCCUAUAAAUAGACAUAGUCUACUCCUCUUGUAAUUAAUUCAAAUUCGACAUAGUGAAUUUUCUUCUCCUCUGCCCGUGGUUUUUUCCCGAAAGGGUUUCCACGUAAAAUUUGUGUGUUCUUUAUUUUUCUAUUUCUAUUUUCUUUGUGAUAUAUUAUCAUUACCGACAUUUAUUUUCACAAAUUGGUAUCCGAGCUUCUGGGUUGUUCAUCGCAAUCACUGUAAUGACGUCUUUGAAGUAUGAAAUUCUACUGUUGGAUCGCAACACCAGAUUCGCAUUUUGGCAGAUAAAGAUGCAGGCAGUUCUUGCACAGAUGGACUUAGAGAAAGCCCUGCUAAGGUUAGAUAAGAUGCCUUCAACAUUGAUGGAGGAAGAGAAGAAGCACAAGGAUUGAAAGGCGUUAACACAAUUACAUCUGCAUUUGUCUAACGAAAUUUUGCAGGAUGUGAUAAAGGAGAAUACCGCCGCUAGAUUAUGGAAGACGUUGGAACAACUAUGUAUGUCGAAAACUCUAACUAGUAAGCUGCAUAUGAAGCAGCGUCUUUAUGCUCAUUGUUUGGAGGAAGGUGCGUCUAUGCAUGAACACUUGACAGUGUUUAAAGAAAUUCUCUCAAAUUUGGAGGCCAUGGAGGUUCAGUAUGAUAAGGAAGAUUUAGGGUUGAUUCUACUUUGUUCGUUGCCCCCGUCUUAUUUAACCUUUAGAGAUACAAUUUUAUAUAAUCGCGAGUCUUUCACAGUUGAUGAGAUUUAUAAUUCUUUAACCUCGUAUGAUAAGAUGAUGCAUCUUAUGGUUAAAACUGACUCUCAAUGAGAGGGUCUCAUUAUUCGUGAGAGAUAAGAUCAGAAUAUUGAUGAUGAUCAUGGAAGGACACAAGAACGGAAUCCUCGUGGUAAAUCUAAAGGUAGAUCGAAGUUUUCAAACAGAGGUAAAACUUGUAACUUCUGCAAGAAGAAAGGGCACAUUAAAUCUAAGUGCUAUAAGCUACAGAAUAAGAUCAAAAGGGAGACUGUGAAUCAAAAUGGAAAACAACCAGAAAAUUUUGGUAAGGCUAAUGUUGUAGAAUACUACAGUGAUUGUGAACUUCUAGUCGCUUCUGUCAAUAAUUUUAAAGUGAGCGAGGAGUGGAUCCUUGAUUCGGGUUGCACCUUCCACAUGAGUCCCAAUAGUUAUUGGUUUACAACUUACGAAAUAGUGUCUGAAGGUGUUGUUUUAAUGGGAAAUAAUACUUCAUGUAGAAUUGCAGGUGUUGGAACAAUUAAAGUUAAGAUGCUUGAUGGAGUUGUCAGAACACUUAGUGACAUAUGACAUGUUCCAAAAUUGAAGAGAAAUUUAAUUUCAUUGAGUACUCUUGAUUCAAAAGGGUACAAAUACACAGCUAAAAGUGGUGUUUUGAAUAUUUCUAAAGGUUCCCUCAUUGUGAUGAAAGGAUAGAGAAAGACUACCAAGUUUUAUGUUUUGCAAGGUUCUAUUGUUACUGGUGAUGCAGCUGUCGUAUCCUCUUCCUUGUCAGAUGAUGAUAUUACUAAACUUUGGCAUAUGCGCCUAGGGCAUAUGAGUGAGAAUGGCAUGGCAGAAUUGAGCAAAAGUGGACUUCUUGAUAGGCAAUGAAUUUGCAAACUGAAGUUCUGUGAGCACUACAUUUUUGGGAAGCAAAAGAGAGUUUGAUUCACCAGAGGAAUCCAUAACACAAAGGGAACGUUUGAGUAUAUUCAUUCUGAUCUGUGGGGGCCAUCCAGAGUACUUUCGAGAGGUGGAGCUAAUUAUAUGCUAACUUUUAUUUAUGAUUUUUCCAAAAAAGUGUGGGCGUUCUUCCUGAAGCAGAAAAACGAUGUGUUUUUUGUAUUUAAGUCUUGAAAAACCAUGAUUGAAAAACAAACGGGAAAGUAAAUAAAACACCUCCGCACAGACAAUGGCUCAGAGUUCUGUUUUGAUAAGUUUAAUAAAUUGUGCAAGUCAGAAGGGUUCAUGAAACACUUGAUAGUUCAUCAUACUCCACAGGAAAACGGCGUUACAGAAUAAAUGAACAGAACGAUCAUGGAGAAGGUUCGAUGUAUGUUGUCAAAUACCAACUUACCAAAGUCAUUUUGGGCUGAAGCAGCCUCUACUGCAUGAUUUUUAAUCAACCGAUCUCUAUCCAUUGCCAUUGAGAAAAAGACUCCACAAGAGGUAUGGUCUUGUAAUCCUGCUGACUAUUCUGAUUUAAAGAUUUUUGGUUGUCAUGUGUGUGUGCAUGUUGAUAAUGGAAAAUUGGAAUUGAGAUCCAUUAAAUGUGUUUUUCUUGGUUAUAAAGCUGAUGUAAAAGGGUAUAAGUUAUGAUAUCCUAAAAAUAGAAAAGUUGUGAUUAGCAGAUAUGUUAUUUUUUAUGAAACUGCUAUGCUACCUAACUUAUCUCUUAAAGAAUCUCUCAAUAAAGAAAAUCAAAAGUAGGUGGAGCAUCAGAUUAAUACAGAAUCUACAACAGAGUCGACUACUGAAGCCAGUACAAAAAUUCAAAAUAGAGUUGCUCCUUCACCAUAAUACUCUAUCGCCAAAAAUAGAACUAGAAGAGAAAUUAGACCUCCAAAGAAGUAUGUCAAGUCUGAUCUAGUUGCUUAUGCUUUAAAUGUGGCUAAAGAUAUAGAUGUAAAAUAAGAGCCAUCUAAUUAUUCUGAGGCGAUUAGUUGUGAAGACUCAGAAAAGUGGAUGUUUGCUAUGCAAAAGGAGAUGGAAUCACUCCACAAAAAUAAAAUAUGGGAUCUUGUGAAACUUCCUAAAUGUAAAAAGAUUAUUCGUUGUAAAUGGGUGUUUAAAAAGAAAGAAUGGACUCCAAGAGUUGAAGAACCCAGAUAUAAAGCAAAGUUUGUUGCAAAUGGUUACAGUCAAAUUCCAGGAGUGGACUUCACAGAUGUGUUCUCUCCAGUUGUGAAGCAUAGUUUGAUUCAAGCUUUACUUGGUAUUGUGGCCAUACAUGAUUUGGAGCUUGAACAGUUAGAUGUAAAAAAUGCUUUUUUGCAUAGAGAAGUUAAGGAGGAUAUUUACAUGCAACAACCAGAGGGUUUUACAGUCUCAGAAAAAAGGACUAUGUUUGCUUGCUGAAAAAGUCUCUUUACAGUUUGAAACAGUCACCAAGACAGUGGUACAAGAGGUUUGAUUCAUUUAUGACUUCUCAUGAUUUUAAAAGAAGUAGCUUUGACAGUUGUGCUUACUUUAAGAAAAACAAUGAUGGUUCUUUUGUGUAUCCACUCUUUUAUGGUGAUGAAAUGUUGAUAGCAGUGAAAGAUAAAUGAGGGAUAAGAAAGGUCAAAGCCCAACUAAGUGAAGAAUUUGAGAUGAAAGAUUUGGGACCAGCAAAGAAGAUACUUGGUAUGGAGAUUCUCAAAGAUAGAAAAGUAAGUAAAUUGUACCUAAGUCAAAAGGGGUACAUUGAGAAAGUUCUUUGCAGAUUCAAUAUGCAGAAUGCUAAGCCUGUUAGUACUCCUUUAGCAGCCCAUUUUAGACUUUUAUCGGCUUUGUCUCCACAAUCAGAUGAUGAGAUUAAGUACAUGUCACAUGUUCCAUACUCUAGUACAGUGGGAUCUCUCAUGUAUACUAUGGUUUGUUCACGUCCAGAUUUAUCAUAUGUAGUUAGUGAAGUUAGCAGAUACUUGGUGAAUCCCGAUAAAGAACAUUGGAAAGUAGUUCAGUGGAUUUUAAGAUACUUACGAGGUACUACUGAUGUUUCCUUACAGUUUGGAAGAACUAGAGAUGAAGUCAUUGGGUAUGUUGAUGCUAAUUUUGCUGGAGACUUUGAUAGAAGAAGAUCUCUCACAGGUUAUGUCUUUAUAAUCGGAGGUUGUGCAAUCAGUUGGAAAGCCACUUUGCAAACUACAGUUGCUUUGUCCACCACUGAAGAUGAGUACAUGGCGAUUACUGAGGCUUGUAAAGAAGCUAUUUGGUUGAAGGGACUCUUUAGUGAACUCAAUAAAGGCUUUCAAAUCAAUACAGUAUUUUGCGACAGUCAGAGUGCUAUCUUCUUUACAAAAGAUCAAAUGUUUCAUGAGAGAACAAAACACAUUGAUAUUCGGUAUCAUUUUGUUCGUGAUAUUAUUGCUUGUGGUGAUAUUGUUAUGAGCAAAAUUAGUACUCAUGAAAAUCCUGCAGAUAUGAUGACUAAGUCACUUCCUAUAACCAAGUUUGAGCAUUGCUUAGACUUGGUUAGUGUUCAUUGUUGAAGUUAAACCCUUAAGGGGUUUUAUGGAAUAGGUGGAAAACUUGAUCGUUGAGAGUUCGCGAUGAAGAACUUGUUCAUUAAGAAUUCGUGUCAAUGUGGAGAUUGUUAGAAUUAAGUGACCCGAAUCCUUAUUUAAAUAAAAUACAGUGGUAAAAUAAAAUAAAAGUAAAAUCCCUAUAGAAUUAUACUUCUUUUAUUUUAUUUUAGAAUAAUAUUUUUUAAAUCUUAUUAAACUCCAUCUAUUUGAUAUUGAUUAGAAUAAAGAGUUUCACUCCUAUUAGAAUAAGGUUUUACAAGCCUAUAAAUAGACAUAGUCUACUCCUCUUGUAAUUAAUUCGAAUUCGACAUGGUGAAUUAUCUUCUUCUCUGCCCGUGGUUUUUUCCCGAAAGGGUUUCCACGUAAAAUCUGUGUGUUCUUUAUUUUUUCUAUUUUUAUUUUCUUUACGAUAUAUUGCUAUUAUCGACAUUUAUUUUCACAUAUUCUAAUUAAUUAGAUAUUUCCUUCCUUCCAAAAGCCUUUCAAAAUAGGUUUAGUUUGACCAAGAUACUCUUGUAGAAAAUUUUAGUUUUGUGGGAAAACGAAAAACUAGAUUUAUUUUUUAUUCUAAUUGGUUUCAUAUGCAAGGUAUAUAAACUUUUGUGUCGCUGCAAUUUUUUUCCAACAUAUGUAUGUGAUUUGUGGGGUUUCAAUUUUGAAUUUUUUUUAUAAUUUAAUUAAAUUGUGAAAGUAUUUGAAAGUUUUUAAGUUGAUACAAUGUUUAGAACUACCCCAACACCCACCCAACCCUUAAAUAGGAGGAUAAACAUGCUUCAGCACGCUCAAACUCACAUUCUCCUACAUCUAUGAUAAUACUAAUGCCAACCGAGUUAAGACUCAACUAGCCUUGAAUUUUGAAUUUUACUUCUGAUAUAUUUUGAAUUUUGAAAUUUUAAUUUUGACCCAAACAGUAGCAGUUAAUUUAAUUUGAUUAAAUUUAAUUACUAGACCUAUAUUAUGCGUACGAUUAUUGAUUAGUCUAUACUCUCAAAUUGGGCAAUUCUAAGUACCUAUACUUUCUGAAUUUUGAAAUUUCAGUCUUGAUGCAAAUGACAAUUGUUAAUCUAUUAAUUAGAUUUUUAGCGAGUAAUAUGUAAAAAUAACAAACUGGCAUAACAUUACACAUAUGAUAAUAUGUUUAUUGCACCGCAUUUGAAAAUAGCCGAAUUUAACAAAUAUCGUUAGUGAGGAUUGGAAAUUAGAGUCUAGGGAUUAAAUCCACAAGUUCAGUAAAUUACAAGAACUAAUGGUAGAAUUUAACCUUUAUAUAACCUUUAAAUUCUAACCGUGGUUUGCACACUACUCAGCCGACCAUUGGCUGUGGUGGGAACACAAACUGUUUGAAUUUGACAUCAGUGAUUGAAUUUUCAUAGCUAAUAUGUACGUUCCUUCAAUUUCUCCAUAGGAGGGAGUGGAAUACAUUAUAUAAGGUAAUAUUUGAUAUAUUCGGUAAAUGAAUAAUUGCAAGAUAUCUCAUUAUCUAGUAAAAUAAAUAAUGAAAAUUUUAUAAAUAAAUAUUAAUAAAAUAUUAUUACAUAUAUCAACAAUGACAUAGUAAGUUGCAUUAACUUUUAGAUGUUGACUAUUGACUUUUGCAUCAACCUUGAACUUACAUAGGCCCCUACAAUAAUUUAGGUUAUGGAAAUAAUCUUGCAAAUAAUGCUUGAGACAUCAUUAUACAUCAAUUUAUAGUUUUAAUUCUUGUACUUACUCAAUUGGAAUAAAGAUUUAGUUUUUUAUUUUCUUUUGAUACAAUGUCUAGAAUUAUCCAUAGCCCUUUUCCAACCCUUAAAUAAAUGAAUAAUGUGCUUCAGCGUACUCGAACUCACAUCUUCUUACAUUGACAAAUUGCUGAUGCCAAUUAGUUAAUGUUAAUGCUAUACUUUAGUUAAAAAUAACUAACAUUAUUAAAAAAUUCAUUAGUUGGCUCAUGUGGAUUUUUUUUCAAAAAAAUUGAAAUUAAGAACCAUAAAUUCUUUAAGACUUAAAAAUUAAAAUUAUGUGGUUAUUAAAAAAGAUUUAUUUUUUAUUAAAUUAUUAUUUAAAAUAAAUUUAUCUCAUCAUAAUGAUAUGAUUUUUUUCUUUAAAAAAUCCACAUUAACCAACUAAUAGAAUUGUAUAAAGCUGCCACCAAUCUCUUAGCAUGAUGGCAAAAGAUUCAGAGGCAGCCAGAAAAUCUUUUGAGGGGCGUGAAUAAAGUUAUAUAUUUUUAUAAUAGCAAAAGUGAAAUUUUAUUAUUAUAAUAGUUUAUAUCUUUAAUUUUUAAAAUAUUAAAUAAUUUUUUUCUUAUUUUUGAGGGGAUAAAGUAUAAGUUUAUCAUAUACUAAUUUUAAAAUUAUAAAAAGACUAAAUGUGAAAUUUUUCAUUUUAAGGGGUGGGGCCCUGUCAGGUCUCCUUGGCUUCACCUUGAUAAAAGUAUUAUGUAAUACGUAUAAAGUUUGAGUUUAAUCCCAAACAAUCUCAUUUCUUAUCCCUCAUUAUAAAAUAAUAAAAUAAAUAGAGCAAUUGAUAUGAGGAGACAAGUAUAAUAGGGCAAUUUUAACCUGGGCCAGAUUUCAAAACAAAACCCAAACCAAAUAAUAAAAGAGUCCAAAAUAAUUAAAACAAUCCAUCCAUUUUACAAACAAACCCAAAUUAGCAGCCCAAAUACAAAUUAAAACUCAAUAACCCAAAACUAACUAUAGCCCAAUUAGCUAAACACUUAAACGCAACAAAAAAAACCCUAUCCCCCUAAGCCUCCAACGCUGCAUGACCACCUACGCCGCACGUCGUCGCUGCCGCUCGAGGCUCGCCUAUCUUCGACCAUCCACGCAUCUGACACUUGCAAAACCAAGGCAACACGCAACAACAAAGGCCAAAUAGAGGAAACAACAAGGAAACAGACAAAAAAGGAAGAAACAAACAGUUUUGAUUCGGCUAUAAAAGCCCGAAUCUCACCCUUGUAAUUUUUUUGCGAACAUUAGAAAAUAAAAAAACAAAAACAACACUUUCAAGGUGAAUUUCUACUUUUAUUUCUGUUUUAAAUACUUAUUUGAUUCUAUAUUCAUAUUUUUAUUUUAUUUUUUAUAUAUAUACGAAAAUAAUAAAAUAAAAAAAGGAAGAAAGGGCUCACCGGAGACGCCCCGUGAUCGUGCCGUCAGAAGGCUCUUCUCCGUUGUUGCCAUCGGAUCCGAGAGGGGGUCGAGAGUCUUCCUCUUUCGCUUUUUUGGGUCGAGAGGGCUGGGCUUCCAAGGGAGCUGCGAAACGGGGGCUAAAAAUGCCCUUUUGCGCAACACCGACCACCGGCCACGACAGCACUACGACGGCGACCAUGGCCGGCCAAGGGGUGGGCUGAGAGAGAGACCAAGAGAUACUGAGAGAGUUCUCUGUUUUUUUAGAAAAAUGAAAGUUGAACCGUUUUUUUCUUCUUUUUUUUUGCUAUUUAUAUAGGGUAUAAUACGACGCCGUUUUGGACUUAAGCAUCAGUGGCCAAAACAAUGCCGUUUUGCAUCAGACCUGAAAAUCGACUCGAAUGCGGCCAGGAUCUGCGCGUUUUAGCUUUGAGGAGCUAUUUGCAUAUUCAGCCCUUCCGCUUUUGUAGUAUAGUGCAAUCUGGUCCUCGUUGUUUUUAUAUUUUGGCCGCAUAAUUUUUUGAUUGUUUUACUUUGGUCCGAGCUGAAACGCUGCGCAUAGGGGCUAGGAAUAUUGCCCAGUCGGUCCCUCAUUCCUUAAGCGCGCUCUAUUUCAGUCCCUAGCAACCCUUUUUUUUAUUUGUAAUUUAAACCCCAAAUUCUGGGUCGAUUUUAGUAUCAUCCUUAGUCCAUUUAAUUUAUUUGUUCACUAUUUUUUAUUUAAAAAACUCUUUUAUUAUUAUUUGUUUUAAGUUUUUUUAUUUAUCAUUUAUUUUAAAUUGUUUUACAUACUAUUUAUUUAAAUUUUUUAUAUAUUAGUCAUUUUAAACCAUUAUAUGUACAUUAUCUUUUAAAUUUUUAUAUACAUAUAUUUUUUUUAAAAAAAACUGUUGUAUGUUUCUUAUUUAUUUAUUUUAAACUGUUAUUAUUAUUCAUUUUAAGUUUUUAUAUACUGUUUAUUUGAAGCCGGUUAUUAUUUAUUUUUGAAUUGUUCUUAUAAAUUAUUUACUUUAAAUUAUUAUUUACUUUGAAAUUUUUUUGCAUAUUAUUUUGUUUUGUUUUUUUUAUUGUUAAUAUUAGUAUAAAAAUUAUAUACAUUGUGUGAUUAUUACCGCCAUGUGUACUAUAAUUAGUUUCUUCGUGUUUUCAUAUUAUUAUCACUCAUUAACAUAACAUUUUUUUCAUAAAUUGUUAUUUUAUGUUCUAUGUUAUCAUUCCAUUUCACUUCAUCACUUCGAAAGUUGCAUUCAAUUUGUAUUUACCCAUAAUAAACCGUUCUAUUUUGUCACAAAUAAAACAAAUGCACCUCGUUCAAGCAUUGUACUCACAAUUAUUCAAAACGGGGAAAAGUUUUAAAAUAAGACAAUAUUUCGCAUUUUGGAGAUUUGAGAAAUUGUACCCUAACUUACGGGGUUUCAAUUUUCUCGUUGAACCUAAAUAGCAAAAUAUCCUUCUAAUUUUCAAAAUUUACGAAAUUCCAAUAAAGUUAAAGGCUAGCUUAUUCUCAAGGGUUCUAAGUGUCGUGUCCUAACUUACGGGAUGUGACAUUUAUUAUCUCGAGACGAGAGGAUCUUUGACAUUCGUUUCAAUUUAUUCAAGCAAAUUCUUUUAAAUUAAAAUAGCGUUAACAAAAGGGGGAUCGUGUUUUAAAUUCUUUCGAAGUUUUUCAAUUUUUAACAUUUAGACAUUAAUUAAUCAAUUGAAUACCAAUUUUGGGCGUGACGAGGGUGCUAAUCCUUCCUCGCAUGUAACUGACUCCCGAAUCCGUUUUCUCAAAUUUCAUAGACCAAAAUCACUGUUUUGAUAAAUUAAAAUAUUUUAUUAAAACAACUAAAUUAUGAGGUGACCUAAUCACACCUCAUAAAAAAAAGAUUGGUGGCAACUCUCGUUUUAAUUUCCAUUUUCAAACCAACGUCGACCCUUUUAAAAAAAUGGUUUCAAUAUUAAGUUAUAAGUUGAAUGAAUUAAAAAUAUGUGAAAAGUGUAAAUAGAGACUCUUCAAUCUCAUUUCCUCUAAUGCUCUUUUUUUAAAUUUUUUUUUAAAUUUUUUAUGUACCUUUUAAAUAGUUAAUGAAAAUAAAAAUAUUUUGAUAAUUUUCACUUCGAAAUGCAAAAGCCAACAACAGUUUUUGACUACAAAAGCGGUGUGUUCUUCAUCACUUCUCAGUGGAAAAACACUUCUGCAAUGUAACAACACUUUUAACCCAAAACGGCUUUUUCACCACAAUAGAGAAUGCACCCUAAAAUUGUAAAUAGAAAAAAGAAGGAUCAAACAUUGUUUCUACCCUGUUUUUGUCUCCUCUUUGAAAAUACUUUCCAAAAAGUUUUAUCAUUUUUUUUUCUGUUUACAAAUUCCUUAUAGAAGUGCUUUCUUUUGAUCCACUUGCAUCAUUGUAAUAAGUUUGCAUUGCCUUCUAACUUUCUAUGUUGAUUACAGUUUAUUAAGUUUUCUGUUGGAUCUUAUAGUCAAAUUCCUUUACAUCAUGUAUGUUAAUUUGCUUAGCCCUGAUAAAUGUUAGAUAUAGGGUUAUCAGUGUCGAAACCACUUUUUUGGCGAACAAAAAUUAGUUGUUGACUUUAAAAACGAAAGUUGGAGUCGCCAUCGAUCCUUUAUUGGGGUGUGAUCGGCUCACCUUAAAAACGAUUUUGGUCUGCAAAAUUUGAGAAAACAGGUUCGGGAGUCGGUUACGCAUGAGAAAGAGUUAGCACCCUCUUAACGCCCAAAAUUGGUACCGAAUUAAUUAAUUAAGGUCUUAAUGCCGAAUAUCGAAAAUCUGUGAAGAAUUUAAAAAUACGAUCCUCCCUUUUUGUUAAUGUUAAUUUUAUAAAAGAUGCUUGGAUAAAUCGAAGCGAAUGCUAAAGACCUUUUUGUCUUGGAAUAAUAAAAUGUCACACCCAAUACGUUAGGACAUGACAUUUUAGUCCUCGAGAAUAAGCUUGUCUUUUGAUUUUCAAAGCUCGUGCGGUGAAGUUUAAAAAGGAUAUUCAAUUGCUUUAACUCAGAUGAAAAAUCGGAGCCCAAUACGUUAGGGCACAAUUUCUCAAAAUUCCGAGCAUUGAAUAUUGCCCUUAUUAUUAUUAUUUUUAAAAUCUUCAUCUCGAGAAAAUGACAUGUCAUAUCCAAUAUGUUAGGACACGACGUAUCGAAUUUUCGAGAAUGAGCUUUUUAUUUAUGCUUUAAUUAAAAAAGGAUACCCGGUUUCUUAGAUUCAACGAGGAAGAUUGGAAUCCAAUAAGUUAGGACACAAUCUUUUCGAGGAUCCUAAAUUCCGAGUGUCGCGUUAUUUUUGAAAAAAAACUUUUUGAAUAAAAAUGCUCUCGAUACUUGAAUGAUAUUAAACGUAACCUUUUAACAACGAAUAAAAUGCGACGGGACGAUAAUGUAUAACGCGGAAUGACGAUUUGUAAACAAAAUAUACUCUAACGAAUGACAAAUAAUCAAUAAAAACAAAUAAACAUUAUCAUACAUAUAAGAGCAAUAAUCACAUGUAAAUAUUAACAUCAACAUUUGAAAGCUAAUGACCUAAAAGCCUAUCGCAAAUACAACAAAUUUAAAAUAACUAAAAAAAAAGCAUGAGAGAAAAGAAAUUUGAAAUUAUCAACAUAUAUACACAAAAUACACGUAUAUAAAAAUUUAAAAGAAAUAAUUAAUAGGAAGACUUGAAAUAAUUUAAAAAUAGAAUUAAAAAUGAAUAAUAAUAUCUAAAUGAAUUUUAAAAUAAAUAUUAUAAGAAGAAAGUCAAAAUAAAUAAAACCCAAAAUAAUACACAUAUAUUAAUCUAAAUAGGUAAUAGAUAUAAAUUACGUAUUAUAAAAGAAAACUAUUUAAAAAGGGUAAAUUCUAUUGGAUUAACAUAAAAAUAUAAAAUAAUUUAUUAUGAAAUUAAAUAAUAAUAUAUGAUAAUAAUAUAAAAAAACUUAAAAUAAUAGUGCAUAAUAGAAUAAAAUAAUGAAUAUAAAAAGGUUAGAUAAAUUGAUAAAAAAUAAUACUAAUAAUAAUAAUAGUAGCAGUAAUAAUAAUAAUAAUAAUAAUAAUAAUAAUAAUAGUAAUAAUAGUAAUAAUGAUAAAUUAAUAUUAAAGUAAUUAAUUUGAUAGCAAAAAUAACAAAACAGAUUACUAAUUUGGAAUUAAAACAGAAAUUUAGGGGUAAGACGUGCAAUAAAAUGAAAUGAAAAGGACCUAAUUGAAAUUAAUUUAAAAUCAGACUGACUAGCAAAGAAAUUAAACGCACAAGUCUCACCUGGCAAUCAAGUCAGAUCAUCAGAAACGGCGUCGUUUCGAACGUUUGUCUCCUCAACUGACAGAAGGACGAAAUUGAAAGAAAUAUCGAAUUAUGUGGCAAAAUUAAAAAAGACAAAGAAGGAUUAAAAUGAAGUAAAUAAAAAACAGAAGGACCAAACAGGAGAAUAAGCCAUUGAAACAAAACACGCGGAUCCUCCCCGGGUCAAAUCGGAUCAUCGGGUCAACCAACACGGAGACGUUUUGAAGCCAUUAAAUCGGGCUUAAACGGCACCGUUUUAUUAUCGUUAAAAACCUAAAAAAAUAAAACCCUAAUAAUUUGUUUUGCCAUCCUAAAACAGAUCAAGAGCCUAGCCUUCUCCCCACCGGUCUCCACUCACGAACCCAAUCUGACUCCGAUUCAGACGGAGCAAACCAGAUUCCAAUGGCGUCUGCUCUGGUAAGACGCUUCUUCUCUCCCUCUUUUUUUUUCGUUUGGUGCCAAAGAAGAAAACAAAGAAUCAAAGAAAUAAAAGAGAAAAAAAAACGAAGAAAAUCACCUUUCGAAAAAACUUUCUGUUUUGAUUUUUUGUUUGUAUUCAAUAUGCGUAAAAAAGGAUUACAAUGGCCUUCUCCCUCUUUAUAGCCGAAUAUUCGAAAUAAAAUGAAAGAAAAUACAAAAAAUUCUCUCUGCUGCGUUGUUUUCGUCUUCUUUGCAGGUAAGGAGGCUAGCUGGCGUAAGGAGGUGGUGGACGUGGCACAGCACACUCGGGGAAGGCCCUGGUGGCUGCGGCGCUGGAAGGAGGGCUGUUGCAGCUAGGGUUUUCUGAUUUUUUUUUGGGCUAGGGUUGGGUUGAUAGUUGUAUUGGGCUAGGUAUUUGGGCUGGGUGUAGUUGGACUAGAUGUAUCUGACUUUGGGUUUGUACCGGGUCACUGUAAAUGGGUUUGGUUUUUGUUGUUAUUGGGCUGUGAACUAUUUGAGUUUUAAUUAAUUUUUAUUUAUUUGGUUUUUUAUUGUGGGCUGGGCAAAUUGGGUAUUACAAUCAGCUAAUUAGGAAAGACUGUGAUGAUAGUCACACCUUACAUCCAAAAGCAAAGCUUUUUUUACAUGUGUAUGUAAGGUUGCUAAGCAAAUCUGGUGAGCCUUCACUGCUGUUUUAAGGUUAAGUUAAUGUUCCUUUUCGGCAAAGAACAUUAUCGAGAUCACGGUAUUUUGAUCGCCUUUUGCUUCUUGUUAUUCGUUCUGAAACGAUUGCAUAAUCUUUACUGUGAUUGCAGGAUAUAGAGCAACUUUUGAAUUUCAUCGCUGUAAAGUGUUUAGGACCACGACAUGUUCUUGCAAAUUUGAAGAAGCUUCUAAGGUCUGUCCAGUCUUCAGAAUAUAUAGAUACCUGAAUUAAUUUUGAUUUUGUAGGAUCAACUAUAAUUAGCUACUUAUUAGAGUAUGAAUAGACAACCUCACCUUCUUCACACACUGACACGUGCGGAUUUUUUGCCAAUCCCAUUUCAAAGGAUCACACUUUUUUGUUGUUUACAGAAUCAUAAUUAAUGUUAAUUAAAGUGGAAUAUUUCAGAUUUCUGAUGAUGAGCAUAUUCUUGAGUAUUGCAGUAAAAAAAUGGGUGCGGAACUUAUUUGAACUUUGAAUGUAUGUUUUGUUGGUGAGAAUAUAAAGUUGAUAAAGAUUUGGUAAAUAGAAUAAAAUACUAUUUUUUAUUAGAAAAAUUAUUUGGUAGACUGCCAAUCGAUUUAUAAUUAUCAUGACGCAAUAUUAAGGGUAAUUAAAACAUGUCAUAUUACAAAUAAUAAAAUUAUAAUGACUCAAAUAUACGAACAUGUCAAAAUUUAUGUACAACGAAUUAUUAACAUGUCAAUGUAUAGUAUAAUAUGGUACGCAAAAAUAAGAUAAUUGCUUGUCUUUAAUUGAAUUGUUAUAACACAUUAUACAAAAUACAUUGUGAAUUAAAGCAUAAUAUAAUCAUGAUAUCAAUAUAUUAAAUUUUUUAAAAAUUCGAUGAUACGAAUAAUUAUGUAAAAUAUCACAUGAUACAAAAUGACUUGAGAGGAAAAGAGGAACAAAGACUUGCNNNNNNNNNNNNNNNNNNNNNNNNNNNNNNNNNNNNNNNNNNNNNNNNNNNNNNNNNNNNNNNNNNNNNNNNNNNNNNNNNNNNNNNNNNNNNNNNNNNNNNNNNNNNNNNNNNNNNNNNNNNNNNNNNNNNNNNNNNNNNNNNNNNNNNNNNNNNNNNNNNNNNNNNNNNNNNNNNNNNNNNNNNNNNNNNNNNNNNNNNNNNNNNNNNNNNNNNNNNNNNNNNNNNNNNNNNNNNNNNNNNNNNNNNNNNNNNNNNNNNNNNNNNNNNNNNNNNNNNNNNNNNNNNNNNNNNNNNNNNNNNNNNNNNNNNNNNNNNNNNNNNNNNNNNNNNNNNNNNNNNNNNNNNNNNNNNNNNNNNNNNNNNNNNNNNNNNNNNNNNNNNNNNNNNNNNNNNNNNNNNNNNNNNNNNNNNNNNNNNNNNNNNNNNNNNNNNNNNNNNNNNNNNNNNNNNNNNNNNNNNNNNNNNNNNNNNNNNNNNNNNNNNNNNNNNNNNNNNNNAUGGUCUUCUAGGCUUGGUACCUAGUUUUCCAUUCUUUUUAUCCGUUCUAAUUCCACUUUUGCUUUAGUAAAAUUUUCUUAUAGCUAAGAAAGAAAAAAAAAACUAUUAACAAGUAAUUAUAUAUAUAUAUCAGGUUUUCAAUUGCUUUCAAGACUCAAUAACUUGGAAACUCUCGAUUUAAGUCGGAAUUCUUUUAAGAAUAGCAUUUUGUUCCAUAUGAGAAAUCUUUCAUCCUUGAAGACUUUAAGAUUGAGCGGUAAUCAGUUGAAAGGAAGGCUGGAUCAUAUUCAAGGUAGACUAAUUUUACCUGUUUCUUUUUAACUUUAAAAAUCAAUGUAUGCUCAAGUUUGAUUUUAUCAUACGAUGAAUGUAUAUAACUAAUCAAUAUUUGGGAUUGAAUUUCAGGAUUGAAUAAUUUGACAAAUUUGAAGUACUUGGAUUUAAGUUGGAACGACAUUGAAAGCAUCUCAAACAAAGGUAUAAGUAUUUGUGCAAAACUUUCUUGACCGACUCUUAUUCCAAAAGGCAAUGACAGACUUCAAAUGUAUUUUCUUUAGUGAAUUUUUAUUGCAAAAAUGGAGUAUUAUUAUUUAUUUAUGUUUUGUAGUAACUAAUUAUAUAAUAUAUAAAUCAGGUUUUCAACGGCUCAUUAAAUUGGAAAUUAUUGAUAUAAGUUGGAAUUAUUUGAAGAAUAGCAUUCUUUAAAAUAAAUUCAUGUUGAAGGAAAAGUUGUUGCAAUAAGUCAUUUGAUUUUAUCAUAUCAUGAAUAUAUAUAAGUAAUCAAUAUUUGGGAUUGAAUUUCAAAAUUGAGUAAUUUAAGUAGGAAGGUAUCUCAAACAAAGUAUUUAUAUAUUGAAUCAAUUCAUGGGAAAGCUUGUAAAUUGGCUCUUCCUUCUCAAACAAUCAUUUUUCCUAACUUUUUAUAUCUUGAAUGAUAUUAACUAUACUCAUUAUUUUCUUCCAAUGAUAGAUGGAACACAAUGGAGGCUAACAAACUUAGAGGAACUUGAUUUGAGUGGUAAUCUCUUUCGGAACAACACAAUUUCCUUUCCUCAAGGGCUUUCAAGCCUAAAGUCUUUGACUUUGUACAACAACCAUUUGCAAGGCUCAUUAGAUACUAUAGGUACCAAAGCUAUAACUUUGUUUUUCUUGAUAAUUCUUUCUAGAACCUUUUAAAAUUAAUUGUUUCAAAUUUGAACAUUCACAUUUCACUUUUGAGGAUUUUCAUCUUCACUUCCAGUUUUAGAUUUACUUUUUUUUUCAUUUUUAUUUCAUUAAAAUAUUAAGUAGAAAUUAAAAUUAUUAACAUAAUGAUUUUUUAAAUUGUACGUGGAUAUGUAUAGGAUUGAGCAAUUUAACAAAUUUGAAGAAACUCGAUUUAAGUGGGAAUCAAAUUGAAAGCUUUCAAACCUUUAAAGGUAUGCAUUUAUAUUUAACUAAUUACCUAAAUUCUUACAUAUAAUUAAAUUUUAUGCCAAUUCAUUUCAGUGAUGAAAUUAUAUAAAUCUUUUGUAGAUGGUGGUAGAAAAUUGGAGUUGACCCACUUGGAAGAGCUUUAUUUAGAUGGAAAUCACUUCAAUACUAGUGUAUUUGCAUCCCUUAACAAGCUUUCAAAUUUGAAAUCUUUGAGCAUAAGUGAGAAUCAAUUGAAAGGAUCAAUAGAUAUGAAAGGUAAAAAUAUUAGUUUUUUAACAAGAAUAUAAUAAUGUUUGAAGAGAAUAUAAUGAAGUUGAUUUGUUGUUUUUGUUUUCCUAGAUUUGGAAGCAUUUAUCAAAUUAAGGGAACUAGAUAUGAGCUAUAAUGAAUUGAGAGAUUUUGUGAUCCACCAAGGUAUCAUUUAAUUAAUUUUCCUUUUUUUUUAAUUUAGAAAUUUAGUUUUGAUCUAUGAUAUUAUAAUAACAGUUAUUGUCAUAAAUAUUAAUAAAGUUAUAUCAUAUCAUACUUGAAAGUAAAAUAUGGGUUUGGUGAAACAUUUUCUAAACCCUCCAUUAUAAUGUGUUUCGACUUUGGUUUGAAACUAAAAUUCUUUAAAUUUUUCAUAAUUUUUAAAUAUUAAUGUUUAUAAUUAUUUUGUUUGUAUAACUAUGUUUUUAAAAUAAUUUAUUGAAUUUUUAUGAGAUAAAAAAUAAUUAUAACGAUAAAAAAUGAUAUUAUAAGUAAAAAUACAUAUAUUUAUGGGAAAAUAUGUAAUAUAACUAUAUUUUAAUUUCAUAUAUUUUUAAUAGUAUAAAACAUAAAAAUACAUAUUAGAGUUAAAUAAAUGGCAUUUUUUGGCCAAAAAUAAAUAAAUGUCAAUUUUGAAUAAUAUAAAAAAAAACUUCAAUUUUAUGAAAUUUAAACAUACAUUUUGAGGUGUUUAAACUUUUUUUUUUAACUUUUUAUAAAUUUCAAAAUGCACAUGUUGUUAAUUUUUUGGUUUUAAAAAAUGUGAUAGGUCUAUGUACUCUUUACAAAUUUGUAAUUUAAUUCUUGUAUUUUUAUUUUCGGGAAUUUGAUCCCUCUAUUUUUUAAAUUUUAAAAUCCAAGUUCAAUUGUUAACAUUGUUAUUUUUUUAAAAAAUAAUUUAUUGGUGUUGACAUUUUAAAAUAAAAGAACUUGGUAGCGAUGUAACUAAAAGAUGAUGUAAUGAACAUGGAUUUAAUAAAAUAAUUUCAACCGUAUAAAUAGUUAGACUUGAAUUUUGAAAAAAAAAAUUUGUAAAGAGAAAAAUAUGCACAUUAGAUUUAAAUAAAAAUAAUAUUUUUUUUAGUUUAAAAUUUUCUAUUUUAUAAUAGAACCAUUGAUUUAAAUAAAUGAGAUUUUGAAGAAUUUCCAAAAAAAAAAAACUAUGUAGGUGAAAUUUAAAUAGAGAAUUUGAUAAGCUGAAAUUCUCUUUUGGAAUUCAUAAAUUUUAAAAUUCAGAAGCAUGUAUUUUGACAAUUUUGAUUUAAUAUGGUGAAUUUAAUCAAAAAAUUAUUUAUUAGAUUGUAAAAUAUUUCUUAACAUUUAUAAUUGAGUACAAAGUAAAUUAAGUUUAAGGGAAAAUAUUGGGUACUAUUAAUGAAAUUCUUUUCUUUUAUCAAUUUUUUUUUAAAAAAAUCGGGGUGGUACUAUUAAUGAAAUUCUAAACUUCAUAAGUAGGAUUGAGAUAAUAACAAAUUUCUUAUAUGGUAUAGUAAAAUAUUAAAAAAUAAAUAUUUAAAAGAAAUAGGUUAGUGGCCAUUUUUUAACUUCACUUGUAGAGUUAAAAAACUCCAUUACCAGUACCAAAUACUAACAUUAAGGUUAAAUGCUAAUUGAUUUCAAACAUAUUUGAGUUUUUUAAAAGAAUAUUCUCAUAUAUUUAAAAGAAAACAACACAAAGUUAGAAGAUCUCAUCUUGAAGGGUAAUUCAUUUACCGGUCCUCUCACAUUACCGUCAGCUCCUAACUCUAAAGUGUCUUUAAUUGACAUAUCCCAAAACAAAUUGCAAGGUCAGAUUCCAACCAACGUGUGUUCACAUUUUCCACAUUUGAGCCACUUAUUCUUAUCCAAGAAUGCCUUCGAAGGUGAUAUCCCUCCUUGUUUGAGUGGCAUGAAGGAUUUAUCGAUUUUAGAUUUAUCAGACAAUCAAUUGUCUGGAAGAGUACCUGAAGAGUUAAUCACAAAAAACUCGUUGACCAUUUUGAGACUAUCAAACAACAACCUCAGUGGACAUGUGCUUCCUGUGAUUCUCAAUGCAAAUGGGCUGUCAAAAUUAUAUUUGGAUGGAAAUAAUUUUUCUGGGGAGAUGGCAAAUGUUGAUGUCUCUAUUUCUGAGUUUCCAACUUCACUAAGGGAAAUUAAUCUCGGAAAUAACAAGUUUUAUGGAAACCUCCCAAGAUGGAUGGGGAAUGUGUCAUUUUUGGAGAGAUUAGCUUUGUCCCAAAAUGGUUUCGAGGGUUCUAUUCCAAUGGAAUUUUGCAACUUGAAUCGCUUGGAAUUUUUGGAUCUCUCUGAAAACAAUUUAUUUGGCUCUAUACCGUCCUGCUUUAAUACCCUAAACAUAAAGCAUGUCCACCUGCACGGGAGUAGACUAAGUGGCCCACUACCAAUCGCUUUUUAUAAUAUCUCUUCACUGGUUACGUUAGAUCUUAGAGGAAACAAUUUGACUGGUAGUAUUCCAAAAUGGAUUGGCACACUUUCUUCAUUGAGUGUUCUUCUCUUGAAAGAUAAUCAUUUUCAUGGUGAAGUUCCAGUUCAGUUAUGCAAGUUGGAUUCUUUAAACAUCAUAGAUCUUUCUCAAAAUAUGUUUUCUGGUAUUAUACCUUCUUGUUUGGGAAAUUUAACCCUUUCAACGGAAACAAAUAAGAUUCUAACUGAUUCGAAAAUUAGUCCAAGGUUAACAGGGGACGGAUUAGUGAAAACAUUGGGAGCUCUCGGAAAUUAUUACUAUCCUGAAGGCUACUUAGAAGAAGUAAUAGAGUUCACAACAAAGAGUGGGUUCUUAUCGUAUGAGGGAAACAUCCUUACAUAUAUGACCGGGAUUGAUUUAUCUUGCAACAACUUAACUGGUCAUAUCCCACCAGAAUUAGGGAACUUAAGUGAAAUCUAUUCUUUAAACUUGUCGCAUAAUAAGUUGACAGGAGUUAUACCCUCAUCAUUCGCAAAACUUCAUCAAAUUGAGAGUUUGGACCUUUCUUACAACAAUUUGAGUGGUGAAAUCCCCAAUCAGUUGGUAGAGUUGAACUCUUUGGAGGUUUUCAACGUGGCAUACAACAACUUGUCAGGUAGUAUUCCCGAACCAAAAGCUCAAUUUGGGACCUUUAUUGAAAACAGUUAUGAGGGAAAUCUUUUUCUUUGUGGAGCUAUAUUGCAUAAAAGUUGUUCCAAAACCGAUUCACCAUCAACGAUAUCAACUCUAUCAGAAUAUAAAGGAGAAGAUGGUUUGAUAGGUACUUAUGAUUUUUGUGUGAGCUUUUUGGUUUCUUAUGUAGUUGUGUUGUUGACCAUUUUUGUUGUCCUCUACAUAAAUCAAUACUGGCGAAGAGUUUGGUUUUCUCUCAUUGGGAAAUGCAUCACCACCUGUCGCUACUCAAAUGUGGGCAAUUUUCUUACUUAUCACAUUUUCAAGCAAUGAGUUUAGCUACUCAAAUUGUAAUUUGAUUUUCACACCUAAAUGUUUAAUUAUGCUAAGUUGAGCGAUAAUGAAUAUUUUGUUGAUUUUUGCAUUUUAAAUAAAAGCUCUUUGAUCUUAUGAUUUUAUCAUUUUCAACCAUCUAUUUCUUUUUUCUUCUAUGAAAUUUAAUGUAAAAUCAUAAUCCAUUAUUAUGUAUAUGCAAUAUCUCUUUGAAUUAAAUUAAAUUGAAUACCAAGCGUUCACUAGUGCAUACUGAAAAGGAAAUCUAAUGUAAAAUUAAACCAAACAUACUAGAAAAAUGAAUCUGAAACUGAAAUAUUUUAAAACCUCAAAAACAAUGCAAUUCUUUAUUCCUCUUUUCCUUUCAAGUUAUUUUGUAUCAUGUUAUAUUUUACAUAAUCAUUCAUAUCAUCAAAUUUUAAAAAAUAUUUAAUAUUUUGAUAUCAUGUUCAUAUUAUGCUUUAAUUCACAAUGUAUUUUAUACAAUAUGUUAUAACAAUUCAAUUUAAAAAACAAGCAAUGAUCUUAUUUUUGCAUACCGUAUUAUACAUUUACAUGUUAAUAAUUCAUUGUACGUAAAUUUUGACAUGUUUGCAUAUUUGAGUCAUUAUAAUUUUAUUAUUUGUAAUAUGACAUGUUUUAAUUACCCUUAAUAUUGUGUCAUGAUAAUUAUAACUCGAUUGGCACCAAAUAAUUUUUCUAAUAAAAAAUAGUAUUUUAUUCUAUUUACCAAAUCUUUAUCAACUUUAUAUUCUCACCAACAAAACAUACAUUCAAAGUUCAAAUAAGUUCCACACCCAUUUCUUUACUGCAAUACUCAAGAAUAUGCUCAUCAUCAGAAAUCUGAAAUAUUCCACUCUAAUUAACAUUACGAUUCUGUAAAAACCAAAAAUGUGUGAUCCUUUUUUAAAGCUCUUUUUUUUUUCCUUUAAUGAAAUGGGAUUGGUAAAAAAUCCGCACAUGUGUCGUGUGUGAAGAAGGUGAGGUUGUCUAUUCAUUCUCUAAUAAGUAGCUAAUUAUAGUUGAUCCUACAAAAUCAAAAUUAAUUCAGGUAUCUUUAUAUUCUGAAGACUGGACAGACCUUAGAAGCUUCUUCAAAUUUGCAAGAACAUGUCGUGGUCCUAAACUCUUUACACCGAUGAAAUUCAAAAGUUGCUCUAUAUUCUGCAAUCACAGUAAAGAUUAUGCAGUCAUUUCAGAACGAAUAACAUAACAAGCAAAAGGCGAUCAAAAUACCGUGAUCUCGAUAAUGUUCUUUGCCGAAAAGGAACAUUAACUUAACCUUAAAACAUCAGUGAAGGCUCAUCAGAUUUGCUUAGCAACCUCACAUACACAUGUAAAAAGCUUUGCUUUUGGAUGUAAGGUGUGACUAUCAUUACAGUCUUUUCUAAUUAGCUGAUAACCCUGUAUCUAACAUUUAUCAGGGCUAAGCAAAUUAACAUACAUGAUGUAAAGGAAUUUGACUAUAAGAUCCAACAGAAAACUUAAUAAACGAUAAUCAACAUAGAAAGAAGGCAAUGCAAACUUAUUACAAUGAUGCAAGCGGAUCAAAAGAAAGCACUUCUAUAGGGAAUUUGCAUUUAAGGCAUCGUAAACAGAAAAAAAAAUGAUAAAACUUUUUGGAAAGUAUUUUCAAAGAGGAGACAAAAACAGGGUAGAAACAAUGUUUGGUUCUUCCUUUUUCUAUUUACAAUUUUAGGGUGCAUUCUCUACUGUUGUGAAAAAGCCUUUUUGGGUUAAAAGUGUUUUUACACUGCAGAAGUGUUUUUCCACUGCAGAAGUGAUGAACAACACAUAGCUGUUGUAGUCAAAAACUGUUUUUGGCUUUUGCAUUCAAAAGAGAAAAUUAUCAAAAUACUAUUAUUUUCAUUAACUAUUUAAAAGGUAUAUAAAAAUUAGAUUAAUUUAUAUUUUAUAUAUUAUUAUAUUAAAUUGUUUAAAUCUUAUUUAUUAUUAUAUUUAAUUUUUUCAAAAUAUUUUAUAUAUUAUCAAUUUUACAACUAAUUAACAAAAUAUUUUACUAGGGAAUACGUAUAUGUGAAUAUCUAUAAAUGGCAUGCCUGGAUAUGCAUAUCCUUUGAUAUCAAAUAUUUUGAAAAAAAUAUUAUCAAUUCCACUGAUAUAUUAUCAAUUCCACUGAUAUAAAGCUCUUUAUAUUACCAAUAUAAAUAUAAAUAUUUUGAAUAUAAAUAUCCAUUGAUAUAUUAUCAAUUCCACUGAUAUAAAGCUCUUUAUAUUAUAAAUAUUUUAUAUUUUUUUUCAAAAAUAUGGAUAUGCAUAUCCUUUGAUAUCAAAUAUAAAGGUAAUAUUUAUAGGAAUUGUUUUUUAAUUAGAUAUUUUUAUAUAUCAGUGGAAUUGUCAAAAUAUUUUCAUUAACUAUUUAAAAGGUAUAUAAAAAGAGCUUUAUAUUGCCUCAAGCGCAAGGCACAAAAUGAAGCGCUAGCCUGUGUGCAGUAAAGCGCAAUACGUAUAUGUGAGAGUUUUUGCAAGUCUGUGUGUCUAUAACAUAAAAGUUUAAGAUAUAUAGUAAACUCUAAAGUGUGGUCUGGUUUAUCCACAAAACUUGAAAUUUUUUUAUAGGUGAAUGCUCAAAUAUUGAGAAUUAUAGAGUUUGAUAUUAUCCCUUCCUUAUUAGUAAAGGUAUAUCAAAUGAAAACAGUGAAAAAUAAAAUAAAUUAUUGAGAAAUUCAACAAGGCAGGUUUUUCUAAUGCCCAUUGCCUUACAAAAAAAGUGUGCCUAGGUGCACCAGGCAUGCGCUUGAUCAAAUGGACCUCACCUGGAAGGGUCCAAGGCGUUUUGUUGUAUAAAACUAAGGCGUAGGCAUGCCUAGGCGCAUGCCUUGACGACACUGACCAUAUGUUGGCUUUAUUGCAAAGCAUUAGCAAUUCAAAACUACUAGCACAUUACCUAAUCUACUACUGCUAGAAUAGGACUCAAGUUCUUGCUCCUGUGCAGGUCCAACCAAGAUCUUUACAGGAUACAGUAAUGAAACUUGUGAUAUCAUAUAUUGUUGCCUUGCUCGAAGCUUCCUUUGCACAUUUUUAAGUUUAACACAACCCCUUUCUUCAGUGAGUAAUCUAUUUGCUUCCUGUGAUAAAAACAACAUAUAAUCAAUCAUGCCAUGCAUGCAAGACUACCAACCAUCUUAAAAAAGAGACAAAGAAGUAGGACAGCAAGAAGGGGAUAACCCUUGACUAUGCAAAGGAAUUCAUAGAAUGAGAAUCAUCUCAUCUAAGCCCCUCAACCACCUUCACAGGGGGUGGAGCUGCAAAAAGAGAUGUCUUAUUGAUCCAAGAGGAGAAUAAAUAACAUCUAAAGCUGAAUAAGAAGAAACCUUCAAAUGUAUCAUAAAUUCAGCAUUCAUGAUAAUAUCAAAAUGAAAUUCCAAAGCUAAUUUAAGCUAGAAUAAAAAUGCUUCACCUGUAAUCGCUUCCUUGCUACAGAAAGAGAGGUACCAGCAACCAACAAUGAUCUUACUUCAGUACUAAGCAUUUCCUCCUGUUUUUUAGCAUCCUCUGUUGCAACUUUGCAACGAGUUGACAUUUUGCCAUAACUACUUUCCUUGCCUCUAGUCUCUCACGCAUUUCCUCAAGCUCGUUCAGUUUAUUCAAAGACUCAUUUUUUACCUGCACAGCAUGUUCCCGCCCAUUAAUCAGUGGGCCAAUUGAUUAGGUCACAGAAGACAAAACUAAAUUACCACUCACCAGGUCCCCUUGAAGUGUCAUAUGGCUUUAACAAUUCAACGUGCAAUAUCUAGUAAAAGUAAAAUAAACAUAGAAGAAAGCAAAUGCAAUUCUUAAACGCCUUUAAAUGGACAACAUGAAACAGUUUAAGAGCCCUAUAAAACAGUAAAGUGGAAAAAAAAUCUGAAAAGGAAAAAGAAAUGAAUUGAAACAAUAAAUCCAUCAGGUACAAACAGCAACAAAACUUGAAAUAAGCUUUGGCUUUAGCCCAUUAAAGCCCGGGCAUCCAGCCAAAUAAACAGUGACUGCCAUGUCAACUUUUUGAGACGGUAGAAAAGAGAUCGAAAAUCUCAAUUUCCAAAAAUAAGGACAUAAGAAGUAAAAAAAUGCACUUAUUCUUACAGUAGAAGAGCAAAAUGAAACUAAAUGAAGCAUAAGGGAACUGAUGCGAAUUGACAUUGUCAUUUUUGGGACUAAAAAGAAUACGCAGAUUGAAUAUUUAAGAUUUGGAAGGGAAAAGUUCCAUUCACCAACACAAUUAUCGUCGCCCUUCAUCCUAGUAAAGCUUAAUUGACAAUUUUUCUGUCUCGUGUUCUUGCUAAAGCAUUUGAGCAACCCAACAGAAAUCAUUAUAUUUCAAACUGAAAUGAUUGGCUUUAUCAAUUUCACAACCUAUACCGCCCAACCUAGUAAGUAAUUUAGGUGCAGACACCAGAAAUCUAUUUCCUUUGCACUCUACAACUAAAUAGCCUACCACUUAUCAAUCAAACACAGCUGAAAACUUCAGUGAGGAAACAUUAUGAAAACUGAAAAAACUAUAACUUCAACUUGAUUCAUAGCUCGGCAAGUUCAGGGAAUUGGGACUUCUACCACCAUGAUCCAGUUCGAUGUGAAACAGUGAUCUAUAUCACGCAUAUCGGUUCCCGCAACAAGAGGUAAAACAGCAAAUUAGGUAAACGAUGAUCCUACUAUAUUUCAGAAUAGCAACAUUGAGCAUGAAAGCUAAAGUUAUAGCAUAUUAUGGGUCCUUGCUCUCUACAACUACAUAUAAAAUUACUAAACAAUAUUACUACAUUAAGGAUCCAGAAAAACUUUGUUUCAAUUGUUGAUCACUUGAUCCAACUAUUUUAGAAAGUUUAUUCUUCUUUUUCCUUUCCCUUAUUUUCUAAAUCAGGAAAAACAGUAGCACAUAAACUGGAUUACUACUCCAAGUUUCUAAAAUUUCAGCAAUAUCCCUUUAACCUUUUCACUCAAGUCACUACCCCCCCAAUUAACAAAUAUAUUCCCAGUUUCCCUUUCACUUCAAACCCCCUUUUUUUUUUCUCUACCCAAAUUCAGCUUAAGUUCAAAAACCCAAAAUUGGUUUGCUAAAAAUACAUAAUUUUCAAACACAAAGGUAACCUAAUUUUAAUCAGAAAAAAAAAGCAUUACCUGAAUUAGUGAAUGGAGUUUCUCUUGAAGACUUUGUUUUAAAACUAUCUUAUACUAUUUGCUUUAAAUCGAUUUUUAUUAGCUAUUUAAAACUCGUUUUCAUGUAUUAUUUAUUUUUUUAUCACUUAUUUAAAUUGUUUUACAUAUCUAUUUUUUAAACCCUAUUUUAUUAUAUUUUACUUAUUUUAACUUUUUUACAUAUUUCAUUAUAAAUAUUAUUAAUUAUCUAUAUUGAGUUUUUCAUUCCAUAUGUAUUACUUAUUUAGAUAAAUAUAUACUAUUUUGUGUAUUACUUAUUUUGAUUUUCUUCUUAUACAAUAUUACUUUAAAAUUCAUUUAGAUAUUAUUAUUUCACGUAGUAUUUAUUUUUAUCUUCAUUUUUUAUUUAUUUCAAACUCAUAUAUUGUUUAUUUUGAAAUUUUAUGCAUAUGAUUUAUUGUUUAUAUUGAUGAUUUUAAAUUUCCUUUCUUGCAUGUUUUUUUUAUUUAUUUUAAAACUUGUUAUACUUUAUUUGUGUUAAUUUGCUUAGUUUUUCUUUCAAAAUUAACUUAUAAUUCAUUAGCUUUUAAUGUUAGUAUUUGCACAAUAUGUGAUGUAAGAUUAUUGCUUUCCUGUAUUGCUUAUCUGUAUAUAUUGAUUAUUUGUCAUUCAUUAGUAUACAUUUUGGUUUACGAAUUGACUAAUUUACCAAAAAAAGCCAUUUUUUUAUAAAUUACCGAAAUAGGCCGGUUUUUUAAUUAUUUACCGGAAUGGGCCAUUUCCCCCGAAAUCGCGCCACGUCGAAGCGAUGUCAGGGGACGGGGCAGAAGGUCGCGUCCACGUCAGAGCGACCUACUGACGUGGAAGGAAAUCGCUCCCCUGAGGGCGCGAUUUCCUUCCACGUCAGCAGGUCGCGCUGACGUGGACGCGACCUCCUGUCACUUUGCGCGGUACCGGGAAUGCGAUUUUGACCCUGAUUUUUACGCCUAGGUUUUAUGGCUUUUAGGGUUUAGGGUGCAGGCUUUUUAGGAGUUAGGGGUCCGGGAAAAUUAUUUUUCGAGUUGACGUUUCUGGUUAAAUAGUGGGAAAUCGCUUAUACUAGGAUGCUAUUUAAGAAGAAAUUGUGAAAUAGUGGCCUCGUGGACGCGAUUUCGCUACAGUGGUCAUGUGAGAAAUAAUUUUUUUAGACGUUUUCUGAGGAAAUAGUAUAAAAUCGCUGAUACCAGGAUGCUAUAUGAGAAGAAAUUGUGAAAUCGCGCCCUCGUGGACGCGAUUUCGCUACAGUUGGUCAUGUAGGAAAUAAUUUUUUUUGACGUUUCUGAGUAAAUAGUGUCAAAUCGCGCCCUCGUGGACGCGAUUUCGCUACAGUAGCAAGUUUGGGCUGAGGUUAUAAAUUAGGCAGAGAAUUUUCUUAGAAUGCAUAACUCAGAGCAGAAACAUUUUAGGUUAGGGUUAGGGAAUUUAGAGUUUCAAAAUGAGUGAAUGUAUUAGUGCUGUUAUUUACUACGAUGGUGAGGUUUGCCACACCGAGAAUGGUGUUGUUUUUUUGUCGAAGAAUACGAUGCGACUGUCAUUUAGCCAAAACAUAGAUUUGACAGAACUCCGUAAAAGAAUUAGGCGUAAAAUCUUCGGAACCACGCCAAUGAAAGUUCAGUCAAUGACGUAUCGAUUUUGUUCUUCUGUUGAUUCGGUGACAUAUGACUCGUUCGACAUAAAAGGUGCUCGUAGCUUAGAGGCAAUGGUGCAGACUCAUCUUGCUAGCGGAGCAACUUAUAUUGAGUUAUAUGUACAAUUUACGUCACCAAAUGAUGUACUUUCGUCCGGUGUUCGAGAUGUAUACACGACCCCUGGCCGACACUCGGUUAGUGUGUUACAAAAUACGGAACAGCCCAUGUUCGGUAGCGGUGUCGAAUGCACAUCCCCCCAAGACACUCUGUCGGUGGAUGGGACAUGUACGUCGGUGGCUCGACGGUUGACGCUGGAAAUACGAGCUGGUACGUUCAUUCUCUUAUUUUAUUUUAUUUCAUAUUUUGGGAAAUUUAGAACGAUAAGCGAAAAUGAAUAUAUUCAGAUUAGCAGGGGACAUGACCCAUUUGUUUAGUGUUCUUGUUUUGCUUCUUAAGAUCCACACAAUCAAGUCUUGUGCUGGUACGUUCAUUUUCCAAAUAUUUACUUUACUUUUUGUUUCUGGGCUUAUUUCAUUUUAUGUUGUACUUUUUUCCCAGUAAUUUACUGCUUAAUAUAAAAGAAUCGAAUAUUUAGGUUAAAUUGUGGGUGGGUUUUUGCUAGUUUAUUGAAUACUCAAAUUGGAGCCAUGUAAAAUGUGGAAACUUUAGCUUGAUAGAAAAUGUGACCCCCUUUUUUUUUAAUGUAUGGAAUAAAAAUUUUUGUAUUUUGUGAAUUUUUUUUUAGUAAUUUGAAUUUGUAUGUAUGUUCAUUGGAAGUUUAGAAGCAAGGAGUUCUGAUCAUUAGGACUUUAUGUGAUUCAUUCAUUUUGAGUUAUAGUGUAGUUAGUUGUUGGAUUUAGUGUCACUGUUGGCAUCUUAUUUUAGCUGAUUUCCUUUCUAUUUGUACCGAUAAACCUCUAGAGGUUUUGAAAUUAGCAACUGAUUUUUUUUAUGUGUGAGAGUUUUUAUGGAAAUCAAUAAGCUAAUUACAUUUUGCAGGAUCAUACAGUCGGGUUAGUGGUUUUUAUGUCAUGCUGGCCUAUGGUUUUGAGAUGAACAUCAUGAAAUCUGUAUAAGAUGAGGGUAUUAAACUAUAAACAUAGCCGAGGUAGCGAUUUAUUUCGUAUCAUGCUAUUGGAAGUUUUUUUGGGGCGGCAAUGUCAACUAAAUUUAUAUUCUUUUGAUCAAGUCGAUUAUUUCCAGUUGCACAACUAGCUUGUUGGAAAUAUUUUCUUUCUUUGCUCCUGUCCUUUUCACUUUCAUAUUUUAUGGGUGGUGUGAUGAUGGGAAGAUUCAUGGGUGGCUAAAGCCAUCUUACUCACUAGAAGUGAGGCUGUUAUUUUUAGAAGUUAGAGAUGCUAUAUCAAUUGAGGAUGCCGUGAGCAAAAGCUUGCUAAUAAUAAGUGACUGUUCAUAUGCGUGGGUUCUAUCACAUGUUGAUGGAGUAUUUGGUGCUCUUUCUUCACUAAUUUCAUAUGUAUAGAUAUAAUUGUAUAACAUCUCGACGUUGAUUACUGUUACGAGGGGAAAAAAACACAGCAUGUAAUGAAACUCAAAAAGUAGGAAUCCUAGAUCCUUGUAUUCAUUCAUAGGCAUUUUACAACAUUUGAUUUAACUUGAGCAAGAUUCCGUUUUGGGCCUGGUCUUUUCCUGUUCGUUCCCUUGUUUAUAUAUGAUGAAGUUGGUUCAGCAUGCAGGAAACUCGACAGCAUGCAGGCCAUGAAGACCAAGUCGUGCAGGAGCUGCUGGAACGAGCUGAACUUUUCCUAUUUUGUUCAUCUAGUAAUCUUAAGUUAAUGUAAUGUACUUUAGUUCAUUUAGAACUAUGUUAGGUUUAUGAUUGAUGUAAUUUUGAUGACAAUUGAGCUGUUAAGUCAGCUUUGUUUAAGUGUGUAAGCUUAGUUUUUCAAGUUUCAAUGUAUUAGUGGUAGUAGGUGAUGAUUAGGUAUCAUUAUGCAGAUUUUGACAAGCAAAUUGCUUGGUUUAUGUAUUGGCAUUAUGCCAUUGUUCAACAUAUGAAUGAAAUCAACUUUGUUCAUCAAUAUUCUCUCAAAUUUCCUCAGCUUAUUUUCUUUUUUCUUCAACUCGAAAUUGUUUGUUUGCUCAGCAAGAUUCGAGGCUUGCUCGACAAGAAACUUGCUGAGUCUGUUUGAUUCUGCUGUUGCACCAACAAUUGGUAUCAGAGCUUAUUUCUUAAGGGACCUGUUAUACAAAUCCAUGGCUUCAUCAAGUUUUUCACCAGCUGCACCUCAAGUCUUCAAUGGAGAAGGCUAUCACAUAUGGGUGGUCAAAAUGAAGACCUACCUGCAGGCAUUUGAUCUGUGGGAGGUGGUCAACUCUGAUGUUGAACCAGAGCCACUUAGAGCUAAUCCAACAGUGGCUCAGAUCAGGCAGCAUGCUGAUGAAAGGACCAAGAGGCACAAUGCUAUGUCUUGCAUCCAAAACUCAGUGUCUGAUGUGAUUUUCACAAGGAUUAUGGCCUGUGAAUCACCAAAACAGGCCUGGGACAAGUUGCAGGAAGAGUUUCAAGGGACUGAGAGGACAAGGCAACAACAGUUGUUAAACUUGAGGAGAGAUUUCGAGAAUUUGAAGAUGAAGGAAGAAGAAACUGUCAAGCAAUAUUCUGACAGGAUUAUGGCUGUGGUUAACAGCAUCAGGCUCCUUGGAGAGCAGUUCAAUGAAGCUAGGAUAGUGGAGAAGGUUAUAGCAACUCUGCCUGAGAGGUAUGAGGCAAAAAUCUCAUCUCUCGAGGACUCAAGGGACCUGUCCACCAUCUCCCUGACAGAGUUGAUCAAUGCUCUAUAUGCUCAAGAGCAGAGGAGAGCAAGCAGACUGGAGGAGCACCAAGAAGGUGCCUUUCAGGCAAGAACAAAUACUUCCUACAAAGGCAAGAAGGCUUGGAGAGACAAGCCAAAGGAUGAUGCUGCAAGGAGAGAAGGUCAAACUUGCAAGCACUGCAGAAAGGCUGGUCAUUCAGAAGAAAAAUGCUGGUUUAAUCCAGAUGCUGUGUGUCAGCAUUGUAAGAAAAAGGGCCAUGUUGAGAGAGUUUGUAAGAGCAAUGCCAAAACAAGGCGCAAUCAGGCUCAACAGAUGAAAGCUGAGGCUCGAGUAGCUAAGGAGGACAGUGACCAAGAGGAGCAAGUCUUUACUGUGUCAUGCUCAGCUGCUCAGGAAAGGUCCUCAUCUGGUUGGCUCCUAGACAGUGGAUGCACCAACCACAUGACACCUGAUGCUGCAAUCUUCAAGUCUUUAGACAGAAGCUGCAGAACUAAAGUCAAGAUAGGAAAUGGUCAUUUUAUUCAAGCUGAAGGCAAGGGUGAUGUUCUGAUAUGCACUCUUACAGGUACCAAAGUGAUUUCAAAUGUGCUGUUGGUGCCUGAAAUUGACAGAAACCUGCUCAGCAUAGCUCAGUUGCUGGAAAAAGGUUACUUAGUUGUGUUUAAAGACCACCAAUGCCAAAUCAGUGAUCCAAGUGGAUCCAAACUGAUGGCAGUCCCUAUGGCUGAUAAGAGCUUUGUGGUUGACUGGACAAAAAAGUCAGACAUUGCCUACACAGCCACUUCAGAUGAAUCCAAGCUGUGGCAUCAAAGACUGGGACAUGCCAACUUCAGAUCGAUGGCCCGAAUGAUCAGAGAAGACCUGGCUGAAAACUUCAUCAACUCAGUAGACCAUGAUGAUGUAUGUGAAGUAUGUCAGCUAGGAAAGCAGGCCAGACUCCCAUUUCCCUCGAAUCAAGCCUAGAGAGCCUCUGAAAAACUCCAACUGGUGCAUACUGAUGUGUGUGGACCUAUGAAGACUGAGUCAUUAAGUGGAAACAGGUAUUUCAUACUGUUCAUUGAUGAUUUCUCGAGAUAUUGCUGGAUUUACUUCUUAAAACAGAAAUCAGAGGUGGCCACUGUGUUUUGGAAGUUCAAAACUGCUGCUGAGACUGAAACAGGCUGCAAGGUGAAGACCAUAAGGUCUGAUAAUGGGACUGAGUACACCUCAGCUCAGUUCCAAGCCUUCUGUGAUAAGGCAGGCAUCAAACAUCAACUUGCCAACACAUAUACACCUCAGCAGAAUGGGGUAAGUGAAAGGAAGAAUAGGAGUUUGAUGGAUAUGGCCAGGUGCUUGAUGAUUCAGAAGAAUCUGCCUAAAGCACUAUGGGCAGAAGCAGUUAACACUGCAACAUACAUUCAAAAUAGACUUCCAACCAGGGCUUUGGAUCAAAAGACCCCAUUCGAGGCCUGGUUUAGCUUCAAGCCAUCACUGGCUCAUCUGAAGGUCUUUGGAUGCAUCUGUUAUGCACAUGUACCUGCUGUUAAAAGGGACAAAUUGUCUGAAAGGGCUCGACCUGGUGUUUUGGUGGGCUAUAGCACUGUUAAGAAGGGCUAUAGGAUUUUAGAUCCUUCAACAAACAAAGUGUCAGUAAGCAGGGAUGUGGUAUUUGAUGAGAGGUCAUGUUGGAACUAGGAAAGACAUGAACCUGAAGAAGUUUUUGAAGAACUUGCAGCAGACCAAGCUGAGCCAGACCAAGAUGUCCCUGAAAUGGAUAUUGAUGAUGAACCAGUCAGAGGAACAAGGCCAUUGGCUGAAAUUUAUGAAAGGGCUCAUGUAGCCAUAGUUGAACCAAGCAACUUUGAAGAGGCUGAGGCUCAGCAAGGGUGGAAGCAGGCAAUGGCUGAGGAGAUCAGCAUGAUUGAGAAGAACCACACCUGGAAAUUGGUUGAAAGGCCAGUCAAAAGGAAAGUGAUUGGGGUGAAAUGGGUGUACAAAGCCAAGCAGAAUGCUGAUGGUACCUUGAACAAGCUGAAAGCAAGGCUAGUUGUCAAGGGGUUCAGUCAGAGGUAUGGCUUGGACUACCUGGAGACCUUUGCACCAGUGGCCAGGCUCGACACCAUCAGACUGCUGAUUGCCUUAGCAGCACAGCUUGAAUGGAAGAUCCAUCAACUUGAUGUGAAAUCAGCUUUUCUGAAUGGUUUCUUAGAUGAAGACAUCUAUGUUGAACAACCACAAAGGUUUGAAAUAGCUGGCAGAGAGCAUAUGGUCUACAAACUGAAAAAGGCCCUAUAUGGAUUAAAGCAGGCUCCAAGGGCCUGGUAUAGCAGAAUUGAUGGCUACUUGACUGAUCUAGGAUUCGAUCGAAGCAAGAGUGAGCCAACACUGUAUGUCAAGAAACAAGGGACACAAAUACAACUCAUUGUGUCCCUGUAUGUUGAUGAUCUUCUGGUGACAGGAGGAGAUCGAGUAGUGCUGGCUGAUUUUAAGACCAAGAUGCAGGAAGUGUUUGAAAUGUCUGAUCUUGGGGAGAUGUCAUACUUUCUUGGAAUGGAGGUGUCUCAAGUAUAGAAUGAGAUAUUUCUAAGCCAGAGAAGCUUUGCCACAAAGAUUCUGACCAAGUUCUCCAUGCAAAACAGCAAGGCAACUAAAACACCUAUUGCUGUUGGAGAAAAACUAUCGAGCCAAGGUGAUUUUAAGAAAGUUUGUGAAACAACCUACAGGAGUCUAGUUGGUUGCUUGCUAUACUUGACUGCCACUAGACCAGACAUUAUGUAUGCUGUAGGAUUGCUCUCAAGGUUCUUGCAUUGCUGCAAUGAGAAGCAUUUCCAAGCUGCAAAGAGAGUGCUGAGAUAUGUCAAAGGCACUUUAAACUAUGGUUUGAAGUACAGUAAAGAAGGAAAUCUGAAGCUGAUUGGCUACACUGAUAGUGACUGGGCUGGCUCGAUAGAUGACAUGAAAAGCACCUCAGGGUAUGCUUUUAACCUUGGUUCAGCCAUGUUUUGUUGGAGCUCAAAGAAGCAAAGUCUAGUAGCUCAAUCUACUGCUGAAGCAGAGUAUGUGGCAACAGCAAGUGCUAUCAACCAAGCCAUAUGGCUAAGAAAAAUAUUGGCUGACUUGAAUGUGCAUCAAGAGCAAGCUACUGAGAUCUUCUGUGACAACCAAUCUGCAGUAGCAAUUGCUAAAAAUCCAGUGUUCCAUGGAAGAACAAAACAUUUCAGCAUAAAGUUGCAUGUUGUUCGAGAAAUGGAGCAAGCUCAGGAAGUAAAGCUGGUCCACUGUAAUUCAGAAGAUCAACUUGCUGACAUUUUAACCAAAGCUCUUAGUGUCACAAGGUUUGAAUAUCUAAGAAAGAAGCUAGGUGUUUGCUCCAUGCAAACCAAGGAGGAGUGAUGAAGUUGGUUCAGCAUGCAGCAAACUCGACAGCAUGCAGGCCAUGAAGACCAAGUCGUGCAGGAGCUGCUGGAACGAGCUGAACUUUUCCUAUUUUGUUCAUCUAGUAAUCUUAAGUUAAUGUAAUGUACUUUAGUUCAUUUAGAACUAUGUUAGGUUUAUGAUUGAUGUAAUUUUGAUGACAAUUGAGCUGUUAAGUCAGCUUUGUUUAAGUGUGUAAGCUUAGUUUUUCAAGUUUCAAUGUAUUAGUGGUAGUAGGUGAUGAUUAGGUAUCAUUAUGCAGAUUUUGACAAGCAAAUUGCUUGGUUUAUGUAUUGGCAUUAUGCCAUUGUUCAACAUAUGAAUGAAAUCAACUUUGUUCAUCAAUAUUCUCUCAAAUUUCCUCAGCUUAUUUUCUUUUUUCUUCAACUCGAAAUUGUUUGUUUGCUCAGCAAGAUUCGAGGCUUGCUCGACAAGAAACUUGCUGAGUCUGUUUGAUUCUGCUGUUGCACCAACAAUAUACCUCCACUGUGCCAUUGUGUAUUUGUGUUCGAUUUUCAGUUCUGUCUCACAAUCCCUGUCAUGUCUUAUGAGUGAUUUUCUGGCUCUAAAUAUCUAUGAUAUAUUUGUGCAGGCAUUUCACUGAAGACUCAGGAACUCUAUGCUAUUGUCUUUGCUACUCGUUACUUGGACAUAUUCACUAAUCAUAUCUCGCCUUAUAACACAAUCAUGAAGCUAAUAUUCCUGGGCAGCUCUUUCUCAAUUGUAUGGUACAUGCGGUAUCACAAAAUAGUUCGUAGAUCUUAUGAUAAGGACCAGGAUACAUUUCGACAUUACAUCCUUAUACUCCCUUGCCUGAUUCUUGCCCUUCUUAUAAACGAGAAGUUCACCUUCAAAGAGGUAUCGACAUCCUUUUGUUUGUUGGAAUAUGAUAACAGUAUGUUCAUAUUAAUUACUGGUUAACUUAGAAGCUCCCUAAACUGUUUAUCUGUUUUAUAUUAAUUAUUCAUUAUUAUCCUUCUGGUUAUAUUUUUAUAUAUUGAUUAUUGUCUUAAAAAAAAUUGUUGAGCAGGUCAUGUGGACAUUUUCCUUGUAUUUGGAAGCUGUUGCGAUACUUCCUCAGCUUGUAUUGUUGCAAAGGACUAGAAAUAUUGACAACUUGACUGGACAAUAUGUGUUUCUCCUUGGGUAACCACUGUAUUCUUUAAAAAUCCUAAUCAGUUGCAAGUUUUCUAUUUUAUUACCUUGCAAUUUGCAUGAAGGACCCUUAUUUCCUGGCUCAGUUCCCUAAAAUGUUGCCUCCUUCCUGAGGAAACAAAAGAGAGAAAGUCUCUAAAUAGAGUUGCCAUCAUAUUGCCGCUUGGUUGCCACUGAUUUCUUUUUGAUGAAAAGUUGAUAUGAUUAUAUGUUGGACCAAAGUUAUCUAUUUUCAGAUGUGAUUAACUGCAGUUGAAUUUUGCGAGUAUGACUGUUCUUGUGUAACUUUUGUUAUGUGCUUUCAUGUCGUUUUUAGUCUUUUACACUGUGUUCUGUCUAUCUUUGUUUGCUAUUAUCCUAAGUUAGGAGACAAGGUGCCAUUAGGAGCAAUGUGACGUCAAAAUUCAUUUCCCUUUAGCCUUCAGUUCUACCUUUUCUUCCCUUUCUUUAUGUAGUUUUUGGGAGUUGGGGAUCACAGCGAUGAUAGUCGGUACAUGUGACUUGAAAGAUGCCUAAAAACUUCAAGAGCAUAGUGUUGUAUAAAUCUUUUGGAGAAAUUUUUUUGGUACAUUGAUGCCAACUUACAAUAACCCUUGCCACUACAACCGUGGCUUUGUUGGCUUAUGUAUGCACUCUCUUUGUCUUUAUAGGUCACCAAAUUCCUAAUGUCUAAUUCUUGGUUAUGGACUAAUAUAGUUGCUUGUUAUUGCAGUGCAUACAGAGCAUUGUACAUAGUGAACUGGAUUUAUCGGUACUUUACUGAAGACCACUUUGUCCACUGGAUAAGUAUGUACUCUUCUCUGUCUCCCUUCAUCUUUUACUCCAAGUCGGUAGCCAUGGGUGUAUGACGAGUGUGUCAAUAUAUCUACCCCAACACAUUUGUGAUAUACUAUGCUAUAUGUGUUAUUUCUAACACCUUGUUUACAUGAUUGCUGCCUUUCAGCUUGGAUUUGCGGUCUUGUCCAGACAUUGCUUUAUGCUGAUUUCUUCUACUAUUACUUCCAGAGGUAACCCCCUUUCUGACACUCUGGAAAGCACUUCAUACCUAUGUGAAUGAUUGCAACUUAUUUGAUUAUUAUGCCUGCAGCUUGAAGAACAACAUGAAGCUCCAAUUACCAGCUUGAGAUUUUAAUGGUGCAAGUUUUGUAGUAGCAUACAUAAACUUACAUCAUAUGGGUUCAAAUUUAUGAGUAUUUCAAUUAAUUUUAAUUUCACUAUGUUAUAUUGUAAUAUCAUGUAAAAAGUAUCAUAAAAGCAGGCAUAAGUUUUCCACCAAUUAGAACAUUUUGAAAAUUGAUGUCAAGCCCGAAAUGACCGUCACAAGUAAGCAUAUUAAACGUGUGAAGAGAAGACCUUAUUUUUCCACAUAACUAAAACUUUUUACACCAUAGGAACUUUCAUCGUCAUCAAGUUGGACAUGGAUGGAGCUCACGUAAAAAUAAUUUUUCAUAUAAAAACUAAAAACUAGAAAUUGACUUGUAAUAAUUCUCAAGGUUAAGGUUGACGUGGUCAAUAGUAAUGAACUUAUGUUUAAGGUUUGGGUUAUUUUUCUCAAUUAUAGAUUAGUAUUUUGUUCAUUGUAAACUUUGCUAACAAAAUUUAAUAUAUGACACAUAUCUGAUUUAAUUUAUUUUUAUUUUAUAAAACUUUCAUUAUUUGUUUUACUCAUUAAUGAAAUUUGGUGUGAAUACAUUAAAUAUUACCUUUUAUAUAUUUCACUCCCUCUUACUAUAUCUCAAUGGAGAAAUUGAAGGUCAUUCAAGGAAAUGGUAAUGUCCAUUUUCCACAAAACUAAAAUUUUCCACACGACAGAAACUUUCUUGGUCAAACAAGUUGGAUUUGGCUUCACCAAUAACUUAAUAAUCUGUACUAAAAUUUUCCACGCAAUAGAAUACGAACUCGUUCUCGUAAAUAUUUUAAAAAAUAAAAAAUUUAAUAUUAUGAGUUAACGAAUUAUCAAUUUAAUUAAAAAAAGUUGAAAGAUACAUUUUUUAAAAUUUUAUGAAAUUAUAUAUUAAUAUAAUUAUAAAAUUAUAGUUUUAACUUUAUAAAAUUUAUUAUUUAUCUUUGAUCUUGAAGAGAGACAAAGUAAAAUACCUAUUCUUGGAGCCAUAACGACAACUAGGAUUAUGAUUGCACAUUUUCUAAGUCUUCAUUUUUGUUAAUUAGGAAAGCUGAUGGGCAUCUCCACUAAGUUUCCACCCACAAGAAUAUACGUAUUAAUUUGUUUUUCUCAAUUUCCAUGAGGGGGGAUAUAAGCUUAAAGUUGACGUAGAAGUCAAUACUCAACAUUUGAAAGUUAAUGCAGUGAACUAUGUGCUUGUUGAUAUAUGAAAUGAUAUUUUCUUAACAAUUUCCUCCAACUAGUUCGUAGAUGGUGCUAUAUUACAUCACAAUGGGUAACCAAAUGUAUAUAAUUGAGAUUUUUAAGCAAAUAUUAUAUUUUAUCUUUAUCCAUGAAUAGUCUAAUAAUAAGGAUUAAUAUUUGGUACAUUGUCAGUGGAGUUUUUAAAUUCCAUAAGUAGGGUUAGAGGAUUGACACAUGCCAAUUUUUUAAUGUUGCUUGUGGGAUGCACUUGAAUUGUGGUUCAUAGAAGGAAAUUAUUAUAUAAAGGUUUAAUUCUACCAUAGUUCUUGUACUUUACUGAAGUUGUAGAUUUAAUUCCCAGACUUUAAUUUGAUAUUUUAGAUAUUUGUUAAAUUCAUAAAGUCCUACUAUUUCCAAAUUUGGUGUGGCAAACAUAUUAUCAUAGGUGUAAUAUCACUAAAAUUCAAAAGAAUGAGAAAUUUGUACAUAUUAUCAGAUGUCAAUAUCAAGUUGAGCAUUUCAAAAUCUAAAGUAAUAGUUCAAGUAUUUAUUUUUCCAUAAAACCAAAAUUUUCUACAUGAUGGCUUUUUUUUUGGCUAUUAGUUAAGAGGAAUUUUUUUAAUAACCCAAUUUAAUUAACUAAUUUAAAAAAUGGUUCAAGUAAAACUCAAGUCAUAUUAAAAAUAAUUAUUUAUAAAUUUUAUGUUUCAAAAACUAAUGAAUGUUCAAAGAAUAGUGAAUUAUUAAAGAGAAGUUAUAUGAUAAUGGAUUGUUUUAAAGUAGUGGUCUAGUAGAAAUAAAUAGUUUUUUAUAAAAAAAUAUUAUAUAAAUAAUUAAAUUUUAUAGUUACUCCUAUUUUUUUUAAAAAUAGUGAAUGUAAUAUUUUUUAAAAUGUUAAAUUAACUCAUGAUAUUAAUUAAAUCAAGAAAUUUUAUAAUAAUAGAGAUGAAAAAAACUAAAUUUUCAAAAUCAAAACCUAAAACGUGCAAGAAUAAAAGCAAUCUGAAGACUUAAAAUUUCCAUUAAUAAAACCAAAAUCAAAGAAGUAAAAUUUCCAUGAAUAAAACCAAAAAUGAAGACCUAAAUUUUCCAUUAAUAAAGCCAAAUCAAGACUAAGUUUGUAUAAGUGUAAGAAGGGUAUAAAGGAAACUCACAAGAAAGCCACAUGAAGAAUUUUAUAACUCCAACUACACGAUUUUAUGUCCACCUCUCACUUUUCAUAUUUUUUUUUGGCCAUUCAUUUUUCAAGAUUAACAUUAGCAUUCUUGUGGUCCGUUCAUCCUUUCCUAACCAAUUUCCACCAAGAGUUUUUGCAAUAAGGAAUUUACCUAAAUAAGAAACCUAGAUUGAUCCAAUUUUUGAGGAAUUAAUUAAUUAUAUAUUAUUUUUAUAUUAUAAUGAAUUAGUGGGAUGCAGUAUGUUCUGCUUGUAUAUAAAUAAGAAGCUUAGGCUUCUUUAGAUUAUAUACAUAUAGAAGUUAACAAAAAGUAACAUAUAGCUGAGAGAGAAGUGAAAAUAGAGAGAUGAUGAUGAUGGAGUGGAAAUGGUUAAGGUUUAUUAGGAUGGCAGUAAUGUUGUUGGUGUUAGAAGGAUGCAGAUGGUGUACUACUGAUGCUUGUUUGGAGCAUGAGAGAAUCGCUCUCUUGCAUCUCAAGCCUUUCUUCAAUUAUCAAAAUCAAUUGCAAAGUUGGGUUGAGGUGAAGGGUUCAGAUUGUUGUAAAUGGGAAAGAGUUGAGUGUAACACCACCACUAGGAGACUCAUACAACUCUCCCUUAAUUCUACAAGAUGGUUUGACAGUAUGGGAUACAAAACGGAUAAUAGGAAUCUCAAUGCCUGGUAUCUCAAUACCUCUAUGUUUCUUCCCUUUGAGGAAUUGAAGAGUCUUUAUUUGCGGGGGAAUGCCAUAAGUGGUAACCUUGAAAAUGAAGGUCGUGCCUCUAGUUUUUCCUUAAUUACAUCUUUUAUUAUCCCACUACUCUUACCAUCGUUAUUUUGCAAUUACUUAUAUUUUAUUUUAUUUUAUGGAAGAAAAGUCACUAACUUGUAUAUAUUUAAAAGAAUAUUUCUAUAGGCUUUGGAAAACUAUCAUCCACAUUGAGUAAUUUGGAGAUCCUUGACUUAAGUGAAAACUACUUGAAUGACAGCAUUUUGUUAUCUUUGAGUGAGCUUUCAUCUCUCUGGUAUUUAGAUCUAUCAGGCAACAAAUUUGAAGGAUCAAGCCAUCUAAGAG
RNAcentral lists this long non-coding RNA (167543 nucleotides) under Gossypium barbadense (sea-island cotton). Its description in RNAcentral is "long non-coding RNA (GBAR_LNC013895)". The stretch from base 154850 to 154936 matches the Rfam family "MIR7486 microRNA precursor family". Lineage: Eukaryota; Viridiplantae; Streptophyta; Magnoliopsida; Malvales; Malvaceae. The record is from RNAcentral.